GGCUAUGGAUCAAGCUUCAGAGAAAGGUCUAAUUUUCAUUGAUGGAUCUGGACCCACAUAUGCUACUGCCACAGUAAGAAUAUAUCUCUUACGGUAACUCUUCCUCUUUCUGAUGCUAGUCUCUAUUACUGUCUGGGAGAAUAAUAACCAGAUUUAACUUUAUGGUGUUAACACGCAUGCGUCACAUUACGCUUAUUUUUCCCUUUUCCCAACUAUUUUUGGUGUUUUCUGCUGGGUGUUCGUCAGCCAUUGUAACAACCCAUUAGGUCGUUUUGGGUACUAUAGCUUCUUAUUUCAUAAAAGACUCUUCUGAUAAAUUCUAAAUGGGUAUUUUGGACUAUUCGUAACUAUAGGUAUAUAACUAAUGGGGUAAUUUUAAUAAUUAAUUUAGUCGGUGGUUAAAGAAAAUAACAUUAAAAUUAGUAGUGAGCUUAAUUGGUCAUGUAUAAUAAUUAGGGUAAGAAAUAAUCUGUAAAAGAAAGAAAAGUGAAAACUAGGCGAGAAACUUUACUUGCGGCGUCUAACAAGGAAGACCGACAUCGAGGUAAUGUUUUGAAUCUUCAAUGUCCUUAUUUAAUGGUAGGGGGUUAAGUAUUAUAUAAUAAUAUUUCAUGGUUAGAUAUGAAUUGAAAGUGGGUGUUAGCGGAUGUGCUGGGAGUUUGGAUUUUGAAUAAGAAAGUGAGGGUGAUAAUGAAUUGGUUGAUGGACUAAUGAUUAGCCAAUCAUUGACUUGAUAAAUUAGGCUUAUAGUAUAUGAUAAAUUUGGGUUAGAGUUGUUGCCACUACUUUUCGAUGCCAAUGACUUUAAUCUUGAAUUUUAUUACGUUGUCAUCAUAUUAUAAAUUGAGAUUUAAUAUAUUGAGAUAUGUAAUUAAAUAUUAGGUGUAUUGUAUAAUUUGAAUAUCAUUAAAGUGAUGAUAAUUAGAGCAAUUGAGACUUAUCCUUAGGCUUGAACUUUAGGAAAGUGACUAGAUUUGGGUGAGUUUUUGGGUCUAGGCUAGACAUAUAGUAGUAUGGGUGUCUAUAGACUCGUUUACUUAUGAAUUAUGCAUGUUUAAUAGAUUGAAAACGUUCAGAGGCAUUGAGGAAAGGAAAAGCUUUGGAAAAAUUAGCUUGCACGACUUCGAUUCCUCGGUCGAGGUAGGUUAUGAUUUAUUCUAUGUGAUAGAUAGACAUAGACUCUUAAUAUUGAUUGAUAAUCAUUGAGUGAUAUGGUGAAUUUCUCUAUGUACUUGGUUGUGUGGUUUGGAUAAUCUGUGUUGUUUGUGAUUGGUCUGAAAUCUUGAGACCGUGAAAUUUAUAAUCUUGAACCUUCUCUAUCGAAGUGAUGCCUUGAAUAAAGAAGGCUUGAUGAAAUAUUGUUAAUGAAGUUAAAAGUGGUGAUAAUAAAUGAUAAAUUAACGAUAUAUUUGGAUCGGGUGCCACGAGCCGACACGAUGUUAUUUGAUCAGGUGUCACGUUCCGGCAAGACAACAUUAAAGGAAAACAUAUAUAAACAACGUAAUGUACUAAAAAAAAAAACGUAAUGUACUCAAUCUCAAAAAAAAAAAGAAAAAAAACUAAUAUGCAACGAGUAAUAGUAUAAAAUCAACUAUGACACUUAGUAGGUGGCAAGCAACAACCAACAUGAACAAGUGACAACAACACUAAAGUAAGUACGUAAUCAGUCAACAAUAUCAAGAGCACACAUGGGGACUCAUGCCUCCAAACUAAGCUAUUUUAGGAAUUGAGUUCUUUGAGAUUGAGUACAUUACAUUGUUUAUAUAUGUUUUCCUUUAAUGUUGUCGUGCCGGAACUGACACCCGAUCCAAUAACAUCGUGCCGGCUCGUGGCACCCGAUCCAAAUAUAUCGUUAAUUUAUCAUUUAUUAUCACCACUUUUCACUUUAUUAACAAUAUUUCAUCAAGCCUUCUUUAUUCAAGGCAUCACUUUGAUAGAGAAAGUUCAAAAUUAUAAAUUUCACGGUCUCAGGAUUUCAGACCAAUCACAAACAACACAUAGAUUCUCCAAACCACACAACCAAGUACAUAAAGAAAUUCACAAUAUCACUCAAUGAUUAUCAAUUACUAUUAAGAGUCUAUCUAUCACAUAGAAUAAACCCUAAUCUACCUCCACCGAGGAAUUGAAGUCGAGCAAGCUAAUUCUUCAAAACUUUUCCUUUCUUCAAUGCCUUCGAACGCUUUCAAUCUAUUAAACAUGCAUAAUUCAUAAGUAACCGAGUCUAUAUACACCCAUAUUACUAUAUGUCUAGCCUAGACCCAAAAACUCACCCAAAUCUAUAGUCACUUUCCUAAAGUUCAAGCCUAAGGAUAAGUUUCAAUUGCUCUAAUUAUCAUCACUUUAAUGAUAUUCGAAUUAUACAAUACACCUAAUAUUUAAUUACAUAUCUCAAUAUAUUAAAACUCAAUUUAUAAUAUGAUGACAACGUAAUAAAAUUCAAGAUUAAAGCCACUGGCUUUGAAAACUAGUGACAACAACUCUGAUCCAAAUUUAUCAUAUACUAUAAGCCAAAUUUAUCAUAUCAUCAACCAAUGAUUGACUAAUCAUUAAUCCAUCAACUUGUUAGCUUUGAUAAUUGGCCCCAAAUAAUUAUUCAUUAAUUUUGGCUACGUUUAUUGUCCAAAUUUAUGUUGUAGAUCUAUUUUUUUUGGUACACUUAAAAAAACCUAAAAAGGAAAAAAUAAAUUUUGAUAAGUCAAAUUGCUUAAUUCUCCCAAGAGAAAAAACUUUAUAUUAUUUUUGGUGACUUUCCAAACUAGAAAUUCUUCUUUAUUUUAAAAAAUAAAAUUGGAGUUAGAGAAAGUGAAAAUGGAGAAGGGGAUUACAAGGUAGGGUCAAACCCUCACCAAUAAAUUGAAAAUUCAGCUAGUCAACCAACAUAGCUACUAAGAUUCUCCAACUAGCAAUUCUUUGUAUGUUACGAUCUUUAUUUCUCCAAGAGUUUGUAAGAUUAUUUAUAAUCUCUCUUCAAAUGCAUAUUUUAUCCUUCAUUUCCAUCAAGUGUUUAUAAUUUUCACUAAUAGCAAUAUGAGAGUGAAAUUAUAUAUCCACAUUGUUUUAUUAUAAAUUGACAGCAAAAAGGUAAUAUGCUUAUUGGUAUCUUUAAUUAUGCUAUGUUUAUGUAGGAAUUUUUUUUUAAAUUUUUUCAAAUAAGAAGCUGAAGAAAGAAUAAAGUUAAAUGAAGAAAAAAGAGAUGAUAAAUCCUAAUGACAAAAUGGAGAAUAUUAAUCAAGAUUUCAUAAAAAUUCUUGAUGUGGUGAGAUCUCACAAGCAUUAUUGUCUUUUAGAAUCUCAACUUCUCAGAAAGGUAAAUACAUUGCUAAUCUAUAUAUAUGUUGUGGUUUCUUAAACUUAUAUUUGUACUUUAAUUAUAAACUAAAACUUAGACAAUUAAAAAGAAUGCUUUCUUUCUUCUAUUUCAUGUGACGUUCUUUCCUCUUUAAUCUAUUAUAAAAAAAACGUAUUUUCUUAAUUGAAACAUGAUGAAGUUUGAACCUCAUAUCUUUUUAUCUUUAAAGACAUGUUUACUUUGACUCUACAUGGAACAAAGAGUUCUAAAACUUGUGGUCUUAGAUACGUUGUAAUAAUUUUGUGACUAUAAAACUUCUCACUAAUGAUAAAAUAAAAAAUGUAUAGCUUGAUUAUUUUCAAAUAUAGACAUAUGUCAUAAUUUUUAAAUAGAUUGAUAGUAAAAUGGUGUUACAUAAAAUCGGAAAUAAAGGAGUAUCUGACAUGUUUAACACCAAAAGUUUUUUUUUCUUUUUAAACUCAUUAUUAUGAGGUCAAAUUUACAGUAUAAGGAUCAUAAAACAUGGAUUGUAUAUUCGUUACUAGUGCUAAUAUUUUUUUUUUUCCAAGAAGAUAUAUAUUAUACUAAACAAAUUAAGCAGCAUAUGGAUAUCUACAUUAUUCAAAACAUGUUAGAACAAGAUAGGUUUUUCGAACUUGGAAAAUGCCAAUUUCUUUAAAGAUAUUUUAUUCAUUUUCAGCAACGUCAUUGUUUAUUACCCGAAUGAAACUCUUCAAUAUUUUAUCGCGCCUGAACUCAUCGCCAUUAUUGUGAGAAACCCUAAUUAUGUCGCGAAAUUGUGUGUGGAUUAGCAGCAGCAGGCAAACCAAUGUUGGCCAAACAAAAAUUCGAGAACAGGGCAUAGUAUGCACAUAACAAAGCUCAAGAAGGUGAGUCGUUGGUGAGGAGGAGUACGAGAGUGAGAAAUAAGGCUUGCGAAUUCAAGAACGAUCAGGAUAAUGAUUGCAAAGGGAAACAAAGAAGAAUAACAAAGAAAAAAUAAGAAUAUUUUGGAAAUAAUGAGUGAAGCUUACUAGAAGGUGGUCAAAUUUAUAGAUGUUUUUUUAGGUGUAUUAAAUUUCUUUUGUUUUGUAGUUAUGGUAAUAUUUCAUAGUUUAUUAUCAAUGUAGAUUGUAGACUAUAAUUAAUCUCCUAACCUUAUUUUAUAAAGAAAGAAAUAAAAAUAAUUAAAUGUAUAUAAGUUUUAUAAUCAAUAAAUAUGUGUACUAACUAAUUAUAAAAUUACUAAUCAAUAAAUGACAUGUGUCCUAUUUGUGCACUUAUCACUUGUCUUCAAGUGAGUGUGCACACUCUCUAUGCCAUGUUAGUGUGUGUAGUAUAUUUAUUCCAUUUUAAAUUAGUUGGGGGGGGGGGGGGGAUAAUAGGACCUAGUUAAAUUUAGGUGUGUCUCUGAGAUUUCGGUCACAAUCCACAGGGGUACUUUUGCCUUAUCCCUUUUGUAAUUUAUGUAACCUCUAGGCCAUUUAUCUACCCAAUUUAAUACCCCACAAUCUUCCUUUUUAUUGCAAGAAAGAAUGUCUCCACUACAAAUAAUGAUGAUCUUACUUUUUUCCGGUGUAUAAGAAAAUAUAGAGUGCAUAAAAGUGAGUAAAAAAAAGUUCUUAUUAGUUGAAGGGAGAUGUUCUUUUUAUGAAGCUUUGGAUUCAAUUUUUGUCUCAUAUUUGUUGACUUGUACUUUGAGAUUGAGGUAUGUUGUCCGGAGAGGACAAGUUAAGAAGAUUAUUGCUGGACUGGUGAAAAGACUUGUUGCCAUGGGCUUAAAUCUCCUUAAAAAGAGCAAGAUAUAUAUUCAUGUCUCAACCUAGAAAUUUAUUUUCUUUAUUUUAUUUUCAAUUGUAAUUUUGUAAUUUCACCAACAAAACUACUUGACUUUCCCAUAUUAAUAUAUAUCAUCCUGUAAUUUUUUUUAAUUUUUUUUUUAACAAAAACUAUACUAUCUAAUCAGUUGAAGAAUAUCUACGCAUAAACCUAAAUUUGUUUUCUCUAUUGCUAUUUUAUUGUCAUAUUUUUUUCCCUUACAACCAUGUUAUGAACUUUUCUUUUGAAUCGUGGGUCUAUUAGAAAUAAUAUUUUUAUCACACAAAGAUAUGGGUAAAAUAUGUGUACAUCUUAAUUCUUACCCCCCUCAAACUCACUUGUGAGAUUAUACUGAAUGUUCACUACUAGAAAAACCAACUUCCAAAGAGGUCUGAAUAAACCCAUCUUUUGAAUUGUGGAUCAAUUAGAAAAAAACUCUUUAUCCCGCAAAGAUAUGAAUAAGAUAUGUGUACAUCCUACCUCCUAGAUUCAACUGUAAGAUGAAUAUGUUUUUCACUACUAAAAUUUGAUAUUGGGCAAGACUUCAUUAACAUCAAGUUAUGGUGAUGUUAAAAAAAUUGAUUAUAAAUCUCGACAAAUUUCCUUACAAAAAGUCAGGGUGAUCGUCAAAAAUUUGUCCACAAACCUGGAUGAAUCACCAUAAUAUUUUCAGCAUUAACGACAAUAUCAUAUUGUUUGAUUUAUCUCUUGAUAUAUUUGGGAUAGUUCUGAAGGAAGUGGAACUGAUACACUCCCUACUAGUAUUGUUGAGCUCUGUCCAUUUAUACUUUGUAAUUUCAUCAUUCUCUUGCUAUUAAAUUAAAACUAUGCUCUUGAAAACUCAACGAUAUAUUAAUGUGUGUGUAGAACUUUUCCAGCCCAUUUCAAUGGUAUGUUUUUUCUUUACUAAUCAUGAAUAGCUUGGUUCUACAGGUUGAAAUCUCUCUUUUCGAAAGGGUUAAACACGGUGAAGUUUGGCAUUUUAGCUAAGCAACUUUGUGAUGAAUUAACCAAUUAUGGGAUAAUGAGUGAUGAACUUGUAGAAGUGGUAGCUAUGAGAAAGAAAGUCGUGAAGGACACUACGAUAGCAAUUUGGAAUGCUAGUUUAUCCAUUAAUAUUUUCUUAAAUGUAUUUUUAAGGUUAGUUAACAUUUCUCUUUCUUGACCUUUCUAGUAAGGUUGUAACUUAAAGAACUCUUAAUUACCAUUCCUAUAUUCCAUUGUGCUAAUCUAGGAAUUCUUCCUUUUUGCCCCCAUUCUUUGUCCUCAAUUAAUUGAAAUGUUUUUAUUUUUCAAGUUAUCCCAAUAUGUUGUUCGUAUAUUUAUGAGGAAGCAUCUCACCUAUAUUUCUUUGCACUUUUCAAUAUUUAUUGUUAUAACGAUAUUGUGAAAUCACUAUGACCAUACAAAAUAGUAAAUUCUUUGAAAUUUACUUCAUCUUUAUUAAAGACUCACUUCUCUUCACUUGCAAUACAAUUUUCUUACUUAAAUAGUCUUGCUUAUAGAAAGUAAGAUAUGCCAAUAUUGAAGAUGGAAGUGUAGUUAAGGUAAGAAUUCUUCAUAUUCCCUUUAGCUAAUGAUGAAAGAGAAUGUGGACCAUUUUUCUCGAGAUGAUAAUAUUGUACCCUCCUAAUUUGAUGCGCGUAAUUCCUUUUCAUAGCUACAAAAAAAGGUUGAAGGUAUAGUUGAUAAGUUGGAGACCUGACAUCGAUCUAUUAUCCUCAUCUACUAAUUUUACUUGUUUGCACAUUCUUCAUGCAAGGCGAUUCAAACCAAAGGUAGGAUUUUCUACCUUUAAGUUUGUGACAUAAGUACUUGAACAUGAGCACAGUUUCAAUGUUUACCAGAUUCCUCUACUAUAUAAGUCUAAUGGUUAGGGGGACAUAAUUUCUUUAGAUUUUCUUGAUUACGGUGUAUUAGAGUUUGAUAUCUAAAGAGUAAAUCAUCCUUGGUCAUUGUGCAGGGAGUUCAUUGAGAGAAUCAACAAAUUCGAUUCAUAUUGUUCUCAAAUUUUUGGAGGAGCUAGAAAACUCUUCAGGAUUACUUCAUCUUUGGUGAUCAAUAAAUCUCUCAUAGUAUCAUUAUCUACAAUAGAUGGAAUUUUGAUUUCUUAUAUUCCUACACAAUCCGAAUAUAAGUAGUUGUGAAGGGGGGUGAAGGUAUUUUCUAUAUGAGGAACUCACGAAAAUCUUGGCAAUUUCAUAUUUUAACUGUUUUGAAAAUAUUACAUGAUUGACAUUUCUUUACCAUAUUUGAUAUUCCGAUACUUCCUAAAUUACCCCGAAAACCCUUUUUUAAGAAUUGUUUUUGGUCGUAUAGGCCAUUUUAUUAAUUAUCAAAAAAUGAAAAUAAAGUUUUGGCCCAAGCCCAAAAUAAAACAAUCAAAACAACCUAUUUCUAAUCUGAUUAGGGUAAAGCCCACUUUCAUUAACCCUAUCUAUAAAAGCUAACUUCAACUUCCUUUUGAGAUCACUUUCAUUUCUUCUUACGGCUGAAUGUUACUCUACUCCUUCUUCUCUUAUGGGCUGUACCAGAUCCCUAUUCCAACAGUCUCAUCUCUCUUCUUCUCAUACAAGAUGUGUCACUCAACCAAGGUAAUGUAACUCCUAUCUUUUCCGUUCUUUUAUUCAUCACUGUUCUAACUCUUUGUUGUUUAUCCAUGUGAAGGAAUUUUUUGUUGGAAAAAAUUAUUCUAGAAUUUUGAAAUUUUCUUUUUGAGUUUAAAAAUUGGCUAAAAGGGAAAAGUCAUUUAUGGGGAGAAUCAAAGGAAACUCUUCAGUUUCUUACCUAGAAGAUGUUAAUUACUUUAUUCCAAAUCACACAUGUAGUCAUUACACAUUACUAAUAUAUAUUUAGUGAUUUGAGAUUAAAACUUAAAUUAUUUAAGAUUAUAUUCAUGUAGUGGUGUUCUAUACAUAUCAUGAUGUGAUAUGGAUUAGUCAUCAUGGAUAUGAAGACCAUCAAGUCGAUUCAAAGUAAUUUGGAUACCUUAGAAGAUUAAUGAAAGAAGCAUGGAAGAUUUAAAAUAUACUAAAAUGAAAAUUUAAGCAAGAGGUGACUACAUAUUAAAUAAUUAAUAGGCUAGACUUACCUUCGUUUUAGCUCAAGGGUAUUAUUUUAACUAGCUUAGGUUAGUUUAUCUACUAUUAUAAAUAGCAGAAAUUAGGGUUUGUUUUAGGGGUUGGUUUUUGAAUGAACAUUUGAUGUUUAGGCUACUUUGUGAAUUUGGGAAAACCCUCACAUCUGUCCAAUUGAACCCUCUUGAUUAUUUGGGUAAGUCUUCACUUUUAUGAGUUCAAUUUCUUUUCACCUUUAUAUUUUACUCUAGUAAUUAAAUGCCUUUUAGUUGAUAGAUCGUCCUUUUUUUCUUCUAAAUCUCUCCGUCUUUCUUUGUGUUUCUUAAUAGUAUAUUUUGUUUGCUUGAUUGUGGUUCACUUUAUUGUUCUUGCAUCUAGAAUUCCAUCAAGUAGCUCUCCCUCUUCCUUUCUAUUUCUAAACCAUAUAUCUUGCUUGCUUGAUCGUGGUACUAGGUAAGUCUAUCCUUCAAGGCAUAAACAGAAGAAAUCACCUAGAGUUUUUCCACCGCUGAAAAUUGUACUUGAUACCUCAUGGUUCUCAACUAACUUCCUUGUCGACCAGGUAAUGUUUUGAUUGUAUGCUAAAAAAAUUAUAUUUCUGAUGCAAAAGGAAUUUUCCUCUUGUGAACAAUAUAUUGAAUUGCCUUUUUAUUAGCUUCCAUGAACCCUACUAUUCUAGGUAGGUAUUAAGUAAAUUUUGGUGCACCUCCAAUCUUUGAAGUUCUUUAUUUCUUCAUAAUUCAAUUAUUAGGUUACCGUAGUGCAGGGAUUGGAAGUAUAACUUAUACAUGUCACCUAUAUAUCCAUUCCUUCUCGCCUUGAUCCAAAAAACCAAGAGAAUUGACCCCAACUAGCUUAGAAUUGACACGCAAUUGUUGUUUAUAUCAAUUUUUGUUUGACAAAUGUCUUUAUCAUAACUUUCACAUAAUGCCUUAUGAUGAAACAACUUAUACUAGUAUGAUCAAUAUAAUGCUAGCUUCUAUAUUCACUUAAAUUUUGCUUACUUUAAUAUUGGAUUACUUAGCAUUGGGUGUUAUAGUGGGUGUUCAGGAGUUAUUAUUGUCCAGAUACCUAAUGGAAAGUGUCAUUUGGCUUGGACCUUAGCGAUCGAUAGCUUAUGUAAAAAUAUAGGACAUAAGAGGAAACUUGUUAGCAUUGUGUGUUGCAGGAGUUAUUAUUGUCUAGAGACCUAAUGCAAAGUGUGAUUGGCUUGGACCACAGUGAUCCAUAAUGUCAUGUCCCGCCACUUCACUGUUCAGAUUCGGCAUCAGGAUAAGGGAGAAAAUCUAAAGUUGUGGAGAGGUUAGUAGAACACUCUAGAACUCCCUAGAUAUUUUCAAGAAGGCUUUAGAAUUCCCUAGAACUUGUAGAGAAUUCUAGAAUAGGACUAAAGUGUAAAUAUUGUAGGGAAUUGUAAAGUAAAUAAUAUUUACACUUAGGCCCUUAGGAGAUAAUAUAAAUAGAGGGCCUCUCAUUAGCAAAAUGGUCCAACCAAGUGUAGCAUUCGACAAAGUAAUACAAAGCCUUGUUCCAAAGCUUUUCAAGUCUUUCUUGCAUUCUCUUAGCGGUCUUAGUUUGAAAAGUCUUACUUGAGCUUACAAGACCAUGAAAGAUUCGUGAGUAAGUUGUCAGGUGCUGCACAAAACAUUAGUGAGACUCUAAGUCUCCAACAACGUGGUAUCAGAGAAAAUGUUUGUACUAAGGAGAUGUAAACGUUGCUAGCACCACCAAUAUCAGGCUGGAUGGUGGAAGGAAGAUCUGCAAAUGAAAGAAGCACCACAAGAGUAGUAAGGAAAUGUUGCUCGACCUUACACCAAGCGAGGCGCUAACAUGUCACCCACCUUCGACCAUUGAAGCAAGUGACGAUGAGCAUGGUGACGAGGCCAUUGAUAUCACCGCCGGAGAGGAAUGGGUUGCAAGGUUUGAAAUGGCGAGGCAGACCGUAGAGAUAUUAGGCCGGUGUUUGAAUGAGGUUGAUGGAAAGUUCAAGACUCUAGAGGACUUCACCCUUGAGGAAACCAACAACAUCCGCAAGGAGUUGGAGGGCCGCCAGCGUGCCGAGUUCGAGAUGAAGGAGGCCAUCACUUUCUUGGAGUAUCGGCUCAUUGAUGCGCUAAGUAUGAUUGAAGCCAUGAGAUCCGAGAAGAAAGCACUUAAGGAAGGCGUUGAAGCUAAAUGAUCUACGUCAUCCGAUCGAGAUAGGGAAGCCAGGGUCGAGGCUCCCAAGCCACAUAUUUUCAAAGGCGUCCGUGAUGCCCAAGAGGUGGAGAACUUCUUAUGCACUUGGAGAAUUACUUUAAGUGUAGUCGGGUAAAGAGCGACGAAAACAAGAUCAAUACUGUCGCGAUGUAUCAUUCGGAGAUGGCCAUGCUAUGGUGGAGGCACAAGAAAACUGAGAUAGGGAACGGACUGUGCACUAUCAACCCUUGGGCAUAAUUUCAAGAAGAGUUAUAGAAGGCCUUCUUCCCUAACAACGUCAUCUAUGAGGUCAAAGGCAAGUUCAUGGAAUUGAAGAAAACAAGCAGAAUUUGGGCGUACGUGAAGGAAUUCAUUACUCUCAUGGUUCAAAUUCCUAACUUGACGAACGAAGACAUGUUGUUCCACUUCAUGGACGGAUUGAAAAUUAGGCUAAGAUGAAGUUGGAAUGAUGGCAGGUUAGGACCAUAGAUGAGGCCAUCACACAAGCCUAAGCCUUGACUGACUUCAAGCAUGACAUGCAUGAUAAGGCGAAGGUGAAGGACGUGAGGACUAGUCAUGUUAAAUGUGGGGGAGAUCGUAUCCUAGGUAAGGAGCAACAGGCACAGUCUAAACAACACGACUCCUACAAGUGGAACGACAAGCGGUUCGGGCGCCAGAGCUAAACGGAGAGGAAGGUGCAUACUACAAAAGGAGAUGGUUGCUACAUAUGUGGUGGACCGCAUGGUUAUGCCAGGUCCCCGGAAAUGAAGAAAAUUUGUGCUAUCCUACGGGCGUAAGGAGAAGGACACACAAAAGAAAGGGCAGGAUGCGGGAACGACGCAACUAGCCAUGGUCGGGCUAUGCAGGGCUAUUGCCAAGCAGAUGGAGAAGCCGGAAGACUAUAACACGCAAUAUGUAGAUAUCUCCAUUAAUGGGCGACCAACUCGUGCCAUGGUAGACUCCGGUUCAGAAGCCAACAUUAGGACCAAGACGCGACAACAAGGUUGGGGCUAAGUUACAAUCCAAACAACACCCGCCUAAAGACGGUCAAUGCACACCCAACUCCCAUGUGUGGAGUUGCCCAAUGAGUAAGCAUCACGUUGGGUAAGUGGCAAUGUAAGACUAAAUUUAUCGUAGCUUCUUUAGAUAUAUUUGAUAUCAGUCUUGGGCAAGAAUUCUUCCAAACAUGUCAUACGAUGAUCGAUCCCUACCUCCAACGACUCAUGGUCAUGGAGCGAGAAGGGUCAUGCAUGGUACCUCUAGUUAAUGUGCGAAAGAAGGAAGAACAUGCCCAAUUGUCGGUUAUGCGGAUCGUGAAGGACCUUAUAAAAGGAGAGCUGACGUUCAUAGCCACCAUUUCAAGUUUCGGAGAGGACAAUAGUGCCAAAGAGGCAUUGCCACCGGCUAUUGAGAAGGUUCUUAAAGAGAAUAAAGAUGUGAUGCCGGACGAGAUGCCAAAGAAUUUACCUCCUAGGUGCAAGGUAGAUCACAAGAUCGAGUUGGAGGUUAGAACCAAUCCACCAGCGCAUGCACCCUAUCGCAUGGCUCCACCCUAGUUAGAAAAGCUAAGGAAGCAGCUGAAGGAGCUCCUUGAGGCCGAUCACAUUCGCCCGUCCAAAGCACCUUAUAGCGUGCCAGUCUUGUUUCAAAAGAAGAAAGAUGCGUCAUAGAGACUAUGCAUCGACUACCGGGAUCUUAAUAAGGUAACCAUAAAAAAUAAGUACCAUAUCCUUCUUAUUGCCGAUUUGAUAUACUUGGACAGGCCAAGUAUUUCACCAAGGUAGAUUUUAGUAAAGGUUACUACCAGCUUCGCGUUGCGAAAGUGGAUGAGCAAAAAAUGGUGUGCGUGACGAGAUUUAGAGCAUACGAGUGGUUGGUGAUGCCCUUCAGCUUAACCAACACACUCACCACCUUUUGCACGUUGAUGAACAAAAUCUUUAUUCUCUACUUGGAUCAGUUUGUGGUAGUAUACUUAGAUGAUAUCGUCAUCUAUAGUAACACAUUGGAGGAGCACGUGGAGAAUUUGAGGAAGGUUUUCCAAGUCUUACGGGAUAACCAACUCUAUAUCAAGUAGGAGAAAUGCGAGUUCGCCCAGCACGAGGUACAGUUCUUGGGGUAAAUAAUUAGCCAAGGCGAACUGCGGAUGGACGAAGCAAAGAUACGUGUUAUCAAAGAGUGGGAGGAACCCAAAAAAGUGAUCAAGUUGAGAUCUUCCUUGGACUUGCAAACUAUUAUCGCAGAUUCAUUAGUGGCUGAGUUAUUGUAGAAGAAUAAGUCGUGGGUUUGGAGCGAGGAGUACCAAAGGGUUCUGGAAAACCUCAAGGCCGCUGUGACUGAAGAGUCGGUCUUGAUGCUGCCUGACUUCUGAAAGAACUUCGAGAUACAUACAGAUGCUUCAGAUUUCACCAUAGGGGGAGUAUUGAUUCAAGAUAGACACCCAGUAACAUUUGAGAGCCACAAAUUGAAUGAGACCGAACGACCCUACACGGUGCAGGAGAAAGAGAUGACAGUCAUCUUACAUUUCCUACGCACGUGGAGACACUACUUACUAGGCUCCAAGUUCGUGGUUAAGACCAACAAUGAGGCCACUAGCUAAUUCCGAUCACAAAAGAAGAUCACCCUGAAGUAAUCUAGGUGGUAAGACUUUCUAGCUGAGUUUGACUACGUCUUAGAGUUUAAGCCGGGAAGGCGCAAUGUAGUGGCCGACGCACUAAGUAGGAAGGCUGAGCUUGCUUUCAUCACUACAACUCAUUGUGACAUCUAGGAUGAUAUCAAGGAUGGCAUGCAACACGAUCCAAAGGCAAAGAAGCUCAUGGAGUUGGCCGCCCAAGGCAAGACAAGACGUUUUUGGGUGGAAGAACAUCUCCUACUAACUACUGGUCAGAGGGUCUAUGUGCCCAAGUUUGGGUCUAUUAGGUAGGCGGCAAAUCAUCAAAGAGAGCCACGACGCACUGUGGCUGGCUAUCCAAGUAAGCAACGAACGAGGGCGUUGAUUGAGGCAAUCUAUUAUUGGCCACGCAUGUGGGACGACAUAGAAUGCUACAUAUAGACAUGACUGGUGUGUCAGCAGGACAAGGUGGAGCAGAGGCAACCGAGAGGGAUACUUGAGCCACUACCUCUAACAGAACGCCCAUGGGAGAGCGUGACCAUGGACUUCAUCACUUCCUUACCCAAGUUAGAUGGGUAUGGAAUGAUAAUGGUCGUGGUGGACAUAUUUUCAAAAUAUGCUACUUUCAUGCCCGCCACAACCGGUUGCAUCGCUAAGGAGGCAGUCAUGCUAGUUUUCAAAAAUGUGGAUAAGUAUUGGGGGAUGCCAAGACAUAUCAUUAAUGAUCAAGAAUGUCGCUUAACCGGGAACUUUUGGUAGGGUUGUUUGAGAUACUUGGCACGGAGCUUCACUUCUCCACAAGUUUCCACCCACAAACAGACGGGUAAGUCAAGCAUGUCAAUUCCCUACUAGAGUGCUAUCUAAGGAACUACGUAAGUGCAGACUCGAAAGAUUGGGUAGACUCCUAGACAUAGAGCAAUUUUCUUACAAUUUGCAAAUGAGUGAGUCUAUCGGGCGCAAACCAUUUGAGUUGGCGACUAGCCAACAACCUUAAACUCCACAUUUGUUACCUGCCGCUUUUCAUGGAAAGAGUUUGGGACCCUACCAUCUUUCCAAAGGAUGGGAGAAACAACUCAACACUGCCAUGUCCGACUUAGACAAGGCAACCAAAAGGAUGAAGAAAUUUGCUGACCGCAAUCGACAUCCCACGGAUUACCAAGUUGGAGACAUGGUCUUGGUAAAGUUCAACCUAAGAUAGUUUAAAGCACUAAGGGUCGUACAUUAGAACUUAUUGCGAAAAUAUGAGGUCCCGUUCAAGAUCAUUGCUAAGGUAGGCAAGAUCUCCUACAAAGUGGAGUUACCUCCACACUUCAAGAUCCAUCUAGUCUUUCAUGCGAGCGUUUUUAAGCCAUACCAUGAGGACAAAGCUGAUCCCAUCCAGAACUAAUCAAAAUGGGAAACCAUAACUAUCACCGCCUCGCAUGAUCGAAAAAUCGAGUCUAUCAUAGACUAUCAAGCAAGAAGGAAGCGAGGACAGCAAGUAAGUGCCAUCUUUCUUGUACAUUGGAAGGUACAAUUUUCGGAGGAGGCCACAUGAGAGAGAUAUGAAGAUUUCUGGCAGUUUAAGGACCGAAUUUGGGAGUUCUUGCAGCAAUGCGCCACACUCAUUGCAUCAACAAGUGGAGGAGAGUUUCAUGUCCCGCCACUUCACUGUUCAAAUUUGGCAUCGGUAUAAGGGAGAAGAAUCUAGAGGUGGAGAGGUUAGUAGAACCCUUUAGAACUCCCUAGAUAUCAAGAAGUCUUUAAAAUUCCCCAGAACUUGUAGAGAAUUCUAGAAUAGAACUAAAGUGUAAAUAUUUUAAGAAAUUGUAAAGUAAAUAGUAUUUACACUUAGGUCCUUAAGAGGUAGUAUAAAUAGAGGGCCUCUUAUUUGCAAACUGAUCCAACCAAGUGUAAAGCUUUCCACAAAGUAAUACAAAGCCUUCUUCCAAAGCUUUCCCAGUCUUUCUUGCAUUCUCUUAGCGAUCUUAGUUUGAAAAGGCUUACUUGAGCUUACAAGACUGUGAAAGAUUCGUGAGUAAGUUGCUAGGUGUCGCACAGAACAUUAGUGAGACUCUAAGUUCGUGACACAUAGCCUAUGUAAAAUAUAGGACAAAAAAGAAAACUUGUUCUUCUAUUAAUAAUAAUAAUAAUCUUUUUAUCUAUAUUAACGUAUUUAGGCAACCUAUUAAAUGUUGAGACAUUUAAUACUAGAAUUUUGGUAAUUUGAAUGAGAAUGCUUUGUAAUGCUUUGUGUACAUUGACAAUAAUGAUAUUGAAACACAAUUUAAACCUAUCCUAAGCUACAAGUAUGUUAAGCUCAUUCGGGAGGAUGUUCCCACUAAUCGUGACUUUACAAACUGUCACCCUUUUCUUGAGGAAGUGACCUAUCUCAUAGAGUUCCACAAAAUUUUGGUAUCUAUAAAUUCCCAGUACUUCAAGGCUUAUCAAAGUGUAAACUUGAUAAACUCAAAGAUGAUACUUGAAGUACCCAUAAAAAUGGAGUUUCAAUUUUUGCGGUUUGUGGCUUCAUAUUUGCAUUUUAUUUGUGAGAGAGGAGUUGAAGAGUAAAUUAGGUCACACUAGGCGUGCAAAUUUAUUUGCACUAUUUUUUUCCAAAUACAAAAAGAAUAUUGCAAUCACAUAAUAAAUAAAAAAGAAUGAGUUUAUUCAUAAAGAUUACGAGUACAAAUAUAUGUAUCCCUUGAUUCCCCUCUCAUAAGAUUUCUCCAUGAUUCAAAGGCUAUUAGUGUCACUCAAACUAGGAUGAUGUGGACCUUCUUAGGAUUUAUUUGAUCUUCGUGAAAUGAUUUUACAGAUCUUGUUAAAGUAUUUGGUUGUCAAGAAGAGUGCGCCCAUAUCUUGAUCACUUCAUGAAUAUUUCAUGAAUAUAUGAAAAUUUAGAGUUGCCUAAUCAAAGAAAUAUAUUACACUUUAUAUAAGUGUUAUAUAAGUGUGAGCUAGAGUUUAGGGUAACUAGUCUCCAAAAAUCCUAAAUGAAAUUGGACUCAUCUUGUAGAGUUCCACAAAAUUUUGUUGUCUAAAAUGUCAAGUUCUUGUCCCAUGAUUUUUUUUGGGUCACAUAGAUCACUUAAUAGUCUUGCUAGAUAGAGUUUUAUUGGUUAAGGUCUAAUCAACUAUUCUAGAAGAGGUCUUAUGCUUAGAAAUGUAGUAUCUUUGUCGAAGCCAGUAUAAACGAAGAUUACUCUCUAGCAAGGGACUCAAAAUCAUCUCCAAGCACCUUUGGGAAAGUAGUUCCACUCUCCCAUCCAAACGUGGACACAUGAUCCAAUUUCUAAAAAUCCUCAAUAGUAAAACAUAGCUGCCUUUGCAGAUCUGGCGAGGCAAGAACAAUGUGCUUAUACAGGCUAGCCUUGUCUACAAUUUGAGCAUAACAUUCAUUAUUUACAAAAGUAGACCUCAAAUAAGUAAUUAGUCUUGGAUUCAGUCUCGAAUAUUUGAAAUAGAGAUGUGUUGUAACAACAUAACUAGCACUAUAUCUCCAAGAAAUUCCAAGUGUUAAUAGCAUCUUGGUAUCUCAGGUAGCAUGUAAGAUCCGUGAGUUAGCGCUUUAACAAGCAACGAAGGGUCAUAAAACUUGUAAUGUAGCAGUGAUUUCCAAGUACCGUACAAUGACUAGCUUCUCAACAUUCAUGAGGAAGUGCCUUAGCAUAGGUGCAUCAAUAAAAGCAAUGUCCAUCCCGAUCCAUUUCAUAAAUGAUAAGGUUGCUACUUCCCCGCCUGAGUUGAGGUAGGCACAUAUUAGUACCUCAACCACAUCAGCUACUCUCUUCCUUCUAAUCUCCUACUUUACCCUACUACAUAUACAUUUUUACCGAAGGCAAACUCUUUGCCAAAGUUUUAAACUUGAGGAUUAUCCCUAGGAAUGAGCCCCAUUUUAAGAUUGAAUGGUUCAUUACAGAUAAAUCUCAGAAAUUUACGAUCACAUCUAACCUUGAACAAUGCAACACUGAAAAUUAUUUUAUAUUUCUUAAUGCUGAAAAGACCCUCAUGAUGAUUUUCAUAAGUCUUAAACAGUUGUGUACUGAUAGCAUAUUUGAGAAAAGAAUCUCAAAGUUACCUAAGUGAUUUCAAAUGAAACUUCUGGAGGCAUUUCUUUGUUGUCAUCACUUCCAAAACCUUUGCAGUUGGGAUAAAAAGUUUUAGUUUGCAGUGAUAAAAAAGAAUUCUUUUCAAGUUUAUUCUGAUGGCUUCCCCUAUAAAGUCUAAAGGUUCUAGCACGGCAGAUAGUUAUUGGCGAAAGAUUCUUGAAUUAGAGAAUCUUAUGAAUCUAAGUUAUACACGUAUGGCAGUGAAUCUGUUCGGGUGAAGUAUAACAAAUUCACUGCCAUACGUGUAUACCUUAGAAUUCAUAAGAUUCUCGAGGUCUUAAAUCUUCCGCAAUACCUAUCUGUCGUGCUACAACCUUUAGAUUUUAUAGGGGAAGAAGUCAUGCCGAAUAAACUUAUAAAGAGAGCUUUUGGAUCACUUCAAACUAAAACUUUGUAUCCCAACUGCUAAGGUUUUGGAAGUAAUGACAAUAAAGAAAUGCCUCUAGAAGUUACAUUUGGAAUCACUUGGGAAACUUGGAGACUCUUUUCUUGAACGUGAUGUUAGUAUACAACUGUUUAAGACUUAUGAAAGUCAUCACGAGGAUUUUCUCAAAUUUAAGAAAAAUAAAAUCAUUGACAAUGUUACACUGUGCAAGUUUUGAUGUGCUCGUAAAAUAUCAAAAUUCACCCAUAAUGAACCAUUCAAUCUUAAAACGUGAAUCAUUCAUGAUGAUAAUUCUCAAGUUCACAACUUUGAUUAAGAGUUCUUGUUGCCUUCAAUAAAAAUAUAUAGUAGGCUAAGGAAAACGAUAAGAAAUAGUAUGAAGUAGUUGAUGUGGUUGAGGCACCAAUAGGUGCCUACCUCAACUUGUGUAGGGAAGUAACGACUUUACCAUUUAUGAAAUGGCUUUGGUUGCACAGUGAUUUUGUCGAUGCACCUAUACCAAGACACUUCCCUGUGAAUGUUGAAAAACUAGUUAAUGUCCGGUACUUUGAAUCCCUGCUACAUUACAAGUUCAAUUAUCCUUCAGUGCUUGUUGAAGCUCUAACUCAAAGAUCAUACAUGCUACCUGAGAUUCCACAAUGAUGUUAACGUUCAGAGUUUCUUGGAAAUGCAAUUCUAGAUUAUGUUGUUACAACACAUCUCUAUUUCAAAUAUUCGAACUGACUCCGUGACUAAUUACUGAUUUGAGGUCUGCUUCUUUAAAUAAUGAAUGAUAUGCUCAAUCUGCAGGUAAGGCUGGCCUGAACAAGCACCUUCUUCAUGCAUCGCCAAAUAUACAAAAGAAGAUCUGUUGCACUGUUGCGGAUUUUUGAGAAAUUGGAUCUUGUGUCCAUGUUCGUAUGGGAGGCUGAAACUACUUCCCAAAUGUGCUUGGAGAUGUUAUUGGGUCCGUUGUUUGUGCGAUCUUUGUUGAUUCUAGCUCCAACAAAGAUACUAAUACAUUUAUAAGCUUAAGACCUCUUCUGGAACCGUUGAUUACACCUCAAACAAUAAAACUCCAGCCAACAAGAGAGUUUAGUGAACUAUGUGACGAUAAAGGUUUUUUAAAAAAGAAAUCAGUUUCUUCAUGAGACAAGAACUCGACAUUCGUAGAUAUCAAAAUUGUGUGGGACUCUACCAGAUGAGUCAAAUUUCAGUUAGGAUUCUUGAAAACUACUCCUAGCUUACACUAUAUAAAGGGUAAUAUAUCCCUUAGAGAGGGAUCUUCAAAAUUUCAUAAAUUCAUGAAAUAUUUACAAAGGUAUCAAGAUGUGGGUGGACUCUUGUUGAUAACCAAAUACUUCAAAAAAAGAUCCAGAAAAACCUCUUUACAUGGAUAUCAAAUAAAAUUCAUUUAAGGUGCAAAUUAUCCUACAAAAGAAUCAAGAGAGGGACAUAAUUGUACCCAAACUGUUAAUUAAUAAAAUAUUCUUGUUUCGUCAUAUUUAUUUUAUGGUCGGAUUUUAAUUUCCAUAUAUAAGAUUUAUUGCAAAUUUUUUUGUCUCCUUGAACCCUAACUAAAAUUUAUAAUGUGUUUUGGGGUUUGAUUAGUUCGAUCGGAGUUGAUUAAUUGGUGAGAAUUCAUUCGACAUUGAAAAAAAUGAAUAUUCAUUGAUCAAAUCAUUCACUCUGUAGUCUGAUAGAUCUUUUGUAGAAAUUAAUUAAUCAAACGAGAAUAACGAUAGAUCAAGUCCCUUUGGGGUCAUCUCAUACCUUCUAUAUAAUAUUUAUCUCCCAAAAGCUUGGAGAUGCACACACAAGAUUUGUUGAAGUUUGACUUAAAAUAAUGAGAAUGACCUCAAACAGUAUAUAAUAGGCAUUGUUCAUAUAUAUAUGAUGACUAAAUUUUCAAUAAUUAAUAGGCUAGACUUUCCUUGGUUUUACCUCAAGGGUAUUAUUGUAACUAGCUUAGGUUAGUUUAUCUAUUAUUAGAAAUAGUAGAAAGUAGGGUUUAUUUUAGGAGUUGGUUUGGAAUGAACAUUUUAUGUUUAGGCUUCUUUGUGAGUUUGAAGAAACCCUCAUAAAUGUUCAAUUGAACCCUCUUGAUUACUUAGGUUAGUCUUCACUUGUAUGAGUUCAAUUUCAUUUCACCCUUAGAUUUUAUUCUAGUAAUUAAAUGUCUUUUAGUUGCUAGACCGUCCUUUUUGACUUCUAAAUCUCUGUCUUUCUUUCUGUUUCUUAAUAGUAUAUUUUGUUUGCUUGAUUGCGGUUCACUUUAUUGUUCUUGCGUCUAGAAUUACAUCAAUUGAUAUUUCUCCCUCUUCCUUUCUAUUUCUAAACCAUAUAUAUUGCUUUCUUGAUUGUGGUAUUAGGUAAGUCUAUCCUUCAAGGCAUAAAUAGCAGAAGUCCCUAGAUUUUUGCCACCACUGGAAAUUGUACUUGAUACCUUAUGGUUCUCAACUUACUUCCUUGACGACCAGGUAAUGUUUUGAUUGAAUGCUAAAAAAAUAUAUUUCUGAUGCAAAAGGAAUUUUCCUCUAGUGAAGAAUAUAUUGAAUUGCCUUUUUAUUAUGUUCCAUGAACCCUACUAUUCUAGGUAGGUAUUAAUUGAAUUUUGGUGCACCUCCCAUCUGUGAAUUUCUUUAUGUCUUCAGGAUUUAAUUAUUAGAUUAAGGUAGUGUAGGGAUUGGAAGUAUAACUUAUACAUGUCACCUAUACAUCCAUUCCUCCUCGCCUUGAUCCAAAAAAAACCAAGAGAAUUGACCCCAACUAGCUUAGAAUUGACACAUAGUUGUUGUUUAUAUCAAUAUUUUUUUGACAAAUACCUUUAUCAUAACUUCCACAUAAUGACUAAUAAUGUAAACCUUUUAUACUAGUAUGAUCAAUAUAUUGCUAGCUUUGAUAUUUGCUUAAAAUUUGCUUAAUUUGGUAUUUAAUUACUUAGCAUUGGGUGAUGCAGUGGGUGUGCAUUAGUUAGUAUUGUCCAGAUACCUAAUGCAAAGUGUCACUUGGCUUGGACCACAGUGAUCCAUAACUUAUGUAAAAAUAUAGGACAUAAAAGAAAACUUGUUAGCAUUGUGUGUUGCAGUGAGUGUGCAAGAGUUAUUAUUGUCCAGUUACCUAAUGCAAAGUGUCACUAGGCUUGAACCGCAGUGAUCUAUAGCCUAUGUAAAAAUAUAGGACAUAAAAGAAAACUAAUAAUCUUUUUUCUCUAUUAAAGUAUUUGGGCGACCUAUUAAAUGUUGAGACAUUUUAUACUAGAAUUUUGGUAAUUUGAAUGAGUAUGAUUUGCGUACAUUGACAACAAUGAUAUUGAAACCCAAUUUAAACUUGUCCUAAGCUAGAAAGCGUGUUGAGCUCGUUAGGGAGGAUGUUCCCACUAAUGGUGACUUUCCAAAUUGUCAUACUUUUCUUGAGGAAGUGUCUCAUCUCAUAGAGUUUCACAAAUUUUUGGUGUCUAUAAAUUCCCUCUACUUCAAGGCUUGUGGGAGUGUAAACUUGAUAAACUUGAUAAACUCAAAGACGAGACUUGAAGUACUCACAAAAAUGGAGUUUCAAUCUUUGCGGUUUGUGGCUUCAGAUUCACAUUUGAUUUGUGAGAGAGGAGAUAAAGGGUAAAUUGGGUCACACUGGGCGUGCCAAUUUAUUUGCAAUAUUUUUUCUCAAAUACAAAAAAUAUAUUGCAAUCACAUAAUAAAUAAAAAAGAAUGACUUUAUUCAUAAAGAUUGUGAGUACAAAUAUGUUUAUCCCUUGAUUCCUUUCUAUUAAGAUUUCUCCGUGAUUCAAGGGAUGUUAGUGUCACUCAAACUAAAGAUGAUGUGGACCUCCUUAGGAUUUAUUUGAUCUCCGUGAAAGGAUUUUAUGGAUCUUGUUAAAACAUUUGGUUGUGAAGAAGAGUGCACCCACAUCUUGAUUACUUUAUGAAUAUUCCAUGAAUAUAUGAAAUUUUAGAGAUGCCUAUUCAAGGAAAUACAUUACACUUUAAAUAAGUGUGAGCUUGAGUUUAGGGUAAGUAGUCUCCAAGAACCUUAAAUGAAAUUGGACUCAUCUUGUAGAGUCCUGCAUAAUUUUGAUGUAUCACAAAUGUCGAAUUCUUGUCCCAUGAUUUUUUUGGGUCACAUAGUUCACUUAACUGUCUUGUUGGAUAGAGUUUUAUUGUUUGAUCGACUAUUCCAGAAGAGGUCUUGUAAUACCCCGGAAAUUCUAUGACUUAAGUUAGAGCCUCACCUUAUGAACAUUGACUUAAAAAUAGUUAAAAUGAUGUUUCUAAACCUUAAGUAAUGCAAUUGACUUGGUUUGGAAGAGUAGAAGUCUAAACGUCAAGAAACGACCACGACGUCCGGAAACUAGAGAAGAUUGUGUUCUAGUGUGUCCUUAGGUUUUGGGCAGGUUUGGGAGUGUCGUAUGAUGGUAUAAUCUGGUGAAAAGGUUUAAAAUAGGUAAAUAUAUGUUCCUAGGGUCAAAACGUUUGAAUACGACUCCUCGGGACCACACUAAGGGGCCCCGAGGAGGACCCCAACCUUGGCCAAGCAAGCUGUCGAGGCAGAUUGCAAGUUGUGCAUAGAGGGAAUGAGGGCGCGUCGCGCACUUGCUCCCCCAAGGAGAAAAAAUUCAGUUCGCGAUGAGGUCGUGUCGCGGACUCUACUGUCUCGAAAUUUAAUUCCAAAUAUCUUCAGGGAACAGCUCAAGUCCGCGACGAAAAUGCAGAAAUUCAGAAAUAUAUUUUUACUUCAUUAAAGAGUCCAUUUAAGUGAGGGGUAUUUAGGGUACUUUAGGGGACGUGUAUAUAAUGAUUUUUAAGUCAAUUUACCUCACUUUAUCACUCAAACACAAAACCCCAAAGAUCUAAACCUAAAGUUCAUCCUUCUCUCUACUCUCUCUCUNNNNNNNNNNNNNNNNNNNNNNNNNNNNNNNNNNNNNNNNNNNNNNNNNNNNNNNNNNNNNNNNNNNNNNNNNNNNNNNNNNNNNNNNNNNNNNNNNNNNNNNNNNNNNNNNNNNNNNNNNNNNNNNNNNNNNNNNNNNNNNNNNNNNNNNNNNNNNNNNNNNNNNNNNNNNNNNNNNNNNNNNNNNNNNNNNNNNNNNNNNNNNNNNNNNNNNNNNNNNNNNNNNNNNNNNNNNNNNNNNNNNNNNNNNNNNNNNNNNNNNNNNNNNNNNNNNNNNNNNNNNNNNNNNNNNNNNNNNNNNNNNNNNNNNNNNNNNNNNNNNNNNNNNNNNNNNNNNNNNNNNNNNNNNNNNNNNNNNNNNNNNNNNNNNNNNNNNNNNNNNNNNNNNNNNNNNNNNNNNNNNNNNNNNNNNNNNNNNNNNNNNNNNNNNNNNNNNNNNNNNNNNNNNNNNNNNNNNNNNNNNNNNNNNNNNNNNNNNNNNNNNNNNNNNNNNNNNNNNNNNNNNNNNNNNNNNNNNNNNNNNNNNNNNNNNNNNNNNNNNNNNNNNNNNNNNNNNNNNNNNNNNNNNNNNNNNNNNNNNNNNNNNNNNNNNNNNNNNNNNNNNNNNNNNNNNNNNNNNNNNNNNNNNNNAUUUCGGUGCUGGAACUGAUGGAACCUUGCUGCGUUCUUGAACUAGGGUUCUUGACCUUUUUCUCCUCUCUUGCUUCUAAUUUUCUAAGUUUUGAUUAAUGAUUUUGACUAAGGUAAGUUGUAGUUAUGUUUCUAGGCUUAAACUGAUUAAAAUCUCAUGAUUUAGGGUUUAAACGACGUAUCUUAGGGGUUAAACGAAAUAGGAAAAGACCAAAAGACCCCUGAAUGAACUGCUGUCGGAGUGAUCGACGGAUUGGAUUGACGGGCCGUAGGUCAAUCGACGGUCCGUCGAUUGGAGUCGUCGAUCGAGUUUGCCUGACAGGGCUUCACUAAAACGAGCAUAAACUUUUUACUCGGAGGUUGAAAUUUAGUAAACUCGGUGGCGUUGGAAAGAUAAUUCAAUUAUCUAUCAUAUAAUAGGUCAUGGGACACACAAUUACUUUUUGGAUAAAAGUUAUGACCAUCUGAAGUUGACCAAUCAAUAAUCUUCAUCUAACUGACUGUUGACCCUCAUCUACGGUCAGACCUACGGACCGUGGAUCGAAUGAUGGUUCGUGCUGGUCGACCGUAGUUUGUGUCAGAGGCUGGGUAAGGGAAGUCUUGAUCCACGGACAGAGACCACGGACCGUGGUCUGAUCUACGGACCGUGGGUCUGUCCGUGAGUCGGGACUUAGCCAAUUUUCUGAGCUGGGUCUGGGAGGGGUUUCAGUGUUGAACCAUGGACCACCAGCACGGGCCGUGGUCUGACCUACGGUCCGUGGAUGGCAACCGUGGGUUGCACCUGAAACUUCUCAAAAUCUGCAUUUUUGGUCUGUUUCGAAUACAGGGUGUUACAAUUUAAGUGAAGGGUAUAUAGGGUACUUUAGGGGACGUGUAUAUAAUGAUUUUUAAGUCAAUUUACCUCACUUUUAUCACUCAAACACAAAACCCCAAAUAUCUAAACCUAAAGUUCCUCCUUCUCUCUACUCUUUCUCUCUUCUCAAGAACUCCAGUGAAGAAGAUUGGAACUUCAAGAAGAAGACCAAAUCUCCAAGGUUUCAACUCGUUUUUUUAUCACUCUUGGAAUUUAUUUCCCCAAGAGGCCCCUUCAAGAUGAAUUUCAAAAUCUCCAAUUUCUAGGUUUCAAUCCAAAAACGUGGAUCUUCUUUCUAAAGUGAAAUUGAUGUUAUAAACUGAAUUUGAUUGAUUUUAUAUGAACAAUUAUGGAUGAAUUUAUGUUGUAUUGGUGGUUUCUUGAAGAAUUCCCCAUGAGACCCAUGUUUCUCCUUUUUUCCUAAUUCUAACCCUAGUUUGUGUUGGUAUAUUGAUUGAAGGCUAUGAAUUGAAUGUGAUGUUAUGUAAUUCAUGUUUGUAUGAUGAUUCUACCCUAUGUUAUGUAUAAUUUCUAUGAAAUUAGGUUGAGUCUUGAAUGAAGCCUUGAAGGCUAUGAAGGGAAUAUGUCAAUUGCUUAUAUUGAUGUUGAUUAUGUUAUUACUUCAUGAAUUACCUUGUAUUAUGUAUUGGUUAUGAAUUGCUUGGUAAUUGAAGUAUGGAUGUCCCACGAAGGGCAAGAAGGUAUGAAGGUUGGUUCUUCUUUGAACUCAAGUAUGAAAGGUGAAUUACUUAGAUUGUAAUGAUGAUAUACCUAAUGUGUUGUUGUGGUGUUGAUGACCUAGUUUUUAACCCUCUACACUUGAAUUAGCUAUGAAGUAUGUAUGUAUAUUAUGGUAUGAUUGCUAUAUGGAUUGGAAGGUAGUUCUCAUGAUUGUAGUGUAAUGAAACUGAAAGGUUGACUCACUUGCUAAGUGUUUCUAAAGUGAAAGGAUUGUUACUCACUUAUGAACACAUAUGAGCUAUUAUGAUAAGAUGUCUACAUAAGAGUCUAGUAAAGGCUAAUGUGAACUUAUGUGAUGACUAAAGAUGAUUACAAAGGGGAAUCAGAUGCUUAGCACCGAAAGGGCAAUGUAAAUGAGAUGGGGGUCUCACGUUUAGUAAGUCCGGCUCCCCACAUGGGUUUCCUCACGUUUAGCAAGUCCGGAUUACCCACGGUAUGUGUUGUCUCAUGAGAUGGAAACCCCCACGUUUAGUAAGUUAGGAUUUCUAGAAGCAAUCUCCUUGACCCUUAACUAUAUGCCCACAUAGGACUCUAGCUUAGUAGAUCCACCUAGAUAGCUAUGUACGAAUGGUUACACCUUAGGCAAGUGUUAACCCUCUCUUUUCGAUGUGNNNNNNNNNNNNNNNNNNNNNNNNNNNNNNNNNNNNNNNNNNNNNNNNNNNNNNNNNNNNNNNNNNNNNNNNNNNNNNNNNNNNNNNNNNNNNNNNNNNNNNNNNNNNNNNNNNNNNNNNNNNNNNNNNNNNNNNNNNNNNNNNNNNNNNNNNNNNNNNNNNNNNNNNNNNNNNNNNNNNNNNNNNNNNNNNNNNNNNNNNNNNNNNNNNNNNNNNNNNNNNNNNNNNNNNNNNNNNNNNNNNNNNNNNNNNNNNNNNNNNNNNNNNNCUUUGAAUAGGGUUAUGGAGUUCUAUUCUUUGCAUUUCACUUGUAUUUCUUGGGCUGUCUACGUGUUGGGAUGAUAUUAUGUUGGUUUGGACUAUGAUACUUAAUUUGUGUGCAUAUUGGAUUAUUUGGCAAAAAACAUGUUUUGAAUAAAAUGUUAUUUUAUGCAUGUUUCAAUGGUUUUUAUGCAUAGUAGCCAUACUUAGUACGUGUGUUGUACUAACCCAUAUUUUCUCCCUUUUCCCAAACAUUUAGAUUCGGGCCGUUGAGGAUUCAAGCUUACUUCUCAAGACACUUGGAGUUGCUUCCCCAAGUUGGUGAGUCCUCAAGUCCGAGGACAAGACCCUAUGAUCUAGCUUCUAUGUUUAGUUCUUUGCUUAUGUUGAAACACAUUGUUGUACUUUCUAUUUUCAAGACUUCUUAUUGAUGUAAGGGCUAAGUCCCAUUUUCGAUACUUCUAUGUCUAGAUGGUGCAUUGUGAUGAAGUUAGAUUCUAUUUUUCAUAUAUGAAGUGAAGUUGAACUUCCAAAGUAAAAGUUUUAAACUUUCCGUGAUUUUAUUCUAUGAUACAUGUUAUGACGAAUGCUAAGGGCUUGUAUAAGACCUCUUCGAGGUCAAAUACGCCGGUAACGACUAGGGGGUGCUCUCGGGUCGUUACAGGUCUUAUGCUUAGAAAUGUAGUAUCUUUAUAGAAGCCAGUAUCAACAAAGAUCACACUCUAGCAAAGGACUUAAUAAUAUCUCCAAGCACAUUUGGGAAAGUAGUUUCACUCUCCCAUUCAAACGUGGACACAAGAUCCAAUUUCUCAAAAUCCUCAACUGUACAACAUAUAUGUAUUUGAAUAUUUGGCAAGGCAUGAAGAAUGUGCUUAUGCAUGCUAGCCUUAACUGCAGAUUGAGCAUAACAUUCAUUAUUUACAAAAGUAGACGUCAAAUAAGUAAUUAGUCUAGGAUUCAGUAUCGAAUAUUUGAAAUAGAGAUGUGUUGUAAUAACAUAACCUAGCACUACAUCUCCAAGAAAUUCCAAGUGCUAAUAACAUCUUGGUAUCUCAGGUAGCAUGUAAGAUCAGUGAGUGAGCACUUUAACAAGCAAUGAAGGGUCAUGAAACUUGUAAUGUAGCAGUGAUUUCCAAGUACCGUACAUUGACUAGCUUCUCAGCAUUCACGAGGAAGUGCCUUAAGUUCCUUAGGAUAAGUGCAUCAAUAAAAUCAAUGUCCAUCGCAAUCCAUUUCAUAAAUGAUAAAGUUGCUACUUCCCCGCCUGAGCUGAGGUAGGCACCUAUUAGUGCCUCAACCACAUCAGCUACACUCUUGCUUAUAAUCUCCUACUUUACCCUACUAUACUUUUUCACCGAAGGCAAACUCUUUGCCAAAGCUUUAAACUUGAGAAUUAUCAUUAGGAAUGAGCCCCAUUUUAUGAUCGAAUAGUUCAUUAUGGAUAAAUCUCAGAAUUUUACGAGCACAUCUAAGCUUGAACAAUGUAGCAUUGAAAAUGAUUUUAUUUUUCUUAAUGCUGAAAAGGCCUUCAUGAUGAUUUUCAUAAGUCUUAAACAGCUGUAUACUGAUAGCAUCUUUGAGAAAAGAGUCUCCAAGUUACCCAAGUGAUUCCAAAUGAAACUUCUGGAGGCAUUUCUUUGUUGUCAUCACUUCCAAAACCUUAGUAGUUGGGAUAAAAAGUUUUAGUUUGCAGUGAUAAAAAAGAAUUCUUUUCAAUUUUAUUCGGCAGGAUUUCUUCCUCUAUAAAGUCUAAAGGUUCUAGCACGGCAGAUAGUUAUUGGCGAAAUAAUCUUAACUUUGAGAAUCUUAUAAAUUCUAAGGUAUACACAAAUGGCAGUGAAUUUGUUUGGGUGAAGUGUAACAGAUUCACUGCCAUAUGUGUAUACCUUAGAAUUCAUAAGAUUCUCAAGGUCAAGAAUCUUUCGCCAAUAACUAUCUGUCGUGGUACAACCUUUAAACUUUAUAGGGGAAGCAAUCAUGCUGAAUAAACUUGGAAAGAAAGCUUUUGGAUCACUACAAACUAAAACUUUGUAUCCCAACUUCUAAGGUUUUGGAAGUAAUGAAAACAAAGAAAUUCCUCCAGCAGUUUCAUUUGGAAUAACUUGGGAAACUUGGAGACUAUUUUCUCAAAUGUGAUGGUAUACAACUGUUUAAGACUUAUGAAAGUCAUCACGAGGGUUUUCUCAGAAUUAAGAAAAAUAAAAUCAUUUCCAAUGUUACACUGUGCAAGUUUGGAUGUGCUCGUAAAAUAUUAAAAUUUAUCCGUAAUGAACCAUUCAAUUUUAAAGCAUGAAUCAUUCCUAAUUCUCAAGUUCACUACUUUGAUGUGGUUGUAGGCCAAGGAAAACGAUUAGAAAUAGUAAGAAGUAGUUGAUGUGGUUGAGGUACUAAUAAGUGCCUACCUCAACUCGUGUGGGGAAGUAGCGGCUUAAUCAUUUAUGAAAUGGAUUUGGUUGCACAUUGAUUUUGUCGAUGCACCUAUGCCAAGACACUUCACUGUGUAUGCUGAGAAGAUAGUUAAUGCCUGGUACUUUGAAUCCCUGCUACAUUACAAGAUCCAUGAUCCUUCACUGCUUGUUGAAGCUCUAACUCAAGGAUCAUACAUGCUACAUGAGAUUCCACGAUGAUAUCAACGUUCAGAAUUUCUUGGAGAUGCAGUGCUAGAUUAUGUUUUUACAACACAUCUCGAUUUUAAAUAUUCGUACUGACACCAUGUCUAAUUACUGAUUUGAGGUCUGCUUCUUUAAACAAUGAAAGAUAUGCUCAAUAUGCAGUUAAGGCUGGCCUGCACAAGCACCUUCAUCAUGCCUUGCCAGAUCUACAAAGGCACAUAUGUUGUACUAUUGAGGAUGUUUGAGAAAUUGGAUCUCGUGUGCAUGUUCGUAUGGGAGGCUGAAACUACUUUCUCAAAGGUGCUUGGAGAUAUUGUUGGGUCCGUUGUUUGUGCAAUCUUUGUUUAUUCUAGCUUCAAUAAAGAUAUUAAUACAUUUCUAAAGAUAAGACCUCUUCUGGGACUGUUGAUUACACCUCAAACAAUAAAACUCUAGCCAACAAGAGAGUUAAGUGAACUAUGUAACCAGAAACAUUAUUUAAAAAAGAAAUCAGUUUCUUUAUGAGAUAGGAACUCGACAUUUGUAGACAUCAAAAUUGUGUGGGACUCUACCAGAUGAGUCCAAUUUCAGUUAGGAUUCUUGAAAAGGACUCAUAGCUUACACUAUAUAAAGGGUAAUAUAUCCCUUAGAGAGGGAUCUUGAAAAUUUCAUAAAUUCAUGAAAUAUUUACAAAGAUAUCAAGAUGUGGGUGGAAUGUUCUUGAUAACCAAAUUCUUCAAAAAAAAAGAAAUCCACCAAAACCUCUUUACAUGGAUAUCAAAUAAAAUUCAUUUUAGCUGUAAAUUAUCCUACAAAAGAAUCAAGAGAGGGACAUAAUUGUACCCAAACUGUUAAUUAAUAAAAUAUUCUUGUUUCGUCAUAUUUAUAUUGUGGUUGGAGUUAAUUUUCCAUAUAUAAGAUUUGUUGCAAACAAAUUUUUGUCUCCUAGAAUCCUAACUAAAAUUUAUAAUUUGUUUUGGGGUUUGAUUAGUUCGAUUGGAGUUGAUUAAUUGGUGCGAAUUCAUUCGACAUUGAAGAAAAAAAUGAAUAUUCAUUGAUCAAAUCAUUCACUCCGUAGUCAGAUAGAUCUUUUGUAGAAAUUAAUUAAUCAGACGAGAAUAAAGAUCGAUCAAGUGCCUUUGGGGUCAUCUCAUACCUUCAAUCAGAGGCGAAUCCAGGACUUCAAGAAAACGGGUGCACCAUUGCUUUAGAAGUUCGUUUUUUUUUUUAAAACACCAGUGUUAUUAGUUACUAAAUUUUUUUGAAGUGAAUUGUGGCUGACUGGGAUUGAACUCAGGACCUUGGUGUUAAAAUUUGGCUGUCAAACCAGUGAACCAUCCAGCAACUUUAAGAACGGGUUCAACAAGUUUAUUUAAUAUGUUCUUUAAUAAUUAUACAAGUAAUAUAUCGAGUUUAGUCGGAGGACCACGGGUUCGGGUGACCCAAAUUUUACACAUAAAUUCGCCACUGCCUUCAAUGUAAUAUUUAUCUCCCAAAAGCAUGGAGAUGCACACACAAGAUUUGUUGAAGUUUGACUUAAAAUAAUGAGAAUGACCUCAAACAGUAUAAUAGGCAUUGUUCAUAUAUAUAUGAUGACUAAAUUUUAAAUAAUUAAUAGGCUAGACUUUCCUUGGUGUUAGCUCACGGGUAUUAUUGUAACUAGCUUAGGUUAGUUUAUCUAUUAUUAUAAAUAGUAGAAACUAGGGUUUAUUUUAGGAGUUGGUUUUUGAAUGAACAUUUGAUGUUUAGGCUUCUUUGUGAGUUUGAAGAAACCCUCAUAUCUGUUCAAUUGAACCCUCUUGGUUACUUAGGUUAGUCUCCACUAGUAUGAGUUCAAUUUCUUUUCACCCUUAGAUUUUAUUCUAGUAAUUAAAUGUCUUUUAGUUGCUAGACCGUCAUUUUUUACUUCUAAAUCUCUGUCUUUUUUUCUGUUUCUUAAUAGUAUAUUUUGUUUGCUUGAUUGUGGUUCACUGUAUUGUUCUUGCGUCUAGAAUUACAUCAAUUGAUAUUUUUCCCUCUUCCUUUCUAGUUCUAAACCAUGCUUUCUUGAUUGUGAUAUUCGGUAAGUCUAUCCUUCAAAGCAUAAAUAGAAGAAAUCACCUACAUUUUUGCCACCGCUGAAAAUUGUACUUGAUACCUCGUGGUUCUCAACUCACUUCCUUGAUGACCAGGUAAUGUUUUGAUUGAAUGCUAAAAAAAUAUAUUUCUGAUGCAAAAGGAAUUUUCCUGUAGUGAACAAUAUAUUAAAUUGCCUUUUUAUUAUGUUCCAUGAACCCUACUAUUCUAGGUAGGUAUUAAUUGAAUUUUGGUGCACCUCCAAUCUGUGAAGUUCUUUAUGUCUUCAUGAUUUAAUUAUUAGAUUAAGGUAGUACGGGGAUUGGAAGUAUAAUUUAUACAUGUCACUUGUACAUCCAUUCCUCCUCGCCCUGAUCCAAAAAACCAAAAGAAUUGACCCCAACUAGCUUAGAAUUGACAUGUAGUAGUUGUUUAUAUCAAUAUUGUUUGACAAAUGCCUUUAUCAUAACUUCCACAUAAUUCCUAAUAAUGUAAACCUUUUAUACUAGUAUGAUCAAUAUACUGCUAGCUUUGAUAUUCACUUAAAUUUUAUUUAACUUGGUUUUUAAUUACUUAGCAUUGGGUGUGCAUGAGUUAUUAUUGUCCAGAUACCUAAUGCCAAGUGUCACUUGCCUUGGACUACAAUGAUCCAUAGCUUAUGUAAAAAUAUAGGACAUAAAAGAAAAUUUGUUAGCAUUGUGUGUUGCACUGGGUGCGUAGGAGUUCUUAUUGUCCAGAUACCUAAUGCAAAGUGUCACUUGGCUUGGACCAUAGUGAUCCAUAGCCUAUGUAAAAAUUUUAGGACAUAAAAGAAAAAUAAUAAUCUUUUUUCUAUAUUAAAGUAUUUGAGCGACUUAUUAAAUGUUGAGACAUUUAAUACUAGAAUUUUGGUAAUUUGAAUGAGUAUGAUUUGCGUACAUUGACAACAAUGAUAUUGAAACCAAAUUUAAACUUGUCCUAAGCUACAAAGCGUGUUGAGCUCGUUUAGGAGGAUGUUCCCACUAACCGUGACUUUCCAAAUUGUCACACUUUUCUUGAGGAAGGGUAAUCAUCUCAUAGAGUUCCACAAAAUUUUGGUGUUUAUAAAUGCCCCCUACUUCAAGGCUUGUCGGAGUAUAAACUUGAUACACUCAAAGGCGAGACUUGAAGUACCCACAAAAAUGGGGUUUCUAUCUUUGUGGUUUGUGGCUUCAGAUUUUCAUUUGAUUUGUGAGAGAGGAGAUGAAGGAUAAAUUGGCUCACACUGGGCGUGCCAAUUUAUUUGCAAUAUUUUUUCUCAAAUACAAAAAAUAUAUUGCAAACACAUAAUAAAUAAAAAAGAAUGAUUUUAUUCAUAAAGAUUGUGAGUACAAAUAUGUUUAUUCCUUGAUUCCUCUCUCUUAAGAUUUCUCCGUGAUUCAAGGGUUGUUAGUGUCACUCAAACUAAGGAUGAUGUGGACCUCCUUAGGAUUUAUUUGAUCUCCGUGAAAGGGUUUUAUGGAUCUUGUUAAAAUAUUUGGUUGUCAAUAAGAGUGCACCCACAUCUUAAUCACUUUAUGAAUAUUUCAUGAAUAUAUGAAAUUUUAGAGAUGCCUAUUCAAGGAAAUAUAUUACACUUUAUAUAUGUGUGAGCUAGAGUUUAGGGUAAGUAGUCUCCAAGAACCUUAAAUGUAAUUGGACACAUCUUGUAGAGUCCCACAUAAUUUUAUGUCUCAAAUGUCAAAUUCUUGUCGCAUGAAUUUUUUUUGGGUCACAUAGUUCACUUAACUGUCUUGUUGGAUAGAGUUUUAUUAUUUGAUCGACUAUUCGAGUAGAGGUCUUAUGCUUAGAAAUGUAGCAUCUUUAUAGAAGCCAGUAUCAACAAAGAUCACACUCUAGCAAGGGACUCAAUAACAUCUCCAAGCACAUUUGGGAAAGUAGUUUCACUCUCCCAUCCAAACGUGGACACAAGAUCCAAUUUCUCAAAAUUCUCAACAGUACAAAAUAUCUGCCUUUGGAGAUCUGGCGAGGCAUGAAGAAUGUGCUCAUGCAUGAUAGCCUUAACUGCAGAUUGAGCAUAACAUUCAUCAUUUACUUGAAAUAGAGAUGUGUUGUAACAACAUAAUCUCUAUUUGAAUCAGUCUUGGAAUCAGUCUCGAAUAUUUGAAAUAGAGAUAUGUUGUAACAACAUAAUCUAGCACUACAACUCCAAGAAAUUCCAAGUGCUAAAUGCAUCGUGGAAUCUCAGGUAGCAUGUAAGAUCCGUGAGUAUAAUGGACAAGUAAAGAUGGACGGAGGGAGUAUUCCCUAUACUGAAAAUAAAUGUUUCAUUUUACUUGUUCAUUGUCACUAAUCAAGAUAGUGUUUUUAUGCUACCCAUAAUAUUAAAUAACCACAUAAAAUAGUAGAGUAUUAGUCAAAUUUUAAAUUUUCAGAGCACUAAUAAUAAGGUUAGUUUAACACUUUCUUGUUCAGUUUUACUUGUGUACUAUAUUCUAAAAUUUAUUUUCAUUCAAUAUAUUCAGAUUCUUCUCAGAAUAAUGUGGUUCCUAGUCCUGCUAUGAGUGUGGUGAGUCAGGAAAAAUCAAUAGAGAUUGCUUUAGACUUAGAGCGGGAGACCGACAUUAACAGUGUUUUGUAAAGCGGUCACUUCAUUUCUAUUUUUAUAAAAAUAAAAAUUGACAAUUUUAUUUUAAAAAAAGAAGUGAGUAAAAUUUCCAAAUUCAGCUUGGAAAAAAUGAACAAUUUCAUAACAAAACACUAAUAUGGUAAAAAAAUAAAAUAUGUUAUUUUAAGAAACGUGAAUACAACUUUUUUCGUUUUGCCACAUUCGCAUUAGCUGGUCUUGAUUCAUUUAAUUCAUAUUUGACCAAAUAAGAUUUUUACCAAAUAUAACCACUACUAAUUAAUGCAAGGUAUGCCCAUUUUAAGAAGAAAAAAAUGGAUUAUAAAUUUACCAAGUGAUUUAGUUACUUUGAAAAACUCUAAACCUUCUUUAGAAAAUGGAGAAAGUUGAAGAAGAUAUGGUGUUGGCAUGUUCAGUGUGUCGCCAUGGAUUAGAAAAAUUGGGAAAUGGUGGCUGCCGAAUUCUCAGAUUCCAUUUCCAAACGAUUUCGAUGUAUUCUUCAAUAUACCCCUGUAGAAUGUCAGGUCAAGUACGAAAGUUUAAAAGGGCAUUUUAAGAGUCUAUAUCAGACAAAUUUUAUUGAAGAAGAAGAUGAUGAAAGUGGAUUCAUAAAUUUGAUGGCAGAUAAACUUACAAAGACUUAUAGAGAUUAUUGGACAAAGCAAGUCAAACUAGGAGAUACUCCAAUUCAGUAUGAUUUAUCUUUUUCAUAACUCCCUCUUUUUUCCCUUUCCAUGUUUUUUACUUAUGAUAUUUGAAGAAUUAUGCGUUUUCACUAAUUUUUUGUUUGAUCCACAUUUAUAUGAUGAUUUCUGCAAAAACAAAAUUAUCUAGGAGACACAAAAUAUAUUCAAAGAUAUAUAUCUUUUCUAAAGCUUAGGAAUUGGGGCAUAAAUAAAGUAUCACUAAUUGGUAUAAUCUACACUAAAAUAUUUCAUUUUUUUUUCAAAUAAAGUGUUCUUGAUUCCAAUUUUAUCAUUACUACAAAAAAAGGAAGAGAAAAGAAUAACCACUAUCACUAAACAUCAAAACUACAUUGUUAAUAUAUUUAGGACAAAAUGUCAAAUAAUAUUAUUAGCUAUAUACUUUUUAACGACGAAUUUCAUAACUAAUUAAUGUUUUUCCUUAUAAAAAUCACUAAUUGAUAGUUAGCUUUGAUGAUUGGCCCCAUAUAAUUAUUUAUUAGUUUUGUACUUUUAUUGUCCAAAUUAAUGUUUGUAAAUUUAUUUUUUUGGUACACUGAAAAAUAACUAAAAAGGAUAAAACUAAAUUUUGAUAAGUAAAAUUGCUUAAAUCUUCCAAAAGAAAAAACUUCAUAUUAUUGAUGGCGUCUUUCAAAACCAAAAAUUCUUAUUUAUUUUAAAAUAUAAAACAAAAUUGAGGUUAGGGAAAUGUAAAAUGGAGAAGGGGAUUACAAGGUAGGAGUUGAACCCUCAACUAAUAAAUUAAAAAUUUAAGCUAGUAAAAAAAUAAAGCUACUAAGAUUCUCCAACAAGCAAUUCUUUGUAUGUUAGGAUCUUUAUUUCUCAAAGAGUCUGUACGAUUAUUUGUCAUCUCUCUUCAAAUCCAUAUUUUAUUCUUCUUGAUGGUUUCUAUCAAGUGUUUAUAAUUUUCACCAAUAGCCAUAUGAGGCUGAAAUUAUAUAUCCACUAUUUUUUUUACAAAUCUGACAACAAAAUGGUAAUCUAAUUACUGAUAUCUUUAUUUAUUUUAUGUUUAUGUAGGAAAAAAUCUCCAAAUAUUUUCAAACAGGAAGCUGAAGAAAGAAUAAAGUUAAAUGAGGAAAAGGUAAUGAUAAAUCUAAUGAAAAGAUGGAGAAUAUUAAUCAAGAUUUCAUAAACUUCCUUAAUGUGGUGAGAUCUCACAAGCAUUGUUGUCUUUUUUAAUCUCGACUUCCCAGUUAGGUAAAUACAUUGCUAAUCUAUAUAUUGUGGUUUGUUAUCCUCAUAUUUUAAAUCUCGAUUUCCCAUGUUCUUUCCUCUUUUAUCUAUUAUGAAAAAGAAAUAGUAUUUUCUUAAUUGAAACAUGAUUAGCUUUAAAGUUUACAUCUUUUUAUCUUUAAAGACAUAUUUAAUUUGGCUUAACACAAAACAUAGAAUUCUGAAACUUGUGGUCUUAAAUACAUUGUAAUAUUUGUGUGACUAUAAAACUUCUGACUAAUGAUAAAAUAGAAAUUUUAUAGCUUGAUUAUUUUUAAAUAUAGACAUAUGCCAUUUAUUUUUAACAGAUUGAUAAUAAAAUAGUGCUACAAUCGGAAAGAAGGGAGUAUCUGACAUGUUUAAUACCAAAGGUCAUUUUUUUUUUUUCUAAACUCGCUGUGAGGUCAAAUUUAUAGUAUAAUCAUCAUAAAACAUGGAUUAUAUAUAUUCCUUAUUAGUGCUAAUGUUUAUAUUUUUUAAGGAAGAUCUAUAUUAUUUUAAACAAAUUAAGCAGCAUAUGGAUUUACAGAUUAUUCAAAAUAAGGUAGAGCAAGAUGUUUAUUCGAACGUGAAAAUCACCAGCUUAUUUAGAGAUCUCUUGUUGAUUUUCAACAAUGCCAUUGUUUAUUACCCAAAUGAAACUCUUCAGUAUUCUAUCGCGCUAGAACUCAGAGCCAAUAUUAUGAGAGAAAUGGGUAAGAAACCCCUAUUUUGUCGCAAAAUUGUGUGUGGAUUACCUGCAGCAUGUAACCCAAUGUUGGCCAACCAAAAAUUGGAGAAAAGGGCAUACAAGGCAUGUAACAAAGCUCAAGAAGGUGAGUCAUCAGCCAGGAGGAGCGUGAGAGUGAGAAAUAAGUUGGCUUGCGAAUUCAAGAACGAUCCGGAUUAUGAUUACAAAGGGCAACAAAGAAGAACAACAAAAAAGAAGAAGAAUAUUUUGGGAAUAAUGAGUGAAGCUUACUAAGAGGUGGUCGAGUUUAUAUGAUUUUUAGGUGUAUUAAAUUUCUUUUGUUUCGUUGUUCUGGUAAUAUUUCACAGUUUAUUAUCAAUGUAGAUUGUAGACUAUAAUUAAUAUCCUAACCCUCGUCAUACGUUUUUUUUAUCUCUAGGUUUUAUGGUUUUCAUCAACCUCUUGUGUUAGCAGAACGUUGGGAGUAAUUGCCUCUUUUUAGUGAUUGAAUGUGGUCAGCCAUGACCAUAACUUCUUAUUGAAACUCUAUUAUUUCACUCAUUAUUCUACCUUUUUAUGCCUUGUAACUCAUGCAACCUUGUUUUAGGCCAUUUAUUUACCUCAUAAUCUUCCUAUUCAUUACAAGGAAGAAUUCUCCCCUUCGGUAAAUAGUGAUGAUCUUACUUUGUUUUUGUGUAUAAGAAAAUAUAGAGUGCAUAAAAUUGAGUAAAAAGAGAAAGUUCUUAUUAGUUGAAGGGGGGUGUUUUUUUAAUGAGCUUUUGACUCAACUCUUGUCCAGUGUAUGUUGAGUUGUACUUUGUGGUCGGGCUUUGUUGUAUCCUAGAGGGAACAAGUCAAGAGGAUUACUACUGGACUGAUGAAAAGAUUUAUUAUCGUGGGCUUGAAUCUUCUUUAAAAGAGUGAGAUAUCCAUGUCUCAUCCUGAAGAUAAAGUUUUUUCUUCAGUUUAUUUUCAAUUGUAAUUUCACCAACAAAAACUAUUUGAUUUUCCCAUAUAAAUUAUAUCAUCCUGUAAUUUUAUUUUUUAAAAAAAUCUGUACUAUUUGAUCAAUCAAAGUACAUCUACGAGUAAAUCUAAAUCUGUUUUCUUGAUUUCUAUUUUUGAAUCGUGUGUCUAGUAGAAGCAACAUUUUUAUCACACAAAUAUAUGUGUAAAAUCUGUGUACACCUUAGCCUCCUCAAACUCACUUGUGAGAUUAUACUGAAUAUGGUAUUCACUAAUAAAAAGACCUGACUUCAAAAGAGGUAUGAAUAAACUCAUCUUUUGAAUUGAGGAUCAAUAAGAAAUAACCUCUUUAUCUCGAAAAGGUAAGGGUAUGAUCUGUGUACAUCCUACCUUCUUAUAUUGAAUAUGUUGUUCGCUACUAAAAAAGGCCUCAAUCAAUCUAAAAAAUCCGACUUCAAAAGUGGUAUGAAAAAACUGACCUCGCGAAAUCAAUUCUUUAAAAAAUAAAAUUCAAAACACAAAAGAAAACGAGAGAAAACUAUUUGUUCAAUUUUCAGUCAUAAACCAUAGUGAUUUUUGCACCCCCCCCCCCCCCCCAAAUUCAACUUAAACUUUGCACCUAAUUGACCCACCAACUCAUUUAAUGAGGACGAGGGAGGGGGUAAGGGGGUAAUGAGUUCCCCCUCCCUGUGGUUGGAAUUUCAAAAAACAAUGGGGCUAAAAUUUUGCAAAAAGAGGUAAUUUUUUUAAAUUUAUUUCAGAAUUUUGAUGGUAAAAAAACUAAGAUUUUUUAUAUAUUCAUUGUUUCAUGUUUUAAUUUUGAUGGAUUUGUUGUCAAAAGCUUGUAUAGCAAAUUUUCAAAAAGAAAAAAACUAUAUUGAUAUGGUGAAACUUCAAAUUUGGGUACCCAUUGUUUAGUCUGUCUUGAUCCAAUCCAUCUCAACAAUAAUAACAUUUGGGAGGGCUAAUCACCACCCGAAUUGCCCCAUCUAUUCUAUUGAGAAGGAUGUGGGUUUCUAACCUCGGUACAAACACGAGGAGUACUCUAUGAUAAUGUGUCUUGAAUGAUCCACACAUUCUUGACUGUCCUACUUCUAAGAUAUAAAGUUAUAAAUCAACCACACAUUCGCUAGAUCGCUCAUUUCACCUAAAUUUAGUGAGUUUUCUAGUUUGACGCAUCUUGAGUUGUCGCAUUCAUAUUCUUCAUGUCUAAUCCCUUCAGUUUAUGACUUGGACAUGAGUGAUUGUAAUCUCUCGGGGCUUAUUCGUAAACCUCUAUGGAAUCUCACCACCAUAGAGGCUUUGGACCUUGGUAAUAACCAUCUUGAAUGACCAAUUUCCGAUUUCUUUAGAUUUGGAAAGCUCAAGGACUUAUCAGUUGGAAAUAACAACUUCGGUGGCCAACUUGAGUUCUUAUCCUAUAACAGAAGUCAUAUACACAACUUGAAUGGCUAGAUUUUUCAUCCAAUUACCUAACCGGUCCAGUUCCAUCCAAUUAUUGGAGAUCUCAUUGGACUUCGUGGGUUGAACUUAUCUCAUAAUGUCUUGGAAACUCAUAUACCAGCGACAUUGCAAAUUUAUUUGUUCCCGAAUCAUUAGAUCUCUCAUCUAACAAAAUCAUCUGAGAAAUUCCCCAUCAACUUGCGUCCCUCACAUUUCUUGAAGUCUUUAGAUCAUUCAAUCGAACUAUAUGUGCCAUCACUAAAAACAUUGUAUUUCAGGCAAUUCUUUGCCAACUAGUAACUAGUCCCAAUAAAAUACUAUAUAUUUUGAUUUAAAUUUGUUCCCUUUUAACCCAUUUCGAGUAUAUCGCCUUGGUGCGACCGUGGAGGAUGUGAUGGCUUCCACAUAGACCCCAAUAUUCUUAAUGCUUCUAUUACCAUGUUUGGUGCCAUGAAAUCCACCAGAUGUACGAUCACGAUCUCCUAUUUGAAAGUUUAAUCCUUUUUGGAGUAUAUCAUCUUGGUGUGAUCAUGGAGGAUGUGAUGGCCUUCACAUAGACCCUUAUACUCUCAAUGCUACUACUACCAGGUUUUGUGCCAUGAAAUCCACCAAAUGUACGAUCAUCUCCUAUUUGAAAGUUGAACUCUUUUAAGUAGAUCUUAAUUUUCCAUGUAUGUGUGCUUCAGUUAUAUAUGACUAAAAUGCAUACAAAAUGGGCCAAAAUUUCAGUCUUGUUUGUCUUUUUUUUAAUGGAAUCAAUUAGGUGAGGUGCAUAGGGCUAGUUUUUCAAUUAAUAAAUAAAAGUGGACCUAAAAGAGAAUAGUACCAGCAACGGGAUCUAGACUUCUUUACUAAUUCUAAUGAGGUAACGAACCUCUACUAAUUAACAAGCAUGAAGAAUAUAAGAGCUAGAAAAAACUAGGUACUCUAUGAUCAUUAUAGUGUUUAUAAUAAACUCUAUGAUGGUGUUAUAAACGAGGAUGCUUAAGUAAUCCAAAAAUAGAAAAAUUAAGAAUAAAGUUGAGUUAUCAACCCCACAGUUCAUUUUAUAUAUGUAUGAACUUAAAAAGAUGUCUUGCCCGUCUAACUUAACACUUCUUUUAUUUCGUCUUCAUCAUCAAAUCUGUCCAACAACUCUUGACAGCUCAUCACUUCUUCUUGAAUUUAUUGGAUGUUGUUGACACUGUUGUAUGAUUUUGUUCUUCUAGUCACAUUGGUAAGUGACUUUUAGAACAAAUUCCUCCAUCACCUUACCAUCCCAACUAUGUCACAUUCCAUGUGUCAUCCUUUUAGUUUUGAAGCUUCCUCUCCUUUGUUGCCUAGGUGAAAGACCCCAUCCUUGGCCACCUUAUCAAAGUGUAUGUCCAGCAUAUAAUCCUCAACAUCACCAUAGAACAUUUCAUUGCCCAAGUUAAUACCAUAAACUGUUGUUGGACUUAUAAUGACUGAAACUACAACUCCUAGCUUAUGACUCUUUGUCAAUUCUUCAAUCCACAACAAGCUCCUCAAUUUGACCAGGUCCGUCACACUUUGGACAUCGCCACCGGGAUCGUUGAGGCCCUGAAAGAAAAUAUGUGUCCACUAUUAGUCAAUGGAACAGGUCCUUGACAGAAUAUCAGUGCGGAAAGUAAACAAAUCAAAGUAAAAAACAAAACGGGAGCUUACAUGGAAACCCCCUUGCUCAAGAGAGGAUAAAACCACGACAUGUCACAUAGGAUUUCAACACAACUCCAUUAUCAUCAAAAGGAUCAAAGAUUCAGAUUACAAACUCUAGUAAUCUAGGAAUUAACCUCUUAAUCCCUUCCCCCUUAAUGUAGCAACUAUGUUACUCAGUUCAGAGCAGCAACUCUAUGGCUCACUAGACCAACUAACUCUAGUCGAUCUAGAAUUUAAGAGCCAGACAUAGCUAACUCUAGCUAUGAUACAAAAUGAUGAGGAUUGAAACUGAUCUAAUUCCUUUAUAACUUAGGAAUAGAUCUUACAAGAAUAAACACAGAAAUAUGAAGCAUAAUAACAACUAAGAACAAAGAUAACUCUAUUAGGUCUCGCUGUUGUUCUUUGAGAAAUAUUUCACUCAAGAAAGGCUUUUGCUUUUGUUAAUUUCAGGAUGCAAAAACUAUGUUGUAUCAUUGGAGAAGAGACUUAUAUAAGAUAGACAAAAAAAAUCUUGAAGCAAUGCCAUUGGCUGAGAGUACUGUUGCUCAGCAAACAGACGUGCACCAACCACAACAGUGACACUGUUGCAACUUUUAGACAAUUGUCCUUUUCAAGUAACGGAACUCUUAGUCUCACCUGGGAUCUGGUUACCUAUUAGAUCCCAAAGUUUGUUAAAUCAUAAAAACUUCCGAGUUAGCUCAAAAUAACAUUUUCUCCUUUUUUGAGGAUGACAAACUUACUCAACUUCUUCUCAUUUUCAUCAGUUCCCCAUAUCAGCAUGACCAUGUCCUCUUCAAAAAACUACUAACAGAUCUCAUACCCUUAACAAUUUCCCCCCUUUUGACGUCAUAAAAAGAGUUAAAGCAGUAAACCAAGUUAACAGAAAUGCAGUUCAAAAAAAUUCAUGGCCGCUUGGACAACACUAAGCAUAAGUAAAAGAUGGAUAAAGUAAUGAGACAAGUCAGCAACAACAAGGUCAUUUUCAUUCAUAAUCAAAGAGGAACAUACAAAACAUUCCAAUUAACAUUACAAACAAGAUCGAGGACAAUACCCACUGAGUUUCAAUGAACAAAAGAGAAAUGAAGGGACUUAUAUUGGAACUUAGGAGGAAGGAGGCUUGGAAGAAGGGGUUUGAAAGAGUAGGGAUAAGCGAGCAUCUACCUCAACAUGGUUCUUUAGAAGUAUCUCAUUGAGCUCAACAUUUUGGUUUCCAUGAAUUCAUUUUGAACUUUCAAGGAGGCCAAUUUUUCUCCACCUGGUCCCUCUAUUUUUGCUAAUUGCACCUGAAUAUGCAGGCAAGCAAUCUCUGCAUUCCCAUUGGCCAGUGUUACUACUAUGGAUUCCAACUCAUGUUUGAGUUGCUCAUGUUCAAUCAAUAGUUCAGACUCCUUGCUCUUGUUCCCUGCCUUUCCUUCAACACUUUCACACUCAAUAAGAGUGUUCAAAGAUAUAGUUUACUUCACAGUGCCUCUUACUCCAUGUUCAAAGGUAAUUUUAAAGUUUUUGAACACCUUUGUUAGCAAAUACUCAUAGCACAUGCCAUGUUUGCCAUAUUUAACAAACAUGGUAUUGUGUAUAUGCUCCAGCAUGAUGGCAGGGAGAUUGACUAACUCAAUUGUGCUCAAGGCUCAAUAAGGAACAAGUCCGCCUUAGAGGAAACAAUUCUCUUUUCACACUUAGGCAACACCGCCUUAUUGAUAAACUCAAAGAACAAUUGAUACUUAUUUUUGAGAUACUCUGAAGGAAUACCUUCAUAACUUUGAUUGAGAAGUUGCUAAUUUCCUGAACAAAUUCCUUUGAUGGGGACUUUUCAACAAUUGUCUGGAUUCCUUCCCUUGGCACUUGCAGAAUUUUCCCCAAAAUCUCCUCAUUCAAGUGGAACCGCAAUAUGCCUACUUGAGUAUUUGGGCUCCCAUAUUCAGUAAAUACCAUCUUGUAGAAGAAUUACCUCACUUAUGAUUCAUGCAGUACAAGCACAUGUUCUGUAAAAAAAAAUGUGUCCAGCUUUGUAUCAUUACAGCAUCAACCAGGCUUCUUAUCCCUGGCUUUGUAUUUAUUUCAAGAUCAAACACACUUCCAUUGAGAACUUUCGGAGUUCUCAAGAUCUUGAUCCUUUCCUCCUUUGUCAAUUCCUUCUCAUCCUUCCUUUUCCUUCCAGAUGAACUUGGUCCCUUGUCAGACUCAUAAUCUGGACAGGAUUCCUACAUUUUCCUCUUCACAGUUUCUUUUUUCCUUCCCUUUGUAGGCAACCUUUUUCCUUUCCUUCUGAUUCAUUCUUCUAUUGUGCUUGACGCUUUCUUAUCCUUGGUUUUUGGUAGGCUUUUUCUUUGGUGCCUCCCAUCUUCUCUUCUCAACUGGAACAACAACAUCUGCAUACACCGUCUCACUUUCUUCCUUAUCUUUUAGAAUUGUCAACCAGAUUCACAUCAGGAACCUAGUCUUCAUCAAUAAUAGAAUGUUUCCUUUUUCUCCGGUUCUCCGUAGUUCAAGUUUUUCUAGACUUCAUCGUAUCACCCAGAGUGGUUCCCCUUGUAUGAUAAGGACUUGGUUUCACACUUUGCUCCUCAAUUACUUUUUCCUUUCCUUUUGAAAACGGAACUCAUUUUCUUUGCAAUUUCCACCGUAAAGGUUGAUCAUUCUUAUUUUCACCCUUAUCAGUAUCAUCAGAAGCAACAGCUAAACCAGUGCCUAGUUCUGAUCAAAUCUGGGUGGAGAAACCAAACCAAGAGAGUUAGAGCGAACACAAUGUGAUCUUCCUUGAAAUAGAGUUUUGCAGUUAGUCUUCAAUAUAUUGGUGUGUGUCUUGACUUGUAGAUUGAGAUCACAAUGUGAUCUUCCUUGAUCAGAAUGUGAUCUUCCUUCAUCUGCUUUCCUAUCUUGGUCGUCUGAUUUUGCUUCUUCUUUUUUGGCUUCAUACGAUCCGAUGUGGUAUCUAGUUAGAUUGAUAUCUGUCAAUUGUUUAGAUUGAUUUGAUUUAAUUAAUCUAUCUCCUUGGGUGAUGCUGCUUAUCAGUCUCAAAAUCUUGCUCCUUGAUUUCAUGCGAUAAGAAUUCAGUUUGUCAUUAUGCAAAAUAUCUCAAGUUAACACUUGUAUCAUCCCUCAUCUCAGUAAGACUUUCAAUAACCCACUCAUCACUUGUAGCAAGAAUAUUCGACCUUAUGAUUUUACCUUCCAACAGAUCUCCGUCGAAGUUUUGUUUAGAUAGGGCGGGAAGAACAUAACCAGGUUGGAUCACAAUAGGGUCAGAGGCUUAUUUCACAGACUGAACCUUUGAGUGAAUAGAUCCCCCAAGAGAAGAUUUUUGAGAUGCAUUUAGAUCUAGGAUAGGAGAACAAACAUGGGAGGUCAUUUUCAAAGAGGGUUCACCACAUGUGAGACUAGACCCUUAGUGGUUGGGGGUUAAAGAUUCUUCUUCUAGGGGUUGAAGGAACUUCAGUAGCAGGUGCAGCUUUUUGUUCGAUAGGAGGCAUGGUCGAAGUAGGGGGGGUUAUGAAGAGGGUUUGUCUAUCUGAUUAACAAACAAAGAGGAGUCGAUUGGAAGCAAAUUUGAAUUUUGGGAGAGAUUGAAGGAAAUGGAGAAUAUAAAAAUUACUGAAAGGGUGUAAGAUCUCCCGAAAGGAAAUGUUGUUUGGUAUUCAAUGAGGGACAAUAGUCAGAUACCUGGAUGACUGCCACAUGGCAAUUGUAAUGGUUCUCUUAAGUAAUUUAAAUGUUGUGUUAAGAAUUCUAACCUUCGAGAAAGGACUAGGUCCCCCCAUAUAAUUUGGAUGUAACUACCCAGAUCUGUCCUGACCUCCCUUUUCCAUCGGCAUACUCACCUUGUGUGUAUACCUACAAAAGGUAUGAGACUGAAUUUACUAAAACAUGCAUAUCUUAAAAAUGAGGAUACAUGCUCUCUUUUUAUAGUCAUGUACGGGUUGAUUUCUUCAUACAUGAUCCACUCAUUCAAGUUUCAGCAUCCCCAACUUUAAUCUGUUUUGUUUUUUUCUUGAACAGGUCCCUACUCAGAGCUUUCAUGAGAAUAUCAACAACUUGAUCUUCAGUCUUGCAAAAUUGCAUACUAAUGUUUCCCUUUUUAACAAUUUGAUUCUUAGUCAUAUUGAGAGCACUUGUAUUUUCCCACAGGAGAGGAAUACUGUGAGUAACCACUCCAAAGUCUCCAAGUUGCUGCCCAUAAGAGUUGUGCACAACAAGCUGCUAUUGUUACAUACUUUGCCUCAGCUAUUGAAAGGAUAAUUUUUUUUUCUUUUUUAGUUACUUAGGAGAUAAGAGAUGCGCCCAGAAAAUGAGUCAUUACUGAGGUGCUCUUUCUAUUAACUUGAUACCCAGCAUAGUCUGCAUCAACAUAUCCUACCAAAUCAAAUGAGUCUUCUGAUGGAUAGAAUAGAACCGGGUCCCUGUCUUCUUCAAAUAUCUUAGAAUCUUCUUUGCAGUUCUCUUACAAGAUUCCUUCGGAUAAGCUUGGAAUAUUGCACACAUUCCGACAUUGAACACAAUAUCACGUCUGCUUGCAGUUAGAUACUCUGUCUCACUGAUUUUUAUCCUAGAGUGACACUUAUUCUGGAUGAAGAACUCUCUUGUGCUACCACGACUUGAUGUUGAAGGUUAGCUUGGUUUGCUCAUCAAAACUAAAACAUGAAAAAAUGAACAUCCAUCUCAUUUUUGUUACUAUCAAAAUUUUGAAAAAACAAAGUAAUAACUACCUCUUUUUCCAACAUGUCGUAUGUUGUGCCUGAUGAAAGCAUUUGGGUUUCUGCUGAAAGAUGUUCAUGGAAACUAAAGAUUUUUUGGGGCGUUUGGGGUUUGUUUCUGAUGAUUACCUCAGAACGGAUCCACCACUUGUUAGAAUUGAGAACAUGUUUGAACAAGUCCAAUCUAACCUUCCUGGGGCACCAAAAUUUCUGUUUGUUUUUUCUUCCCGAGUGGAAAAAUUAGGGCAUAUACAGUUAAUAUAAUAUACUCGUUCUCUUGAUUAGUAGCUAACCUUGUUAAAUCUACCUUAUUUCAACAUCGAGUUAGCUACUAAUCAAAAGAACAAGUACAUUAUACUAACCGUAUAUGCCACAAUUUUUCCGCUCAUGAAGCAAAACAAGCAGAAAUUUUGGUGCUCUAGGAAACUUAGAUUGGACAUGUUCAAACAUUUUCUCAACUCGAACAAGUCGUGGAUCCCUUCUGAGGUAAUCAUCAGAAACAAACCCCAACCCCCCAAAAAUAGUCUUCAGUUUUCAUGAACAUCUUCCACCAAAAACCCAAAAGCUUUCAUUAGACACAACAUAAGACAUGUUGGGAAAAAAGUAGUUUUUACUUUGUUGUUUUAAAAUUUUGAUAGUAAUAGAAAUGAGAUGGAUGCUCAUUGUUUCAUGUUUUAGUUUUUAAGAGAAAACUUUUCUUCUAUGACAUCCGUCCCUUUGUUGGUCUAUAAGUUGCCUUACCUAGCACAUGAUCGAAUAGUUCCCAUAAGAUUUCUAAGGACCGUCGUAAUUUUAAAGUAAUAUAUAUAUAUAUAUAUAUAUAUAUAUAUAUAUAUAUAUAAGCAAUAAAUUUUAACAAAUGUAGUUUAAUUUACAAUGGAACAACUCAAUGUCCAAGACAAUACAUAUAAAAUACAAGACACUGACUCAUUCGUUUUAUCUUUUUAAAUCAUAUUUUUGGUAGAAUAUGUUAUAGGCAAAGACAAGGCAUUUUAACCAGUAGAGGUGACACUAUUUUGCUUCUUCAUUCAAUUUAAGUAUUAUGGAAAUAGCUCAGCAGUCAAGAGGAGACAUACUAAUGCAACUAAGAGAAUAAGGAUGUGUUUCUUUAUUUUAUUCAAUUCAUUAUUGCAUUAAUUCUCUUACAAUGAAUGGCUUAAAUUAUGUGAUGGUGACUUUGAUUCCAUGCAAAUCUCAUUUUGGCAUUCAAUGAUUUUUCUUCUUCUUUGCCCUUGUGUUCACCUAUAUAUCGAUGGUUCAAUUAUUAUAUUGUGACUAAUUUAUUAAAGAUGUUAACUGAGAUCUGCAAUUCAUUUUAAGUUUAUUUUUUCUUUUCUCUUUCUAGUUCUAAUAAAUUUUGGACGACUAGUAACAAGAUCAACAAAAGCUUAGUUUUUUUUCUAUUCUCCAUUUUCUUUAGUUAUCCCUCAAUUGUAUUAGCUAAAUACAAUAUAUUAUUGCAAGUCUUCACAUCUCACACAAACACAAACAAAUGGGUACAUAAACAUAUAUUUGAUUCCUCUUGGCAGAAAAUGUGUGUUCACACUUUUUUUUCCUUCUUGAUUUUGUGGUAAAAUUAAUUUUUUUCAUAUGUUCGAUCUUAAAUUUUGAUUUGUUGUCCAUAUAUAUCAGUGUUAGUGUCUGUGUUUUCAUAGUUUUGUAUGCAUAUAUACUCAGUCUAAUUAAAUUUGAUUUAAGCAAAGCGUAACAAUGAUUGAACAAAAGAUUUCUCCUUUUUAUAGUCAUAAUUCAUCAACGAAUUAAUACAAAUAAAAAAAGAGGAAACAUGUUGUCCAAUCAUUGUUUGUUUUGCUUAAUUCAAAUUUAAUUACUUUGAGUAUAUAUCCAUACACAACAAUGAAACACGGACACUAAAGUGUUGAUACAAGUGUCCAACAAAUCAAAAUCUAAGAAUGAACAUAAGAAAAAAAAUCAAAUUUACCACAUAGUCAAGGUGGCAAAAAGUGAGAACAAACAUUUUCUAUGCCAAGAGAAAUCAAAUAUACGUUUGUGUAUCCUUUUGUGUUUGUUUCUAUGAGAUGUGAACACUUGCAGUAAUUUACCGUAUUUAGAUGAAUAUAAUUGGGAGAUAAAGAUUGAAAUAAAAUAAAAUAGAGAACAGAAAAAACAAACUUUUGUCAAUUUUGUUACUAGACUUCCAAAAUUUAUUAGAACUAGGAAAAAAGAUAAGGAAAAAGAAACCAAAAAAGAAUUGAAGAUCUAAGUUAGCAUGUCUAAUAUAAUAAAGAGAUGCCAAUAUGCUAAUCAAACCAUCAGAAUAUUGGUGAACUCAAGAACAAACAAGAAUUUUUUUUAUUUAAAUGCCAAAAUAUGAUUGAAAAUAGAAUCAAACUCACUAUUACAUAAACUAAGUCCUUCAUUGUUAGACUAUUAACAAACAAUAAUGGACUAGAUAAAAUAAAAAAGCAAAUCUAUACUAUCUAAGUUGUGCCUAUUUGUUUCCUCUUGGUCGGUGUGCUAUUCUCUUAAUACUUACAUUGAAUGAAUUCAGCAACAUUAUUAUUCUAGUGCACAAGUGUAUUUUAGACUAUGUCAAAAUAAUUCAAAUAGUUCCAAAAGAGUUAAUCCAAUAUGUAUUUGAACAAUCAAAUCCACUACUUAAGUCAAUAAAUGUUGGUCAUUCCUAGACUUUGACCAAAUUUAUUUAAAUUAUUUUCUCAAAGUUAAUCAAAUUUCAUGUAUUAUAUCAGUUGAACAAUCAGAUUCACUACAAACUUUAAGUACAGUGUAAAUUAAGAUAGUAUUUUUUUUUCUUUAAUAAAAGACAUUUGUAGUUAUUUUGCUCUAAAAUUGAAGUUUUUUAUUUUCCCUUUUUGGACUCUUUGCCACCUUUCUAUAAACUUUGUAAAUAUAUGCAUUAAUAAAUGUUUGACACACUUAAAACAAUAUAUAUAAAUAGGUCAUUUAAAACAAUCAGUUUAAAGCCUUAGCAACAUUAUAUGAUCAACAAUGGUAACACAAGUAACCUUAUGUUCAUAAGUUUGAUAAGGUACAUUAUAGUUCAUUAAAACAAUAUCGAGUUUUGAUAUACAAAGUGAUUAUACAUCAUUAUGAAGAACUGGCUAAAGAUGUACAUGCUAUUAAGUAUGAAAAUGUUCAUAUAUUUUGAGGCAUAUGAUCAUUUUCAAACAGAAUAGCAUUUAUAUUUUCAGCAGCUAGAUUUCUAAGUUUUGUAAAAAAUGUAGAUCAAAUGUAGUAAUAAUGAGCUACAGAUAAGAAGAAUAGGUAAGUGUUGUUAUCUCCUGUAUUCAGAUUAGCAAAUCAGAAAUAAUGAAAGAUGAUUAAAAUCAACAAGUCUCAGACCAAAAUAGAACGAGCAUAUAAAACAUUGCUAGAUGUCAAGUUGAACAUGGACAUUAAGGGAAAACAAGAAAAUAUCAGAAUGUAAGAGUUAAUUGACAUGAAAAUAAUUAAGCCACAAGUGUAGUGAUGAGUUACAAAUAAGAGGAAUUAGCAGGUUUCGAAGUACCUCAAGUUAGAAUUUUGUCAAGCAUCCGCUCUUCAUUGAUAGUCCGACUUAGAUAUGCAAUAUCUCCUUUUAGACUUAGGGGAUUCAAGAAGGCCUUGGCCAAAAGGAGUUUUAUGAUAGAGGUGAAUUUUAAGGAUCAACAAUUUGACAGAAUAAUAGUAGCUACAAGUGAUAGAAAAAUAGUACUUUAUGGAGAAUAGAAAUUACCUUGAGGCAUGUUAAGAAACUAUCCUUAAAGAUAUAAUUAGGCAUAUCCUCCAAAGAUGCAACAAACUUUUUAAGUGAUUAACUGGAAGCAGAAAUAAUAAACCCAAAUUGGAGAAAGAAGAAAGUAGAUAGAUAAAUUUGACUAUUUUGUGUUAACUAACGUGGUGUAUAUAUAGGUGUUUCUGCAACGGCUAGCUAACGGCUAGUUUGACUACAUUAAAUGUAAUAAAAUAUUUUAAUAAAUAGAUAUAAAAAUAAUAUCCCAAAAUUAAUGUUUUCCCAAACCAAUGAUGCACAUUAACCACCUUUUGAGAUUACACUAAUUUUUCCAACAAGAAGAAAGAUACUUUUGAUAGGUACCCACCAAAGUAAAUCGAAACAUACAAAUGGAAUUUUUUUAUGUACUCUAGUUUUUUUCUAUAAGAAGGAACAAACUUACUAACAAAGAAGGUCCCUAAAAAUAUGCUAAAUUUCGCUCAAGCUAAACAAAUAUUAUAUCAACGAAAUAAAUUCCACAUCUCAUGGUUAGACAUCCAUGUGGCUAAAUUCAGUCACAGCCCAGACACAACAAAACUUUUCAUUCUUGUUGAAAGACCAUGAAGGGGACAAUGUGACAAAAAUCUAAGCUUAGCAUCAUAAAGGAAAGAAAGCUACAAAUUCAACAUAUGUAUUAUGUAUAAAAGAUUAAUAAGAAGAUGACAAUCUGUAUGUUGGGAGAAAAUCUCCCCAUUAACAAAAGUCUCUAAAUGACUAUGUUGUGGAUGCUAUUAUAUUUUAUGUGAGAAGAGUAGUCUUCAAUUUAUAGAGUUCCAAACUUUUCCUUCAAGGAAGGAAUAACCCAAAUAUAGGAUGAAAUUAUAUUUUCCUUUCAGGAAAAAUUAAAGCAUUUAUGGAAAUACUUUGAUUUUCCUUCAAGAGAAAAAUAAACUUCAAAUAAGGUAAGAAAAUCAGAGGAAACUCUAAUAGGAUCUUGGACUAUAAUAGCUCCUCCACACCCCGAACCAUGAUGCUAGGCACGCAAUACUAAGUAAUCCAAUACCAAGUUAAGCAAAUUUUUAAUUGACUAUUGAAGCUAUAAGUAUAUUGAUCAUACUAGUAUAAAAGGUUUAUACAAUUGGGCAUAACGUGCAAGUUAUGAUAAAAGUAUAUAUAUAUAUAUAUAUAUAUAUAUAUAAUAAAGAUCAAUAUAAACAACACUUACACGCCAAUACCGUGCAAAUUAGGGUAAAUUUUUUAUCGGCAUAUAAAUAUCUUAUUUGAUAAAAGAUUCCUAGAAACCUAAUCUUAACUAAUAUAGAUAUUGUGAAAGUGUCAGAAUAUCGUGUUAGCAAUAGAAUAUUAAAAAAUGACAAAAUAUACAUGAGACGCUUUCUUGUAAAUAACAGACAAAAGAUUAGGAUAUCCCAUGAAACAAAGAAUUUCAAUUUAUUGAGGACAAAUAAUGAGGAAAUAAGAAAGAACAAGAAUUAUUUACAAUCCUACUAAAAAAUUUCAUAGUGAGAGACACUAACUACCAUAAGUGGAGUCUUGUGAGAGACUCUAAUUAACUGUAAAACAGAGAGGCGAAAAACAAUUUGGAUGGCUAAACUAACUUUCCCAAAUGUUAACAUAUCGUUCUUCACGACUCCUCUUCCCCAUAGACACAAAUUUUGCAGGAUCAUCACUCAUUCUCUCACCAUUAAUUAAUUCAUCACAAAAUUGCGUAGUUAAAAUGGUCGAAUUCACCGUGUUUGGUCCUUUUUUCUAAGAGAUAGAUUUGAAGCCCCAACAACAAUCUAUUCAUAAUUAGUAAAGAAACAAUAUUACUUUAAAACAAGGUGGAAAAGUUCCACACACAUUAACCAUUGAGUUAUCGAGAGCAUAGUUCUAGCUCAAUAGCAAGAAACCCAUUAGAUUUUUCUGAAACUAGAAAGUUUAAUAGAACACAAAUCACAACAAUGUAUCUCGACUUCCUUAAGAACUAUUCUAGAAAACUAAGAGUUAAAUCAAUGCAUUCUGAGAUUGUCAUUCCAUGUAUCUUAUGUCUUCUACACUACGAUACAUAUGGAAAUAGAUAGAAACGGUCAGUUUAAGUACAAUACUACAACAACUACAACUAUUGCAUCUUAGUUUCAAACAAGUUGGGGUCCGGUUAUAUGAAUCCUCUCAGACCAUGUUUCUUCAUUUAAAUUUAUCUUAUGCAAAAUAUUUUGAGUAUAAUAAACUACACAUAUAUGAGGAAAGAGCAGAUCUUAUAACGCAAUUUUAGACACCUCAAUAUAAGUAACAUUGAAUAUGAAGCUAGUUCCUCGGGUAGAAUUCAUUAGAAGGCAUGAUAAAAGUUCUUGUUUUUACCUUUUAAGGAACCACUUCUACCUCUUUUCAUUAACUGUUGGUAAAAGAAACACAUCCCAAAAGAGUAACAUUUUAGCACACCUAAAAGAAACUUAGUAUGAAAAAGUACCACUAGAGCUUCAACUCAUUUUCUUUUUAAAACCUCAUUUUGAUAUACUUCAUAUAUUGAUGCAGAAUAAAACUUUGUAAGAAAGGAAAAUCUCUAAGCAAUAGCACCCACCAGCCACCAUAAGAUCCUAUUAUUGAAAAAUUUUAACUAGUGUCAUGGAAUUUGUGGAACUCCAUAACUGUAGAUAUGUAAAAUUUAACUCGAGAAUGUCAUCAUGUGUUAGGUAAGGAAACUUACAGAUAUCACUGAAGCAAAGCUUGUUCAUGAAAAUUAAAACAUGAAACAAUGAAUAUCCAUCUCAUUUUUAUCACUAUUGAAAUUCUGAAACAACAAAGUAAAAAUUACCUCAUUUUGCAACAUGUCUCAUGUCUUCACUUGUUGGCCAAUUAAUCUUUGGACAUUGGAUUCUAAAGAAAUUGUAACCAUUAUGUCUUUAUUUUGUGUUCUAGCCUUCUUUGAGAAAUCUCCACUGUGAAGGAGUAGUAGCUUUGUGUCUCCAGUAGUGGGGUGGAGUAGAGAAAGGAUGGAGGGUUGGAGAUGCUCGGGUAGUUAAAAAUAAAAAUUGAGAUAUAAUUUUUUUUGGUGAAACUCAAAAUUCAUUGGUUUGAUAAAGAAACAUUGACACAACCCAAACAACAUUGUAUCAACAUCAAGGGUUUCUAUAAUUUCUCUUCAAAGAAUCACUUGUACAUUGAAACACUAAAGAUUGGUAAUGAAUAACAUCCAAAAAGAGUAUAAGAACGGUAGCAUACUUGUAAGAUAUUAGUUAUCAGAAAGUAAUAUUUAGCUAACCUCUAUAGCUCGCACCUCUAAGUUAAGCUUCAAAAUGAUUCAACUGCAAUUAGAAAACAUUAUUCGAAGCCGACCGAUAUUAAAUGGGUGAAUUUGAUUGAAUUAAAAGGUAUGUGCAAAAAAAAACACAACUUUUAUUUUCAAAGACCUUGAAUUUUUUUAAAACCUCAUCAUUUUGAUAUACUUCGCUUGGGCUAAAGAAAAUUUUGCAAGAAGCAAAGCUUAUUCAUCAAAAUUACGGAUAUCACAAUCAUAGAAGCAAAGCUUUCUCAUCAAAAUUAAAAAAUGAAACAACGAACAACUGAAAUCUCAUUUGUGUUACUAACUAUCAAAGUUCUGAAAUAAUAAGUAAACAUUACCUCUUUUUCCAACAUGUCUCACGUCUUCACUUGCCAAUUGAUCUUGGGACACUGAAUUCUUAACGAAACUUUGUAAAAUCUAUUAGAAAACUUUGUGAAUUUUGAAGAAAGCUUUGUGAAGUUCUUGUCUUCAAUUAGUCAGAAUCGGUUCAGUUACAUUGGAACUUGGAACUGAAUGUUACUUUUUCUUUUUGUUUGAUUCUGAUUUGGUGUGCCCACGUUUUUUUGUUUUUCCUCGAAAUAUAGGGUACAAAUUACUACUCUCUCCAUACGUCUUUAUUUGUAGAUGUUUUAUUUAAUACUCCAUUAAAAAUAAUAAAUAAAAGAAUAAUUUUACUAUAUCACUUUUAUUAAUUAUAAGCUAUUUAAAUAUUGGGGAAUAUAGUAUUUAAUAAUAAUGAUAAAAUAAAUAUUAAAUGGUAAAAUAUCUCUUGAUUUUCCAAAUCGAAUAAGUAAAUUUUGGUUACUAUUUUUAAUAUAAUGGACAAGUAGAGGUGGACGGUGGGAGUAUUCCCUAUACUGAAAAUAAAUGUUUCAUUUUACUCGUUCAUUUUCACUCAUCAAGAUAGUGUUCUUAUACUACCCAUAGUAUUAAACAACCACAUGAAAUAGCAAGAGUAUUAGUCAAAUUUUGAUUUUCAAAGCAUCAUUUAUAAGGUUAGUUUAACACUCUAUUGUUAUCUUUUACUUGUCUACCAUUCUAAAAUUCAUUUUCAUCUUUUCUUGUCACUUUUCACAUAUUAGAAAAAGACAAUUAUUUUUCCAUGUUCUACCCUUAACAUUAAUUACUUAUUUCCCAAAUAAUUUUCCAUGACUUAAUACUAAAUAUAAAUUAAUAGGGGUAAUGUGGUAAAAUAAUCAUGUUAAUCAUUUCUUUUAUAUUAUCAUUGUUUUUGAUUGGGAGUGUAAAUUCCAAAUAUAAAAAGUAAAAGUGAAUGGACAGAGUAAAACACACAUAUGAAUAAAAGCCUGGCUAGGUCGGGUCUGAUGGAGUUUUGGCCUUUACGCUUGUGUGGGGAUUGUCUCAUUCGUUAUGAUGGUUUGGGUUGGUAGGUUUCGAUCGUGAGGACUCGGCUGCAAUCAUGAAGAUCAAUUGUAGCUACUAGUCUGAGUCUGGUAGAGAUGUUUUGAUAUUUGAGUUUGAGCAGGUUAGGGAAGUUUAGGGUCGAUCCUCGCCAUCACUUUGGAUAAGGUUCAAUCUAUAAUGUUGUUGAGUACACGUAGCUUAAUACUCACACUUAUUUAUUUCUAUACCUUUUAUGCAGAUUCAGAGCCAAGUACCUUUGACCUGUGAUCGAUAGUGGUGUUACGAUAAUUUCUCUCAAGAUUCUGAUAUAGCUGCUUGGUUGAUCCGCAUACUUCUUGGAUUUCUUCUAUCCUCUUACUUUAUGUGAAUUUCCCUCCUUUGGAUAAUUGUGAGACUUAUUGAGCUGUACUCAAAUUCGAAAAGGUGUGUACUAGUAUCUCCAAGUUUUGGAUGGUUUUGAAUGGACUUUCCACAUUUCUUCAAAUAUUUUAUAAAAGGAGUUGCUUAUUGACUUAAAUUUUUACCUUUCAUAUAUUUAUGUUUCGUGUUUGGAUUGAGUUGUUUGGGUUGGCUCACCUUUUUGCGUGGUUGAGCGAGGUUUCAUCAGUUUCCUGAUUUCGGGUAAUGAAAAUUUGGUGUCAGAGCACAAAGUUCAUUAGUCUCACAAGUACAAGAAGAGUCUAGUAAAGUCCUGCAAAUCGGUGUCGAGAUGUCUUUUAUCUAUCUUAAAGAGGCUAUAGGACUUUUAGUAGAAUUCCAUUCUUUCUUUCUUAUUGUGCUUACUUGAAUCCAUUGGUUACUAAGAUUCCUUUUUCUACUCUCUCAUAUAUGCUGAGGAUAUGUGCUACCACGGCUAGAGGUAACAAGAUGUAAUGACUUUGAAUGUCAUUUUUGGAAAUUUUUAGAAAAUUACCAUUUUACCCCUUUUGAUAGUUGCCCUGAGUCAUGUUUGAUCGAUUUAUGAAGUUGUUUUGAAAUUUGAUUGAAAACCUGUGAUUUUUUUGGAAGUUACUGAGUUUUGGAGAGUUAAAGUUGUCAAAAGUGGUUUUUUGUAAUAACUGAAGCUAUGAGUAUCGAAAUGAAAUUCCAUCCGUUCUAUCAGCUCUACAAUAUGAAAUUUGGUCUAAAUGUGUUGUCAUUUUCAGUUUUGGAGUUAUUGCAUGGAUUUGAACCUUUAACCGAUUGUGACUUUAGCGACAAUGGGCUCACAGAAGAAAGGCCCACCUCUUGUUGACCUGUAUCUUUUAGCGACUUUGAUGGGCAGCACCUGUAUGGUCUUAAAAAAAUGAUAUGGGAUCAACUUUAUUCCUUAACUUGUUCAUGCGAUUUCUCCCUCGAUAUAGCUCUGAAUUGGGUGGUUUAAAGUUGGUUGUGUUCAGUAAGCUUGGGACUACGCAUUUUAGUGAUCGGGGAGCAUGGUGGACUCUCAGUUUGAGGUAAAAAUUGUGUUUCGAGGGCUGCCAUGGCUUUUUUUCUCUUUAUUGGUGACGUAUUUGCAUGUGUAGAAUUCAAGCUGUUCCGAGCCCUGAAUUGUGUUCCAUUUGAGGACACAAGUUUGGGGUACUGAAUUGGACCCUUUGACAAGUCAUUUUUGGAAAUUCCAGUGUGGGUCUAACGAUUUCCAUCUGGACUCCAAAAUUGGUUCGUCUUUGUUUUAUGUGUUUUUGGUGUCUUCACGGCCGUAUUAGCACUAUGAUACUGUUUUUGGUAGUGUGGCAUCAUUUUGAGGCCAUUCAAAAAGGAAAAGCUCCAAAGUCGUGAUUUGGAGCGCGCACGGUCAGCCUAAAGGUAGGCUACGGCUUUCCUUCUCCUAGAUUGAGCUUGAAUGUGUAAAUUAAUGCUGAUUUGAGUUAAUUGGGGGCAGGUACCUAGUUAUUCUUACUACAUUGCUUAGAAACCGUGUUUUAGGCUUGAUUAGGAGCAUGCCAGUUGGGGUUAUGUGAUAAUCCUUAUCUUGUGGUUUGUCUAGUGUGUUGUUGUUGUUGUAUAUUUGAGAAUGCUUUGGACUUAGUCUAGGCUUAGACAAGGGAUUGCCAUAGACUUGUGAUAUGUGUAGCCUUUCAGGCCUUGUUUCAUAUCUGAGUCGAUUCAGAUGACUUAGCUCCUUGUAUACUGGUGUAGAAGACAUUAGUCUAACCUGAUGAGUCUUAGUUUAGUCAUUUGCCCAGAUUUGAUGACCUUUUAUCCUUCUUCUCUCAUUCUAUGGCCUUGUUGCAAUAUUUGAGGUUUCGUGCUUUAUUGGACGAUUAUGUCUUGGAGUUUGUUUGAUCUUGGAGCGUUUUUCAGAUUACUUGGGAGUGGACGUCAUUCCAAAUUGGUAUUGUUCAUGGUUGUUACGAGGUUCUUCAACGAUCUUGUUGAUGCCCCUGGGUUUACUCUUGCUAGCUAGAUGGGUGCCUCUAGGAGUUUACUGUUGGCUGGGCAGCCCCUGGGUUUAAUCUUGCUAGCUGGGCAGGUGCCCCUGGGAGUUUACUGGCUUGAUGGGGCAGCCUCAUCAUUAUUUUAUGAGGUUUAGAGGCCCAUUUUAUUCUUCUUGGAUCUGUACUCAUCGUACUUCUUUCUUAGUAGUUUAGCUAUUUUGUGUACCUGUCGGGCUUAUGGGGUCUGUUCAGGAUAUUUUAUGUACCUUCUGGGCUUAUGGGCCAGUUAGGUUUAGUUUAGUUGUACUUAGUUCUUUAUGUUUUAGUUCGCUCGUGUGCUUUUCUUUAUAUUCCUUUUUCACCUUUGUUUGUAUCUAGAUUCUAUCUUUUCAUAUUGUCUUUACCUUUCUUGCUCAGUCGGCUUAUAAUUCUUAUUGAGUACCUAUUUUUUUGGUACUCAUGCUACACUCUGCAUCUAUUUGUGAUGCAGGUCCUAGUACCAGCUACCAACGGUGAUCAUUUGACCUUGUUGCAGCGGGUUAUCGGAGGCGAGGGCGAGCACUUGGCGUCCUAGACUUGCCUGUAACCUUCUUUAUUUUGUAUAGCUAAUCUUUUGUUUUUUGAGACAAGCUUGUAUUUUGGUCCACUUUUGGGACUUGUAAUAUUUUGUUAAAACAACUAUGUAUAAUGACUUGAGCAAGAUGAAUCAAACGAUUGUUUAUUAAUUAGUUAUAAACUGAACUAUAUAUAUAAGCAAACUAACAAAGUCCCUCAUACGGUGGAAACUAUCUAGAGAUCACGGAAAAUAAAAUAUUAGACUCCUAGAAUAGUGGAAACAGUAUAACUAAUAAUACAGUAAAAUAAUCUACCUAUACAACAGUAGGUAUAAGAAUUAAGCAGUAAUAAAUAAUGUUCUAAUACACCCCCCUCAAGCUAGAUGGAGUGGAACAACACCUAGCUUGGAUAGAUGGCGAUGAAAUGAGGUUCUUGGAAGCGGUUUGGUGAGCGAAUCAGCCAGCUGGUCAGAACUAGGAAUGUGCUUAAAUGUAAGGCGCUUAUCGUUAACCUGUUGGCGAACAUAGUGGAAGUCAACAGCGAUAUGCUUCAUGCGGCUGUGCAUAUUAUUGUUCUCACAUAAGUAGGUGACACCAAGGUUGUCACAGAAAAUGGUAGGUGGUGUGAGAAUUUUGACACGAAGUUCCUUGAGAAGAUUUUUCACCCAAGUGGUCUCAUCAACUGCACUAGCAACAGCUCGGUACUCUGCUUCAGUGGACUAGCGGGCAAUGGUACGUUGUUUUUUUGAUGACCAACUAACUGGAGUAAGCCAAAGAAAAACAAUAUAACCUGUGGUGGAACUGCGAUCAGAGAGGUUUCUUGCCCAGUCAGCAUCAAAAAACACAGAGAGAUUAAGACUGCUGCUUUGAGUAAUUCUAAUGCCAUAAUCAGCAGUGCUUUUGAGAUAUCGAAUGAGGCGUUUAACAGCCCUCCAGUGAGCUUCAGAUGGGGCAUGCAUAAAUUGAGACAAUUUAUUCACUGAGUAAGAAACAUCAGGCCUAGUAAAAGACAAGUAUUGCAACUUUUCGAUGACCUUUCUAUAUUCAGUAGCAUCAUGUGAUGGAGUAUCAUCAUUUAGCAUAAGACUUUCAGAAGAGCUCAUGGGUGUGGAAACACCAUUACAGUCUUGCAUCAAAAGGUCAUGGAGAAGAUCUGAAACAUAUUUUGCUUGUGACAAUAGAAGUCCUUUGCUGUCUCGAUGAACCUCAACUCCAAGAAAGUAGGAUAGUGGGCCAAGAUCUUUAAGGGAAAAAGGGGAAACCAAAGAAGAGAUAACCUGAUGAACUAGUGAAGAACUGUUUCCUGUAAGGAUGAUGUGGUCAACAUAGACUAAAAUAUACACAACACCAUAUGAGUCAUUGUGAACAAAGAGAGAAGGAUCAGAGUGAGACUUGAUGAAUCCCAAACAGAAAAGAUAGAAUGUCAGUUCAUUGUACCAAGCACGAGGUGCUUGCUUGAGACCAUAAAUAGCCUUAUGCAAACGACAAACAUGUGAGGGAUGAGAUGCAUUCUCAAAUCCAGGUGGUUGUUUCAUGAAAACCUCUUCUUCAAGUGUGCCUUGUAAAAAACCAUUGUUGAUGUCCAGUUGAUGUAAAACCCAAUUGUGCCGAACUGCAACUAUAAGAACAAUACAAAUUUUCGUAGGCUUGACAACUGGACUGAAUGUUCAGUGGUAGUCAAGACCUGGACGCUGAGUGAACCAUUUAGCAACCAACCAAGCUGUGUACCUGUCAACUGAACCAUCGACUUUCUUUUUGAUCCUGUAAAUCCACUUACAAUCAACAACAUUCUUAUUAGAAUCUUUAGGAACCAAUUCUUGUGUUUGAUUCUGAAUUAAUACAUCAAAUUCAGCUUUCAUAGCUUCCCUCCACUCUGAGUGUUUAAGAGCCUGCUUGAAGGUAUGAGGGGCAACAUUGGCAGGAAGUUGGAUAAGGCAAGUAAAUGGUUUUUUGGGGCAAAAAAUAUUGCUUUGUGAUUGGGUUGUUGGGCGGGUUGGAAGAGGAGGUGGUGGUGGAGGAUGUGGGGAUGGAGGAUGUGAUGAGGUUACAGGAUUUGAAGGCAAACUUGCUGGUUGUGUAGGAUAGGUUGUAGAAGCAGGUGACAAAAUUUGGGUUUUGUUUCGGCGCUGGUAGGUGAUAAGAUUAGGGGCUGUAUUAUGGGGUUGUUGCAAAGAAGCAGGGGAAAGUGAAUUACCUGAACUUGAGGGAUGCACAUGAUUCUGGUCGGUGGAGACGGACUCACAAGCUUGGCCACUGGUAGAAAUGUCUCGAACAGGAAGAGGAGAAGGAAGUGGUGAAAUAACAGGUGAAAGAGUUUGAGUUUGAGAAUCUGUAGGUGUGCCAACAACUUCCCACGCAAGCGUAAAAGAUUUAUUUUUUAAGAUGUGAGAAUAUUGUGUGAAAGGGAAAAAUAUUUUGAAAAAACUUAACAUCACGUGAGAUGAACAAUUUUGAGUUAAUGGGAUCAAAACAUUGGUGUGCAUAAUGAACUUGGGAGAAUCCCAGAUAGACACAUGAAGUGGACCUAGGCUCAAGCUUAUGGUUGGCGUAAGGCUUAAGCCAUGGGUAACAUAGACAACCAAAAGUUCUAAGUGACUCAUAUUUGGGUGCAACACCAAACAAUUUUUCAUAUGGAGAUGUAUUGUUUAAAGGUUGGGUAGACAAUCGAUUAAUAAGAUGAGCAGCAUGUUGACAAGCAAACGACCAAAAACUUGAAGAGAGGGAUGCCUCGUGUAAAAGUGUUUUGGCAGUUUCAACAAUGUGCCGAUGACGACGCUCCGCGAUGGCCACUCUUUGAGGUGUAUGAUGAGGUGAUACAAGGUGUUCAAUUCCAUUUAAAGUGAGAUACGGAUCAAGACCUUUAUAUUCACCUCCUCCAUCAGUAUACAGAGAGACAAUUUUUUGCUUAAAAUAGUUUUCCACUAAGGGAUGAAACUUAGAAAAUAUGUCCGAACCUCAUGUUUGUUUUUAAGAGUGUACAACCAAAUAUACUUGGUGUACUGAUCAAUGAACACACAAUAAUAUCAUUUUUUAUCAAUUGAAAGGACAGGCGAUGGACCCCACAAGUCAGUAAAAAGGAGUUGCAGUGGAGCAGUACUAAUUAGAGAUAAGCAAUUGAAUGGAAAACGGUGAACUUUAUUUGAACAACAAGAAUUACAGAAAUUAAACUUGUUCGGAGAUGAAACUGGAAGAGAAAACUUAUUCAAAACAAAAUUCAAGAUUCUUGAAUAGGGAUGGCCAAGGUGAUGAUGCCAGACUUGACAAGGAACCGUUGUAGUGGCAACUUGAGCAGUAGGUUUAUUAACAGUGAUAUUGGGCCACUCAUAGAGUCCAUUCCUAUUCCGACUGGAGACCAGUGGCGCCCGCGUUUUCAAGUCCUUCACAAAGAAACAAAACGGGAAAAAUUCAAUGGAUGUCAGAUUAUCUUGACAAAAUUUGGAUACCGAAAGAAUGUUUUGUUUGAUAGCAGGUGCACACAAAGUAUCAGUUAGUCUAAAAGCAUUAUUUGAUGCAACUAAUUCAGUAGAACCAUGAUGAGUAAUUGAAAUUCUUUUACCGUCGCCCAGAGCUAUGCCUUCUGAACCAUGAUAUUCAUCCGGAUUGGUAGACUCUUUUGAGACAUGAUGAGUAGUACCGGAGUCAACAAUCCAUUGAUUUUCUACAACUUGGUUACCUGAAAGAAAAUUGGCCUUUGCCUCUAAAUGAUUGUCAGACUGUGACCGACAAACAUUAGCAGUAUGACCCUGUUUAUUUCAUAACUGACAAAGAACAGGGUUAUUGAUGUAACGCCCUUGCGCAUGAGCAGUUGUACGAUUGCUGGAACACCAUUGUGAUGUGUUGUUGGGUCAACGAGCAGCGCGGUUGUUGGAAUUGAUGGAUUUGUUGUGAGUUACCAUAGCAACAGUUAUGGCACUGUUUUCUUUCUUCACUUCCUCAUGUUUGAGAAAGAGCUCAUAAUCAAUUACUUUCUCAUACAACUCAUCAUAAGAGAUGAUAGAAUCUCUUGCUCGAAUUGCAGGCGGAAAUCUCACAAAAAUCGAACCCAAGACCACUCAGAAUCUUCACCACCAGUUCAUCGUUGGUGACUGUACUUAGCUCCAACAGUAGCGAGCUCGUUGUAGAGAGAGCGCACUUGAUGGAGAUAAUCGGCUACUGGGCGGGAGUCCUUUGAUAGAUGCGCGAGCUGGUCAUGUAGGCUAAAUAUUCGUGUUUGGGACUUGUUGGCAUAAGUAAGAUGCAGAGAAUCCCAAGCAAGUUGAGCAGAAGAGGCAGCAGCUACAGUUGUAGCAAUUGUCGGAUGGGCAGAAGCCAUGAUGGCAUUCUGGAUCAAUUGAUCUUGACGGAACCAAAGGCUAUAGGCUGGGUUCGCGAUGUCUCUAUUGUUUUGUGUGAUAGUUGUGGAAGGAACUGGGGAAGAGCCAUCAAGAUGGCCAAACAGAUUGUGCCCGUGCAUAAGCAUGGAAAUCAGGGCCUUCCAAGUAGAAAAUUUAUGGCUGCCAAUAAGCUUUAUCGGUAGCUAGGACACAGGAUUAAACUGAACAACAACGUUAGAGUUGCUGCUAGUGGUGGAGUCCACAUUCUGGACGUUCUCAGGCAUGUUAAGAGAGAGUUUGAGGAGGUAGUCAGAGGAUCGAAAAAAAAUCUUGGGAGAGUUAAGACGAGAGCUCUGAAACCAUAUAUUGACUUGAGCAAGAUGAACCAAACGAUUGUUUAUUAAUCAGUUAUAAACUGAAUUAUAUACAUAAGCAAACUAACAGAGUCCCUCCUACGGUGGAAACUAUCCAGAGAUCAGGGAAAAUAAAAUAUUAGACUCCUAGAAUAGUGGAAACAGAAUAACUAAUAAUACAGUAAAAUAAUCUACCUAUACAACAGUAGCUAUAAGAAUUAAGCAGUAAUAAAUAAUGUUCUAAUACUAUGUACUUGUGACUUCCAGGUUCUAGAAGAAUCUUAUGUAUAUAUUGUUGGCUUGCUUCCACUUAUUGUCUUGUUCUUUUGUUAAAUUGUUGCUUCUGCUUGUUUUUACGCUUAUACUUGUUACUUGUUAUUCUGGGUUACGGGUUGGAUUACCUACUGGUGGGUUAUAGUAGGUGUCAUCAUGGCUCGAGAGUUUGGGUCAUGACAUAUGCGCCAUAAGGUGUUUAGGGAUUUGAUGGACAAGAGGUCUUGCACUUCUUGUUAUUUUAGUGGUACCUCAUUUAAGAAGGUAGAGGAUCUUCAAGGAGGGGUUUUCAUCCUUGGUCUAGUAGACGUGUUCAUGCAGCUAUUCAAGUGUCCGGGGGAAGUUAUUUUGAUCAAGGCUCCUAGAACUCGGGUUAGACUUCUCAGGGUUGCUGUUAGAGGUUUUAAGGUCAUGGUAACCAUUUAGUAUAUUCAGAUUCUUCUCAGUAUAUGGUUGUUCCUAGUCUGAGUCUGAACAAAUCAAUAGAGAUUUCUCCAGGUUUAGAGCGGCAGGCCGACAUCAAUAGUGUUUUGUAAAGCGGUCACUACAUCUCCAUUUUUAUAAGAAAAAGAAGUGAGUAAAAUUUUCAAAUUCAACUUGGAAAAAUAAUUCAUAACAAAACACUAAUAUCGUUAAAACAAAAUAUAUGUUAUUUUAUGAAAAAUGAAUACAAGUUAUUUCUUUUUGCCACAUUUGCAUUAGCUGGUCUUGAUUCAUUCAAUUCAUAUUUGACCAAAAUAAGACUCUUACCAAAUCUAGAAACUACUCAUUAAUGCAAGGUAAGCCCAUUUUAAGAAGAAAAAAAAUUGUAUUAUAAUUCACCAAGUGAUUUAGUUCCUCUAGAAAAACACUAGAACUUUUCUUUCAAAAUGGAGAAGGUUGAAGAAGAUAUGGUGUUGGCAUAUUCACUGCGACGCCAUGGAUUAGAAAAUUGGGAAAUGGUGGCUGCCGAAUUCUCAAAUUCCAUUUCCGAUCGACGUCGAUGUAUUCUUCAAUUUUCGUCCAUGGAAUGUCAGGUCAAGUACGAAAGUUUAAAAGAGCGUUUUAAGAGUCUAUAUCAAACAGAUUUUACUGAAGAAGAAGAUGAUGAUAGUGGAUUCAUAAAGCUGAUGGCAGAUAAAUUUACAAAGACAUAUAGAGAUUAUUGGACAGAGCAAGUCAAACUAAUGGAUACUCCACUUCAGUAUGAUAUAUCUUUUUCAUAAAUCCUUGUUUUUUUCCUUUUUGAUUAUUUUUUACUUGUGAUGUUUGAAGAAUUAUGGAUUUUCACUAUUUUUUUUGUUUGAUCCACAUUUAUAUGAUGGUUUUACAAAAACAAAAUUAUCUAGGAGAUACAAAAUACAUUCAAAGAUAUAUAUUUUUCUAUGGAUUAGGAGUUAGGGUACAAAUAAAGCAUCACUAAUUGGUACACUAAUUUUUUUUUCAAAUAAAAUAUUCUUGAUUCCAAUUUUAUCAUUACAAAAAGGAAGAGAAAAGAAUAAUCACUAUCAUUAAACAUCAAAACUCCAUUGUUAAUAUGUUUAGAAAAAAAUUGUCAAACAAUAUUAUUACCUAUAUACUUUUUAACAAUGAAUUUCGUAGAUAAUUCAUGUUUUUCUUAUAAAAAUCACUAAUGAUUGUUAGCUUUGAUAAUUGGCCUCAUAUAAUUAUUCAUUAGUUUUGGCUACUUUUAUUGUCCAAAUUUAUGUUUGUAAAUUAAUUUUUUGGGGCACUGAAAAGAAAAACUAAAAAGGAAAAAAAAUGUUUUUGAUCAGUCAAAUUGCUUAAAUGCUCCAACAGAAAAAACUUUAUAUUAUUGAUGGCGUCUUUCCAAACUAGAAAUUCUUAUUUAUUUUUUAAAAAUUAAAUAAAAUUGGUGUUAGGGAAAGGGAAAAUGGAGGAGAGCAUUACAUGAAAGGAGUCGAACCCUCAUCAAUAAAUUGAAAUUUUAGUUAGUCAACCAACAGAGCUACUAAGAUUUUCCAACUAGUCAUUCUUUGUAUGUUACGAUCUUUAUUAAAAAGUCUGUAAGAUUAUUUGUCAUCUCUCUUCAAAUGCAUAUUCUAUUCUUCUCGAUGGUUUCUAUCUAAGUGUUUAUAAUUUUCAGUAAUAGUCAUAUGAGGGUGAAAUUAUAUAUAUCUGUAUUUUUAUUAUAAGUUUGAUAGCAAAAAAAGUAAUUUGAUUAUUGAUAUCUUUAUUUAUGCUAUGUUUAUGUAGGGAAAAAUCUCCGAAUAUUUUCAAAUAGGAAGCUGAAGAAAGAAUAAAGUUAAAUGAGGAAAAAAGUGAUGACAAAUCUAAUGAAAAAAUGGAGAAUAUUAAUCAAGAAGUUCAUAAAAAAUCCUUGAUGUGGUGAGAUCUCACAAGCAUUGUUGUCUUUUUGAAUCUCGACUUCCCAGUCAGGUAAAUAAAUUGCUAAUCUUUAUGUUGUGGUUUGUUAACUUUAUAUUUGUACUUUAAUUUCGAACUAAAACUUUGAUAAUUAAAAAGAAUACUUCAUUUCUUCUAUUUCAUGUGAGGUUCUUUCCUCUUUGUUCUAUUAUGAAAAAAAAUAGUAUUUUCUUAAUUGAAACAUGAUUAACUUUAAACUUCACGAUUUUUUAUAUUUAUGGACAUGUUUAAUUUGACUCAACACAAAACAAAGAAUUUUGAAACUUAUGGUCUUAAAUACUUUGUAAUAUUUCUGUGACUAUAAAACUUCUCACUAAUGGGAAAAUGGAAAUUUAUGGCUUGAUUCUUUUCAAAUAUAGAAUCAUGUCAUUUAUAUUUAACAAGAUUGAUAAUAAAAUGGUGUUACAUAAAAUCGGAAAGAAAGGAGUAUCUGACAUGCUUAAUACCUAAAAGUUUUUUUUUUUUCUUUUUAAACACAUUGUGAGGUCAAAUUUAUAGUCUAAGCAUCAUAAAACAUGGAUUAUAUAUUCCUUAUUAGUGCUAAUAUUUAUAUUUUUUCAGGAAGAUCUAUAUUAUUUUAAACAAAUUAAGCAGCAUAUGGAUUUAUAGAUUAUUCAAAACAAGUUAGAACAAAAUGUUUAUUCGGUCUUGGAAAUCGACAGCUUCUUUAGAGAUCUAUUAUUGAUUUUCAACAACGCCAUUGUUUAUUACCCAAAUGAAACUCUUCAGUAUUAUGUCGCGCUUGAACUCAGAGACAUUAUUGUGAGAGAAAUGGGUAAAAAAUCCUUAUUUUGUCGUGAAAUUGUGUGUGGAUUACUUGCAGCAAGUAACCCAAUGUUGGCGAAACAAAAAAUAGAGAAAAGAGCAUAUAAUGCACGUAACAAAGCUCAAGAAGGUGAGUCAUCGGUCAGAAAGAGUGCGAGAGUGAGAAAUAAGCUGGCUUGCGAAUUCAAGAAUGAUCCGGAUUAUGAUUGCAAAGGGCAACAAAGAAGAACGACAAAGAAAAAAUGAGAAUAUUUUGGGAAUAAUGAGUGAAGCUUACUAGAAGGUGGUCGAGUUUCUAGGUGAGUUUUAGGUGAGUUAAAUUUUUUUUGUUUUGUUGUUCUGGUAAUAUUUCACAUUUUUGUGGUUUGAACGAAAAAAAGUCACAUAAUUGUAUUAACACAAUUGAGUUGAUGUUGUGAACAAUUGUUUGGUAUGUGAUUUGCAUCAACCUCUUGUGUUAGCAGAACGGGUGGAGUAAAUGUCUUUUGUUUAGUGACUGAAUGUGGUCAGCCAUGGCUAUAACUUCUCAUUGAAACUCUAUUAUUUCACUCAUUAUUCUACCAUUUUAUGCCUUGUAACUCAUGCAACCUCGCACUAGCCAUUUAUCUACCCAAUUCACUACCCCAUAAUCUUCCUAUUCAUUGCAAAGAAAAAUUUCCUCCCAAUAAAUAGUGAUGGUCUUACUUUGUUUUGGUGUAUAAGAAAAUAUAGACUUCAAUAAAGUGAGUGAAAAAAAGAAAGUUUGUAUUAGUUGAAGGGGGGUGUUCUUUUUAUGGAGCUUUAGACUCAACUCUUGUCCAGAGUUUGCUAAGUUGGAGUUUGUGGUUGGGAUGUGAUGUAUCCUAGAGGGGUCAAGUUAAGAGGAUUACUGCUAGGUUGGUGAAAAGAUUUUUUGUCGCGGGCUUGAAUCUCCUUAAAGAGAGCAAGAUAUCUACACCUCAUCCUAAAGAUAAUUUAUUUUCUUCUUUUUAUUUUCAAUUGUAAUUUUGUAAUUUCACCAACAAAACCUACUUGAUUUUCACAUAUGAAUAUAUAUCAUCCUGCAAUAUUUUAUAUUAUUUUUUUGACAAAUACUAUACUAUCUGGUCACUCAAAGAAUAUCUACGAGGAAAUCAAAAUUUGUUUUCUCUAUUGGUCUUUUGUUGUCAUAUUUUUUCUUUUCAACCAUGUUCUGAACUUUUUCUUUCGAAUCGUGGUCUAUAUUAGAAACAACAUUUUUAUCACACAAAGAUGGGGUAAAAUAUGUGUACAUCUUAUCCUCCUCAAACUCACUUGUGAGAUUGUAUUGGAUAUGUUGUUCACUACUAAGAAAACCGACUUCAAAAGAGGUCCGGAUAAACGCAUCUUUGAAUUGUGAAUCGAUUAGAAACAACAUCUUUAUCCCGCAAAGGUAGGGGGUAAGAUCUUUGUACAUCCUACCUCCUAAAUUGAAUUGUAAGAUUAUAUAGAAUAUGUUGUUCACUAUUAAAAAAGGGCUGAUCUAAACAAACCGACUUCACAAGAGGUCGAAAUAAACUCACCUCGCGAAAUUGAUUCUUUAAAAAAUCAAAAUCAAAACCCAACAAAAAGAGAGAAAAUUCCAUGUUCACUUUUCAGGCAUAAACCAUAGUGAUUAUCCUCCCCCCCCCCCUAACUUCAAUUUAAACUUGGCACCUAAUUGAAGAAAAAUUUCGUAAUACAAACAUUGACUUGGCACAACUAAAAUUGUACACCCACCAAAACAUUGUUUUCAUUUUAGAGUGAAAAGAAGAACUUCCAAUGAAGAUUGGGGGGGUGAGUUCCCUCUUCCUCUGGCCGGAACUUCAAAGAAUAAUGGGGUUAAAUGCUGCAAAAACAGGUAAGUUCUUAGUUUGUUACAAUUUCAGGACUUCCAUUUUAUUUUGAUUCUUUGUUGUUUCAAAAUUUUGAUAGUAACAAAACCAAGAUUUUAGACGAUCAUUGUUUCAUGUUUUAAUUUUGAUGGAUUUGUUGUCAAAAUCUUGUAUAGAAAAUUUUCAAAAAAAAAAAACCUAUAUUGUUAUAGUGAAACUUCAAAUUUGGGUAUCCAUUGUUUAGUCUAUCUUGACCCAAUCCAUCUCAACAAAAAUAACCAUUAGCCCACCCGAAUUACCCCACCUAUUCUUCUAGAAGGAUGUUGGUUUCAAACCUCGGUACAAACCUGAGGAGUACUCCAUGCUAAUGUGCCUUGGAUGAUCCACAUCUCAGGGUCAGGAUCAGGCGCCGAUGAGCACGUUGAACUAUCCAUGCAUUGAGAGCCAUUUAUUUAUUGACUCAGCCAUAUUGACGUACCUAAAUUCUCCCAACACACUUAUUUGAUACCUUAUUGAUUAGAUCGACUUGACCCAAUCCAUCUCAAAAGAAGAACCCAUUGGGUGAGUUAACGAUUCAACCAUUUAUUAACUCAAUCAUCUUGACCCAUGCAGAUUAAGCUCAACCCACUCAUUUGACACCCGUAAGCUUUGAAUGAAGCUAUGAAACUGUAGUUGAUUUAGAUGAGUGAGCUACCGAAGUUAACUAAAUUGUAUUUUGUCACAAUGAAUGGUUUUCAAGUGUGUUAACAUUUUGACUCUUUUGACGGAUUUGCACAAAUAAAAUCUUUGUAUGUUGUUAUUUCAAUUUAGAUCUAAUUAGGAAAAAUAGUGCAAAAAUAAUUGUUUUGUCAUAAACAGGAGAAAAAUUCUUGUGGGGUGCCAAGACUUUUAAUUUGAUAUUGGCCAAGACUUCAUCAGCACCAAGUUAUGGUGAUUUUAAUAAAAGUUGGUCAUAAAUUGUGACUAAUUGCCUUACAAAAAAAUUAUGAUGAUCGUCAGGAUUUUGGCCACAAACCUGGAUAAAUCGCCAUAAUCAUUUCAGCAUUAAAAUAUCAUAUUGAUUGAUUUAUCUCUUGAUAUCUUUGGGAUUGUUCUGAAGGAAGUGGAACUGAUACACCCCUACUAGUAUUUUUGAGCUCUUUCCAUUUAAACUUUGUAGUUUCAAGAAAAUCAAAUUAUUUUCUUUCUAUUAAACUAAAACUAUGCUCUUGAUGACUUAAUGAUUAAUGUGUGCGUAGAACUUUCCCAUCCCGUUUCAAUGAAAUGUUUUUUUCUUUACUAAUCAUGAACAGCUUGGUUCAAGGGAUUUAAAUCUCUCUUUACGAAAGAGUUGAACAUGGUGAAGUUUGGCAUUUUACCUAAACACCUUUGUGAUGAAUCAACCGAUUAUGGUCGAACGAAUGAUGAACCUGUAGAAGUGGUAGCUAUGAAAAAGAAGAGUCGUGAAGCACGCUAUAUUAGCAAUUUGCAAUGCUAUUUUAUCCAUUAAUAUUUUCUUAAAUUUAUUUUUAAGGUUAGUUAAUAUUUCUCUUUCUUAACCUUUUUAGUAAGAUUGUAACUUAAAGAACUCUUAACUACCAUUCCUAUAUAUUCCAUUCUGUUAACCUAGGAAUUCUUCCUUUUUGCUCCCAUUCUUUGUCCUCAAUUAAUUGAAAGUUCUUAUUUCUCGAGUUAUCCCGAUAUGUUGUCUGUAUGUGAAGCAUCUCACCUAUAUUUCUUUGCACUUUUCAAUAUUUUAUUGUUAAAACGAUAUUGUGAAAUCACUUUGACCAUACAAAUAAAUAAAUUCUUCAAAAUUUACUUCAUCUCCAUUAAAGACUCACUACUCUUCACUUGCAUUACAAUUUUCUUACUUAAAUAGUCUUGCCUAUAAAAGUAAGAUACACCAAUAUUGAAGAUGGAAGUGUAGUUAAGGUAAGAGUUCUCCAUAUUCCCUUUGGCUAAUCAUGAAAGAGAAUGUGGACCAUUUUUCUGGAGAUGAUAAUAUUGUGCUCUCCUGAUUUGAUACGCAUAAUUCCUUUUCGUAGCUGCAACAAAAAAAAAGGUCGAAAUUAUAAUCGAUAAAUAGGAGACCUCACAUCGAUCUAUUAUCUUCAUGUACUUUUACUUGUUCGCUCAUUCUUCAUGCAAGCGAUUCAAACCAAAGGGAGGAUUUUCUACUUUUAAGUCUGUGACAUAAGUACUUGAACAUGAGAAGGGUUUCAAUGUUUACUAGAUUUCUCUACUAUAGAAGUCUAAUGGUUAGGGGAUGUCAAUUCUUUAGAUUUCUUGAUUACUGUGUAUGAGAGUUUGAUAUCUAAAGAGUAAAUCAUCCUUAAUCAUUGUGUAUGAGAGUUCAUUGAGAGAAUCAUCAAAUCGAUUUCAUAUUAUUCUCAAAUUGAGAACGGGAUAUACCCUACUAGAACAGAAUCAUCAUAUCAUAUCAUAACAUAAUAUAACACAAUACUAAAAGUGGGAACAAAAAUCAAAAGUUGAGUUACUAAAAUACCUUUGAUGGAUGUCUUUUUUAUUUUCAUAAACCAAAUUAAGAGGUAAUUAAAAAAAAUGAAAAGAGAAAAAGAACAGUUACAAUGAAGAGGAAAUACCAAAAGUUGCAUUUUUCCUUCAUAUAUAUAUAUACACACAUCAAUUCUUCUGCAGGAUCAUACAAUAUAUAAGUAUUUGUUAUCCAAGAAAGAAAUAAUUAAAUAGAAUGGGCGUUCAUCAAUUUUAGCUUGUACUUUUAACAAAUUUCGUUACGAAUUUACAACAUUAAUAUAAUUUAUAUCGUAUAUACUAAACAAAGCUGUAUACAAAUUAUAGAAAAGUCAUGGUGUCCUAUACAAAGCUGUAUAAUAAUUCUAGACCACUGUCAAUAUAAACUUUCAAAAGGAAUGUAUGUGCUUCACUUUUUCAAUAAUCUGCUUCACCUUCUUCAAUGGUUCUUCGUGCAAAUAGGAUGGAUCGUCUAGCUCUGAAGCCAAGCUCCGAUCCCCAAGAAAAGCACGAAAUGAUUCUGCAACUGAAUUUGACAGAGAACUGAGAUUAUAUCCCCCUUCUAAGAAAAACACGCAACGUCCCCCACAUAAAUCUUUUGCAAGUUGCUUAAUGCUGGAGGCUAGCAUGUAAUAUGUUCCUGUUGUGAACUGUAAGCUGGCAAGUGGAUCCAACAGAUGGGCAUCAUACCUGAAAAUUUUAGACGACACGUUAGUUCAAUUACGUUAGAUAAGAAAUCAGAAAGUCCUAUCUUUAUGUUUUAACAUCCUUUUCUGCUAACAACAUUUCAAGACCAGAAACAGAAUAUAUGAGGCAUGAUAGUAGUGAAUAGACCAAAUAUUCCGCCCUCAUUACAUUGCUAGUUUAGCAGAAAACACAAGCAUAAUACAUGAUCCAUUAUUCACGUCAAAAGAAAAAGGAACCACACAGUAGCAGAACAGUAAGAAAAGUAAAAGGAACUGUGUUUAAGUCAUAUGUUUCGUUUUAUAUUCCGAAUGUUGAGACUAUCUUGACAGACAAGAAAAUUACCCAGCUGAAACAAGGAUUAUAUCUGGCUUGAACCUUUGAGCACAUGGUACAAUAACUUGAUCAAAAACUGUUCGCAUUGCUGUAUCACCUGAUCCUCCAGGUAAAGGGAGAUUUAGUGUUGAUCCUUCACCAUUUCCACUACCAAUUUGAUCUAUCUUACCAGUCCCUGGAUAACUUCCAGCCUACAUCGAUCCAAGGAUAAGUGAGCAUGACUGAUAAAAUCCAUGCAAUUGUUAAGUUCCAGACUCUAUUAAUUCUACACAUCGAGGUGCAUAGCUGGCAUAUAAUGACAGAAAUCCUGUUUUCCUCUAAACACAACGUUUGAAUGAGGUGAAACGAGGAACGCAUCAGCAGGGGUGAAGGUUGUUUCCUUGUAAUGUAGUAGGUAAAAGAAGAUAACAAUAUCAUACCCAGUGUGAUUCCACAAGUGAGGUCUGGAUAAGGUAGGAUGGGGUAGAGAGGUUGUUUCCAAUAAACCCUCGGCUCGAAAGAAAAGAGAAUAAUCUGAUUGCAUGGUAGCACAUAAAUAUGACAGCAAAAUAACAAGAUACAAGGCAAAUAAAGCAACAGAUAGUACUACACAUUGAAGAAAAGAAACAGUGUGAUUACUAAAUAAUGCUACUAAUAAGGAGAAGCGGAGAGGAGGUUAGCCCCAUGCCUCUCCCACACAAAGUAUGACAACACUCGGCUACCUACCAUACCAACCUUCUUGCCUAAUCCUCGCCCUCCACAUUUUCUUAUCUAGGGUCAUGUCUACAGUAAGCUAAAGCUGGCACAUGUCAUGUCUAAUCAUCUCCCCCUAUCUAAUAACAAGAUACAAGGCAAAUGAAGAUAAGAAACUACACGAUUACUAAAUAAUACUAUAAUAUGGAGAAGCGGAGAAGGGCUAGCUCCAUGCCUCUCCCACACAAUGUGACAACACUCAGCUACCUACUAACCUUCUAGUCUGAUCCUCUCUCUCAACAUCUUCUUAUCUAGCAUCAUGUCCUCAGUAAGAUGAAGUUGCCACAUGUCCUAUCCAAUCACCUCUCCCUAGUUCUUCUUCGGCCUAUACCUCUAUUUUUCCCAACUCUUGUUAUAGUCAACCUCUCACAUUUUUUUACUAGCACAUAUUGCUUGCAACUAUAGCAUUGAAUACGCUCAUAUCCCUACCAUAUCUUCUUCCUUGAGCAGCAAAUGCAACAAUCUGAACAUUUUCUUGCUUGAAAACGUUUGUGUGAGAAGACGUUGCUCUACACGAAGUAAUUCCCUAAAACAGAUAUCCAAGGAGGGAGACAGAUCACGAUUUAUCAAGUUAGAGCAAACACUCAAAAUCAAAUCGCAAUUUCAUCAAAAAAAAGUUGAUCUCGCUUGCUUUGCUUGUAUUAUAGAAAGAGAUUCAACACGUAUUUCAACAUAAACAAUAUUAGUAAAUUUAGCCCUAAGUUUUGAACUCUAGAAAAAUAAUCCUGGACAGAAAGACUUUGUUAAGAGUAAUUAGCAAUUUCAUGCUUUAACUGAAAGUGUCUUAUGCUAUUGUCAUGGUUGUAAACCAUAUAUAAAUAAUCUUAUAUGGCCUUUGCAGUCUUAUAUAUCCUGAGAUUAAGGACAAUAAGAGGGUGAAUUGACCCUAAAUUCCAUGUCAUCACUUGAGCAUCUUUGACUUUCCACUGACCUAACUUUGUAGGAUCCGGAUCACUUCCAUCUAUAUGGCCCCAUAAUUCUUUUUCCAGUGACAAAUAGUUGAAACAAAAAUUUCCACGCAGAAUAAUUUGUUCCACAUUUUUCUAGUGGAACGAACAUUGAAGGACUCAAACUGAUGCAGUGUUAUUGAAAGUGCAUUCAAGCCCUAUAGCGAGGCUCAAAACAUGUUGAACGUUUUGCCUCGCUUAAUGUUCGCUUCAGUGUCGUCAUCAAGGUUCUAAGACAUACUUUUCCUUGCCAAUGAACCUCUUCUCAAGAGACAAUACUAAGUCAUUGAUAUUUCACUUUAUCGUAAUUAUUUUUCAAAUUUCUUUGUUCUUACAUUUUUCAUUCAUACUUAUAAAUUAUUUGUCUUGGACUAAACAUAUAAUUUGUAUUUUUUUCUCCCUUUGCGCCUUUUUUCAUUAGAGCCCACGUUUUAUUUGCACUUUGCGCUUAAUCCCCACGAACCUUAAGAGUUGUUUUGCGCUCUUUGCUUUUGAUAACACUGUACCGAUGUGAAGUCAUGUUUUUGAAUAGCGAAAAUCAAAAACACAAUGAUAAGAAAAAAAAAUAGCUAAAAUAACCAAGACCAAGAACCCUAAGUAGUUAGUCUCUACAUACUUAGGACUAACUGUUGGCGAAUAACUAAGAAUACAAAAGCUUCCAACAAAAUCAAAAGUAACAACGGAUCAAGAAUAAAUCUUACAUAUUCCAUAUUGAGAAUAUUUAAUGUAGAUCCUACAAGAUACUCUAUGAUCUGCCCAUCAUGCCAAUACACUCCUCCUCCUCACAUGCUCAAACCAUCUCAACCUCAUAUCCCUAUCUUGUCCGCCACAGUCGCUACUGCCACCUUACCCUGUAUAACCUCGUGUUUCUAAUCAUAUCUCUUGUAAUAAGCCCAUACAUCCAUCUAAGCAUCUUCAUCUCCGUUACAUUUAUUAUUUAAAUGUUCGCGUUCUUGACUAACCAACACUCAGCCUGAUACAAAAAUAUCGGUCUAACCAGCACACUGUAGAAUUUACCUUUAAGCCUUGGCAACACAAUAUUAUCACCCAGUACCCUGGAUACGAGCCUUCAUUUCACCCACCCUGUUCCAAUACGAUGCAUGACAUCCUCAUCAAUCUCCCCAUCUCCUUCGAUUAUGGACCCAAGAUACUUGAAAUUUCUUUGUUUUCUAUGACUUGUGCAUUGAUCUUCACUUCCACCGAAAGAAGUGGAGAACCAUACAAAUCCACCAAACCAAAAAUUAACCUUGCUGAUGUUGGACAAGAUAAUUGUAACUACCAAACACCUUCAUUUUAGUAUAUGUAUCUCAUUAUGUGUUUUGAGACUUCAAAUAAAUUGAAAAUGAAUUUUGAGACAUGUUGGAAUGGUUUUAGUUUGUACUCAAGGGGCUUGGUUGAGUUUCAGCACUUUUAGAACACUUGGAAGAUCUCAGUUGCAUCUAGGAGGUAUUUUGGGACAUGACAACAAUCAUAAUUGAUGUGUUUUAUUUCUGCUCAUUUGUAACAAAUAAAAUGAAGGAAAGCGUCUGAGGAGUAAUCACCAAGUCCCAAGCACCCUUGAACUAAACAUAGUGUCAAGAAUAAUCAUCUUUGUGGAUCACUAGAUCUGGCUCAAUUAUUAGAUAAAACCGAAUGUUCUUUCGUUCAUUCAAACUACAUUUUAUAAUAGCAGUUGAUUCAGAAGUAAAAACGUCAAGAUUUCCCAAGCAAUUUGUUCAAUGUAAUGUGUAGCUUACUUGGUGAGUUGAAAGGAAAAAUAUAUCUGGGUCCUCGUAGAAGGCAUCAUUGGUUCCAUUUCCAUGAUGAACAUCAAAGUCUAUGAUAAAAACACGUUUCAAUCCAUGCAUUCUUUGAGCAUAACGAGCAGCAAUAGCAAUAUUUCCAAACACACAAAAGCCCAUGGCCCCCUUUGGAACAGCAUGGUGACCAGGAGGUCGAAUUAGUGCAAAAGCGACAGGAGGAUCUUUGCUUACUCUGGAUGCUGCAACCUGAAAUAUCAGAUGAAACAAUUACUCCAGCUUUGAGAGAGAAGUUUACCAACAAAACGCACCCUGAACUGAUUGCUACAUUAAACGAAGUAUUCCCAGUAAACUGAAAUAUUACUAACAGCUUAGACUGAGACAUUACCACUGAAUCAACCAAGGAAAUCCCAGCUCCAGCUGCCAAUAACGACUCUUGGAACGUCUGUUCACAUUGCCAUAGGAACACUUGGUGUUAAUCUUUCUCACGGAACUCAAUAAUUUUAGGAACCUUAUUAGCUCAUACAAAUUCAAAAACUUGCCUGAUUAAGAGUAAUUAUUUCAUUAAAUAUUAGAGAACUUAGAGCAUGAAAUUUACUUAAAUGGAAUGUUAAUGUCUGUGGGGUUAUGCACAGGGCUGAGCUUUCAUAGUUACACUCCUCCAUCAUCAUGCAUAAUGAAUAGUUAAAUAGUAUCUCCAUAUGUUUAGUUGAUGAACAUAAAGCACCAUAUAUGACCACUUGUGUCUCAUUAGGAUGAUGUCGUAGACUCAUACAAGAAGCAACUAGCUUUUCUGAUCUGAGUUUUCUGAUUAAUCCUCAUUCAUGAUGUCCUACAAUUUUGGCGCUUGCCUAAAAUGUCAUGAUGUAAGCUAGGGUAGGAUUAAUAAGAACUUAAGAAAGCAAUUGAAAGGGAUUUAGAGAAGAUACAACUUAAAAGUACCAACAAGAACAAUUGACAGAUAUCAACAACCCUACUUAGUGCACUUAAAUAGCACUCCUAAACUAUAGGAUAUCCUUAAAUAGAAUCAAUCCACUUGAAAACACCCUUAAAAAUCUUGAAUCAAAGUUUGGAUACCAUCCAACUCCACAAAAUACAUCAAUCAUCACAGUAAGCUAACCCUAGUUAUUCUAGGAAACCAAGUAUUUAUACUAGGUCUAAUUAUUACAUAUUAAUGACUUAAAAGUCCCUAAUUAGGCCUAAAAUGGAAACGGGCUGAAAUACAGUUGCUGGACUUGAUAUAAAGAAUGCAAGGAAACAAAAUCAAAGUUUGCUAAUGAGGUGGUUAUGGAGAUAUACAAAUGAAGGACAAUCACUCUGAAAGAAGGCAAUUAAAGAGAAGUGUGGAGAAGAAGAUGCGUGGAAGACCAAAGCAGACAGCACUGUAUAUGGGGUCAGUGUAUGGAAGACUAUUAGAAAUCUAUGCCAGAUUUUCAGUAUCAAUACUAGCCUCAAAGUUGGGAAUGGCCACAAAAACUUCCUUUUGGGAAGACAACUGAUUAGGACCUGGUUCACUCAGACCAUCUCCAACCCACCUCUAUUUUACUCUCCAUUCUCUAUAUUUGGAGAGUAAAUAGAGAAUGGCACUCCAACCCUCUUUAUUUUAAACUCUAUUCUUCAUUUUUAGAGAGUUGAAUAGUAGUUCUCCAAAUUCACACUCUCUAUUUCACUUUUUUUAAUAUUUUAUUAUUAUUUCUAUUAUUUUCUAAUUAAUGUAUUAUUUUAUAUAUAAUGCAAUUAAUUAAAUAUCUAAUACAUAAUUCUUUUUAAAUGUAAUUUAAUAUUUUAAAAAAUAUAUCAUUUAAUAUAUACUACUUUCAUCCCAAAUCAAUAAUAUUUCAAUUUUUUUCUAAUUUUCGUCAAUAAUAUAAUUUGAUUUUAUUAUUAUUUUUUGAACGUGCAUUCGGAAUUCUGCAAUUACGUUUUGCAAUUAUGGCGGGACCGUCACAUUUUUGGAGAAAGAAAGUAUUACAUGAUAUAAUGACUACAUGUAUUAUACUGCACAACAUGAUAAUCGAGGAAGAACAGUGUUAUCAAAGGCGAAAAGCACAAAAAAUCUCUAAGGUAUGUAGGGGCUUAAAGCGCAAAAGUGCAAACAAAGCGUGGGCUUUAAUGAAAAAGGCGCAAAAGGAGAAAAGAAAACAAAUAUAUAUAUAUAUAUAUUUAGUCCAAGACUACUAAUUAUAAAUAUGAAUGGCAAAUAUAUGACCAAAGAAAUUGAAAAAAAUUAUGAUAAAGUGAAAUAUCAAUUAUUUAGUGUCACUUCUUCAUAAGAGGCUCAUUGGCAAGGAAAUGUUUGCCUUAGAACCUUGAUGACAACACUUAAGCACACAUAAAGCGAGGCAAAGCGCUCAACACAUUUUGAGCCUCGCUUCAAGGCUUAAGUGCGCCUUUGAUAACACUGGGAUGAACAUGAUCUUAAUGGACCAAUUCAAGAUGCCAUAGAGGCUCCAACUACAUAAAUGGUGGUAGAUGAAAAUCUCCGGAUGGAAUAAUUUUUAGUUAGACAUAAAAAAAAUUAAGGACAAAAAUGCUCACUUUAAACUUCGUAAUGCAUUAGUAGAGCAUUUAUGGGAGUAAAGUAAUAAUUUUGAAAGUUGAGUGUUUAUGUGAUUGUAUUUCACUUUUAUUUGAAUUUGUCCAUUAAUUAGUAUAUUAUAUAAUAUUUUCUUGCAAUUUAUGUUAUUUAGAAAUGUAGAAUAAAAUAAAGUUACCAAGUUCAAAAAAAAGAAAUGUAGAAUAAAAUAUAAAUUUAUAUUAUAUAAAAAUUUUGAAAUAGUAAAAUUUUAUAUCACAUGAAAAUUAUAUAAAGUGAUUAUUUGGGAAAAAGAAAGAAAAGAUUUAUAUUAUGAAAUAAGAAAAUAAGAUUAAAAUAGAAUAUACUGAGGAGAGAGGAGAAGAUUCUUUUUUAGAGAGUAAAAUAGAGAAUUGGGUUGGAGUUGAUUGUCUAACAAAAUAGAGAACUCUAUAUUUGGAGAGUAAAAAUAGAGUAUAAGGUUGGAGGUGCCCUUAGGCUUCUAUUUCCAGAUGUUCUCAUACUACAUCAACAACAAAAAGCUAAAAUCACUGAAGUUUGGAGUAACCAAGGCUGGGAUCUCAAUGACAGAAGGCCUCUAAAUGACUUAGGAUAUGGAUAGAUUCAUAGAAUUCCUCAACAUUCUCAAUUUCUUCAAAAGGAGUCUCACUAGAACAAGAUAGAUUACGGUGGCUGAGAGACAGUAUAGGGAUCUUUUCAGUCAAGACAGCAAAUUAUAUGAGGAAUCAGAACAACCACCUUAAUGUGUAGUUGCCCUGGAAGCAUUUAUGGAAACCAAAAUACCAUACAAAGUGACAUGUUUUGUUUGGUCAAAACUAGAGCAACAACUAUGGGAACACCAACACCAGUAAGACAGGGUGCGCCUGAGCCAACUAUUGGGGCUGCAACCCGAGGGGGAGCAAUGGCGAGAGGCUGUGGUAGAGGUCACGGGAGAAGGCCCACUAGAGGCAGAGGAUAAGCAACUGGUCCAACUAGAGAUGGAGCAGUGACCCCUCCACCGGCUGACGAGGUAGCGAGAGAGGUGAUGAGGGGGAGGAUGAGCAAAUUCAUGAGAAGGAAGCACCACCCCAGCCUACUCCAGAGAUGAUCAACCAGGUUCUCACUUAUCUUAGCGGGUUAUCUGAUCAGGGCCAGGCACCCCAGCGUUUUCUGCACUAGCAACUCAAGUACAAGUAGUACAACAUGCAGCUGUUGUGGCUCCCCGCAUAGAUGCGUCCUUGGAAACAUGCAUGUUUCCUCGAUUGACUACAGGGCCUAUAAUGACUAGUGACGAGCAUGAUCUCUUUAUCAAGUUCUUAAAGUUGAAACCUCCCGUCUUCAAAGGUACUGAAUCUGAAGAUGCUUAUGAUUUCCAUGUGGAUUGUCACAAGCUGCUUCAUAAGAUGGACAUAGUGGAGCGAUUCGGUGUUGAGUUUGUUACCUACCAGUUUCAAGGGGAUGCCAAAAUGUGGUGGAGGUCUCAUGUUGAAUGUCGACCAGCAAAGGCACCACCUAUGACAUAGGCAGCAUUUUCUAGCUUCUUCAUGGAGAAGUAUAUACUCGGACUUUGAGGGACAGGAGGAGAGAUAAGAUCCUGAACAUAGAGCAAGAAAGAUGUCGGUUGCAGCCUAUGAGGCCAAAUUUCAUGCAUUAUCCAAAUAUGCCACUCAGCUUUGCUUCAGUCCGCAAGAGCGGAUUCGCCGCUUUGUGAAGGGACUGAGGUAAGAUUUGCAGAUUCCAGCAUUACAAGUAGCUGCUUCUACAAAAUCUUUUCAAGAAGUGGUUGAUUUUGUGAUAGAGGUAAAGGGGGUGAAGCCAGAUGACUUCACCAAGGUGUCAACAUUUAAGAAGUUCCGUAAAGGAGGUGAGGUUAGUGGUUCUUACUUCAGAGGGUAGAGUUCUGGGGGUUAUCCACCCCGUCCUCUUCAGUCUACAUUGCAGGUUUCACCUGAGGGUCCGUCACCGACCAGCGAGCCUUUUUCUGAGCUUGGGGGUUAUCUUCAGUAUUCUUCGUCUUCACAGAGACAAACUCUCGACUCCAGGACUUGCUAUGGAUGUGGUGAGGCUGGGCAUAUCAGGAAAUACUGUCUGAGGCAGAGUCAGGCUCGGUAUGAUCAGAGUUACAAAUCUCCAACAGUUAGAGGUAGGGGUGGUCAUGGUAGAGGUCGUCAUUCAAGAGGACGUGGUGGCUAAGGUAAUGGUGGUCACCAGUUCGGCCGGGGUGGCGGGCAGGUUGGAACUACUGUAGCGCAGCCCGAUAGAGGCAAUGGAUAGACAUGUGAUAAAGCCCAUUGUUAUGUUUUCCCCGGGAGGCCAGAGGCACAAGCAUCCAAUGUUGUUAUCACAGGUACUCUUCUGGUCUGUGAUUGCAUGGCUUCUGUAUUGUUUGAUCCUGGAUCCACAUUUUCUUAUGUAUCUUCCUUAUUAGCUAAUGGACUUGAUUUGCAUUGUGACUAGCUUGACAUGCCUAUUCGUGUCUCUACUCAUGUUGGUGAGUUGGUGUUAGUUGAGAAGGUGUAUAGGUCUUGCCUUGUGACUUUUGUGGGGAGCAAAACUUAUGUAGAUUUGAUUAUUUUGGAAAUGGUUGAUUUCGAUGUAAUUCUGGGUAUGACUUGGCUUUCUCCAAAUUUUACUAUCUUGGGGCACGUGGUUUCUAAGGAUGAAGUGAUGGUGGAUCCCACUAAAAUCGAAGCAGUGAAGAGUUGGGUAAGGCCUACUAAUGUUUCAGAGGUAAGGAGUUUUGUUGGUUUAGCUAGCUACUACCGUCGGUUCGUUAAGGGAUUUUCUUCCAUUGCUUCCCAACUGACCAAGCAUAAUGUUCCAUUUGUAUGGUCGGAUGAGUGUGAAGAGAGCUUCCUGAAACUCAAGACCUUGUUGACUACUGCACGGAUUCUUGCCUUGCCUGUGGAAGGUAAGAAUUUCAUUGUUUAUUGUGAUGCAUCUUAUUUUGGUUUAGGUGCGGUGCCAAUGCAGGAGAGUAAUGUAUUUGCCUAUGCUUCAAGGCAAUUGAAAGUGCACGAACUUAACUAUCCAACCCAUGAUUUGGAGUUGGCUGCAGUUGUAUUUGCAUUGAAGCAGUGGAGGCAUUAUCUACAUGGGGUCAAGUGUGAAGUGUAUACAGAUCAUCGUAGUUUACAAUAUGUGUUCACUCAGAAGGACUUGAAUUUGAGGCAAAGGAGGUGGAUGGAGUUACUGAAAGAAUGACAUUACUAUUCUAUAUCACCCAGGAAAAGUUAAUAUUAUGGUUGAUGCCCUAAGUAGAAAAGCAGGGAGCAUGGGAGUUUAGCCCACUAACAAGUUUCUAGACGCCCAUUGGCUAGAGAAGUUUAAACUCUGGCUAAUGACUAUGAGACUGAAAGUAAUUGAGAAAGGAGGAUUCUUGGCUUGUGUGGAGGCAAGAUCUUUUCUUGACAAGCUUAAAGGAAAGCAGUUUGAUGAUGAGAAGCUGAGCCGAAUUCAAGACAUGGUAUUGCGAGGAGAGGUUAAAGAGGUUGUGAUUGAUGAGGAAGGCGUCUUGAGAAUUAAGCGGCGGGUAUGUGUGCCCCGUGUUGAUGAUUUGACUCAUACUAUCCUUGUAGAGGCUCAUAGUUCGAGGUAUUCUAUACAUCCUGGUGCAACCAAGAUGUAUCGUGAUUUGAGACAACAUUAUUGGUGGAGUAGAAUGAAGCGUGACAUUGUUGAUUUUGUUGCCCAACGCCCAAAUUGUCAGCAAGUAAAGUACGAGCAUCAGAGGCCUAGAGGGACACUUCAAUGAAUGUCCAUUCCUGAAUGGAAGUGGGAAAGAAUUGCAAUGAAUUUCAUGGUUGGUCUGCCAAAGACAUUGGGUAAGUUUGAUUCUAUAUGGGUAAUUGUUGACAGAUUAACUAAGUCUACUCAGUUCAUUCUAGUCAAGGUGACUUAUAAUGCAGAGAAGUUAGCCAAACUCUAUAUCCGCGAGAUUGUUCGAUUGCAUGGAGUUUCGAUCUCCAUUAUAUCAGAUAGAGGUACGCAAUUUACUUCUAACUUUUGGAGGACCUUGCAAGCUGAAUUAGGUACUAGAUUGGAUCUUAGUACUGCAUUUCACCUUCAGACCGAUGGACAGUCAACAAUCAAGUGCUAUAGGAUAUGUUUCGUGCGUGCGUGAUGGAUUUUGGUGUUCAUUGUGAUCAGUUUUUACCCUUGGCAGAGUUUUCGUACAACAAUAGCUAUCACUCGAGUAUUGGUAUGGCCCCAUUUGAGGCAUUAUAUGGGAGGAGAUGUAGGUCUCUCAUUGGUUGGUUUGAUGCAUUUGAGGUGAGACCUUGGGGUACCGAUCUUUUGAGGGAAUCGUUAGAGAAAGUGAAAUUCAUUCAGGAGAAGCUUCUAGCAGCUCAGAACAAGCAGAAGGAGCAUGCAGAUCGGAAGGUCAGGGAUUUAGAGUUUAUGGAGGGUGAACAAGUCCUGCUGAAGGUUUCACCCAUGAAGGGUGUGAUGCGGUUUGGUAAGCUUAAUCCAAGAUAUAUUGGGCGAUUUGAAGUUCUUAAGCGUGUUGGGGAGGUGGCUUAUGAAUUGGCCUUCCCUCCAGGGUUGUCAGGAGUGCACCCGAUAUUUCAUGUGUCUAUAGUGAAAAUAUAUCAUGGUGAUGGAAACUACAUUAUUCGUUGGGAUUCGGUCCUGCUUGAUGAGAAUCUAUCUUAUGAGGAGGAGCCUGAGCCUGUAGCUAUUCUAGAUAGGGAGGUUCGCAAGUUGAGGUCAAAGGAGAUUGCAUCUAUCAAGGUUCAGUGGAAAAAUCGGUAUGUUGAAGAGUCCAUUUGGGAGAGUGAGGCUGAUAUGCAAGAAAGAUAUCCACAUUUUUUUGUCGAUUUAGGUACCCCUUCUUACCAUCAUCUUCUUUUGAUCGUUCGAGGACGAACGAUGAGUAAAUUGGUAUCUAAUGUAACAACCCAUUAGGUCGUUUUGGGUACUAUAGCUUCUUAUUUCAUAAAAAACUCUUCCGAUAAAUUCUAAAUGGGUAUUUUGGACUAUUUGUAACUAUAAUUAUUUAUAUAAUUAAUGAGGUAAUUUUAAUAAUUAAUUUAGUCGGGGGAUAAAGAAAAUAACAUUAAAAUUAGUGGUGAGCUUUUUUUACCAGUUUUAUAAUUGGUCGUGUAUAAUAAUUAGGAUAAAUAAAUAAUCUAUAAAAGAAAGACGAAAGAAAACUAGGCGAGAAACUUUACCUGCGUCGUCUAACAAGGAAUACCGACAUCGAGGUAAUGUUUUUUUUUGAUAAAAGUUAAAGUGACAUCGAGGUAAUGUUUUGAAUCUUCAAUGUCCUUAAUUAAUGAUAGGGGGUUAAAUAUUAUAUAAUAAUAUUUCAUGGUUAGAUAUGAAUUGAAAGUGGGUGUUAGCGGAUGUGAUGGGAGUUUGGAUUUUGAAUAAGAAAGUGAGGGUGAUAAUGAAUUAGUUGAUGGAUUAAUGAUUAGUCAAUCAUUGGCUGAUGAUAUGAUAAAUUUGGCUUAUAGUAUAUGAUAAAUUUGGGUCAGAGUUGUUGUCACUAGUUUUCAAAGCCAAUGGCUUUAAUCUUGAAUUUUAUUACGUUGUCAUCAUAUUAUAAAUUGAGUUUUAAUAUAUUGAGAUAUGUAAUUAAAUAUUAGGUGUAUUGUAUAAUUCGAAUAUCAUUAAAGUGAUGAUAAUUAAAGCAAUUGAGACUUAUCCUUAGGCUUGAACUUUAGGAAAGUGACUAUAGAUUGGGGUGAGUUUUUGGGUCUAGGCUAGACAUAUAGUAAUAUGGGUGUCUAUAGACUCAUUUACUUAUGAAUUAUGCAUGUUUAAUAGAUUGAAAACGUUCGAAGGCAUUGAAGAAAGGAAAAGUUUUGAAGAAUUAGCUUGCUCGACUUCGAUUCCUCGGUGGAGAUAGAUUAGGGUUUAUUCUAUGUGAUAGAUAGACUCUUAAUAGUGAUUGAUAAUCAUUGAGUGAUAUUGUGAAUUUCUUUAUGUACUUGGUUGUGUGGUUUGGACAAUCUAUGUGUUAUUUGUGAUUGGUCUGAAAUCCUGAGACCGUGAAAUUUAUAAUCUUGAACUUUCUCUAUCAAAGUGAUGCCUUGAAUAAAGUAGGCUUUAUGAAAUAUUGUUAAUGCAGUGAAAAGAGGUAAUAAUAAAUUAACGAUAUAUUUGGAUCGGGUGCCACGAGCCGGCACGAUGUUAUUGGAUCGGGUGUCACAUUCCGGCACGGCAACAUUAAAGGAAAACAUAUAUAAACAAUGUAAUGUACUUAAUCUCAAAGAACUCAAUUCCUAAAAUAGCUUAGUUUGGAGGCAUGAGUCCCCAUGUGUGCUCUUGAUAUUGUUGACUGAUUACGUACUUACUUUAGUGUUGUUGUCACUUGUUCAUGUUGGUUGUUGCUUGCCACCUACUAAGUGUCAUAGUUGAUUUUUAUACUAUUACUCGUUGCAUAUUAGUUUCUUUUCUCUUUUGUUUUUGAGAUUGAGUACAUUACGUUUUUUUUUUUUAGUACAUUACGUUGUUUAUAUGUUUUCCUUUAAUGUUGUCUUGCCGGAACGCGACACCCGAUCCAAUAACAUCGUGCCGGCUCGUGGCACCCGAUCCAAAUAUAUCCUUAAUUUAUCAUUUAUUAUCACCACUUUAACUUCAUUAACAAUAUUUCAUCAAGCCUUCUUUAUUCAAGGCAUCACUUCGAUAGAGAAGGUUCAAGAUUAUAAAUUUCACGGUGUCAGAAUUUCAGACCAAUCACAAACAACACAGAUUAUCCAAACCACACAACCAAGUACAUAGAGAAAUUCACAAUAUCACUUAAUGAUUAUCAAUCACUAUUAAGAGUCUAUGUCUAUCUAUCCCAUACAAUAAAUCAUAACCUACCUCGACCGAGGAAUCGAAGUCGUGCAAGCUAAUUUUCCAAAGCUUUUCCUUUCCUCAAUGCCUCUGAACGUUUUCAAUCUAUUAAACAUGCAUAAUUCAUAAGUAAACGAGUCUAUAGACACCCAUAUUACUAUAUGUCUAGCCUAGACCCAAAAACUCACCUAAAUCUAGUCACUUUCCUAAAGUUCAAGCCUAAGGAUAAAUCUCAAUUGCUCUAAUUAUCAUCACUUUAAUGAUAUUCGAAUUAUAUAAUACACCUAAUAUUUAAUUACAUAUCUCAAUAUAUUAAAUCUCAAUUUAUAAUAUGAUGACAACGUAAUAAAAUUCAAGAUUAAAGUCAUUGGCUUCGAAAAAUAGUGGCAACAACUCUAAGCCAAAUUUAUCAUAUCAAGUCAAUGAUUGGCUAAUCAUUAGUCCAUCAACCAAUUCAUUAUCACCCUCACUUUCUUAUUCAAAAUCCAAACUUCCAGCACAUCCGCUAACACCCACUUUCAAUUUAUAUCUAACCAUGAAAUAUUAUUAUAUAAUACUAAACCCCCUACCAUUAAAUAAGGACAUUGAAGAUUCAAAACAUUACCUCGAUGUCGGUCUUCCUUGUUAGACGCCGCAAGUAAAGUUUCUCGCCUAGUUUUCACUUUUCUUUCUUUUACAGAUUAUUUCUUACCCUAAUUAUUAUACAUGACCAAUUAUAAAAGUGGUAAAAAUGGCUCACUACUAAUUUUAAUGUUAUUUUCUUUAACCACCGACUAAAUUAAUUAUUAAAAUUAACCCAUUAGUUAUAUACCUAUAGUUACGAAUAGUCCAAAAUACCCAUUUAGAAUUUAUCAAAGUGUCUUUUAUGAAAUAAGACGUUAUAGUACCCAAAACGACCUAAUGGGUUGUUACAAUGGCUGACGAACACCCAGCAGAAAACACCAAAAAUAGUUGGGAAAAGGGAAAAAUAAGCGUAAUGUGACGCAUGCGUGUUAACACCAUAAAGUUAAAUCUGGUUAUUAUUCUCCCAGACAGUAAUAGAGACUAGCAUCAGAAAGAGGAAGAGUUACCGUAAGAGAUAUAUUCUUACUGUGGCAGUAGCAUAUGUGGGUCCAGAUCCAUCAAUGAAAAUUAGACCUUUCUCUGAAGCUUGAUCCAUAGCCUGCAGAUGAUAGUCAACAAAUCAAGAGAACAUAGGAUGAGAAAAAAUAAUGGUGACAAUGGCGAUGACAAAGAUGAUGAUGAUAAUAAUACUACUACUAAUAAUAAAUAAAUAUUAACAACGAUAACAAUUAUUACAAUGACAUCACAAAUAACAAAUAACAAUUGGAAUAGUAACAAAUACUAAGGAUGAUGACAACAAUGAUGCAAAGUAAUAAUAAUGUGGAAAACAUUCCCUCAGUUUCCGAAAAAAUGGACAAGUUAGGAAUAUGAGAGUACAACCAUUCAAUUUUCUAUCACAGUUCAUCAAUUUCUUUAUUUUCCUAAAAUUAAAAUUAUAUAAAAAGUAUUGUUACUAAAUCUUUUACAACUAAGAAUAUUUAGAUAAAGCACACAUUGAGGAUAAAAUGAGAGAAAUGACGUUUGAGAUGGUUUAGCCAUGUCCUACGUCAAUUUAUGAAUGUGAAAUCAUAGUGAGUGAAAGUGUUAACAAAGAACGAGGUAAACCCAAAAUCACAUGAAAGAGAGUUGUCUCGAAGGACCUAUAGUCUCUUGAAAUCCAUGCAGGCCUAAGCAAAAAUAGGGAACCCACCAUUUCUCCACGUUACAAUUUUUUUAAAGAACAAAUUCCAAAAAUAAGGUAAAAAGUCUUUAUGCUAGACUCUUUACAAUAUAUGACAAAACUACGCAUGUGGACAUUACAAAUUAAAACAUUAUUUUAAUCUAUGUGGACUCUUCACUUUCAUGGUGCACUCUUAGUGAAUGGCAAUGACAUGGGUAUGGGUGGUUCACAUACUACUUUAAGAUAGAAUAAAUCCCACUAAAAGUGAAAGCGGCCAUGUAGAAUACGUACCAAUAUCGACUUUUCAAACCCAAAUCUUCAUGUAACAUCAGAAUAAUAGAUGACUUUUAAGCAAUAGCCCAAAAUUGAAAAAAAAAAAGAGGAAUGCCAAGCAUGAGACCAUCUCUAUCUACGGAUCAAAAAAAAAAACCCGUAUCCAUGAUCGAAUGGAUUGAAAAUAUUAAGGAAAUGUAAAUUUUUAGAUCGAAUUCAACGUUUAUUUGUGUGAUGGAAGUCAUUAUUUUUCAAACUAUUUUUCAAGAAAAUGUUUUCUAGUAUUUGAUUGGUGAGUAGAAAAUAGUUUCAGAAAAACAUAGAUCCAUUAAGGAUUAAUAAUAAUCUUGGCAAACCAGGUAAUGCUUUGAUUCAAAAAUUUACUAGUAAAAAUCAAUAAUGUCUAGGUGUUGCUUGAAAUAAAUAAUAUAAAGUUAAAAAUUUAUGUUAUAGUCUCCAAUAAAAGACAUGAAGUUAGAAGUGUAAAUAGAAGUUCGGAAAUGAUUUGCAUCGAUAUACGAGGAAAGUCAUUUUUCUCAUUUUGAUGGAAAACAUUUUCUAGAAACCAAAAUGUUGUCGUCAUGGAAAACAUUUUCCUGAAAAGUGACUUCCUAUCAAUCAAACACACUUCCAUCAAUCAAACACACCACCAGAGAAGUUUUGAAUUAUUGUACAACAACAUUAAUAAGAAGAAUUACCAAACCUUAUGGCUAUGCUACCUUCUCAAGCCCUGAAAUAUAGGGCCCAGCAUGAACACUUCCUAUGUCAUCUGUUGUAGCUGGUCUGAAAUUCUGCACUUCAACAACAUCUGAACCUCGAAACUGGAACACAAGAUAGCUUGAUUAGUUGUAUAGGUGUUUAGUAACAUCUGUAUAUGCAUCUUACUAGUGCGCAUGAAGGUUUUGGACUUUUAAUCANNNNNNNNNNNNNNNNNNNNNNNNNNNNNNNNNNNNNNNNNNNNNNNNNNNCUCCCCCCUCCCCCCAAAAAAUAAACCCAAAUGGUAGAGUUCUACCAGGAAUUCUCUUGCCCUCCUAUGAUCACCAUAGUGGUAAAGGUCCUAUGACAAAGGAAAAUUCACCGGAUCUGACUUCAUAAUAUCUCCCAUAAGUUCCUAGGAGAAACUGCUUCACUCUAGCGUAGGAUGGUAGCUCCUAUAAAAUCCUUCCUGUAUAUUGCUAACACUUAAGAAUAGGAGGUAGCUCACACAAGGUUUAGCUAAAUAGCUGAAAUGGGAGUGUCAUUAGGUGGCACAUCAUGUAGGAGAGUAAUGACACCAUUUGGGAUGGUGAUCCAGGCCAAUGUCACAAGAGGCUUGGUUUAGUCGGUUUACUAUCAGCGUGCAUACUGGAUGACAUUGAAUGUUACAUGCAGGUUUGGCUUUUCUGUCAACAGGAUGUUGAGCAGCAACAGCCUGGAGGACUUUGGAACCAUUGCCAGUUACGGAGAUCCAUGGGAGAGCAAGGCUAUAGAAUUUAUCACAUGUUAGCCGAAGUCCGGAGGUUAUGCACUAUUAUAGUGGUCGUGGAUAGAUUUUCGAUGUAUGCCCAUCUUCAUGCACGCCUCACUAAGCUCUGUGUUGCCGAGGAAGCUGUCAAGCUAUUCUUUAAGAAUGUGUUGAAGUAUUGGGGCUUGGCGAGGCAUAUCAUUAGUGACUGAGACCCUCACUUUACUGGGAACUUUUGGAGAGAGUUGUUGGACACUAUGUUGCGCGGACUCUUCAUUUUUGCGGCCGAACCCGUCUCGACGCGACACUGGUGCGGGCGCGGGUGCGGGGUGCGUGUCGGAUUCGGUCAAUCCGAUCCGGAUACUUUGACCAAAGCCGAGAAAAAAUGGGGAAGAAGAGAUCAAUUUCAUGGCCGGCGAAAGUUGACGACGACGAAGUUGUCACAAGGUCUGGUUGCUCCAUGGAAAAGAAUAAUGAAGAGACAAAACUUACAAGAAUAGAGAGAGAAAAGGCAGAUUUUUUUUUUUUGUACAAGAACAAAGAGGAGGCGAAGGGCUCCAUGGGAAAGAACAAAUAAUUCAAAGUUUUUUUCUUGAAAAGGAAAAAGCAGGCUAGGGUUUCUUGGGAGAAGAAAGGGCAGCACGUCAGAACUUUAAUGAAUUGUACUACUAUCUAAUUUAAUAUGCUGUAUAUAUAGAUAUGGCAGCACGUCAGAACUUUAAUGAAUUGUACUACUAUCUAAUUUAAUAGGCUAAAUAUAUAUAUAUAUAUAUAAAUGAUUAUUUCUUUUUUAUAACUAAAUAAAAGGAAUUAUAAAUUUUUUUAAAACUUAAUUUAAGGUAACAAAGUAACUUAAUUUAUACUUUUAAAUUUGUACUAUUCUAUAAUUUGAUAUCCUUUUAAGUAUAGCGUUUUACAAGAUAUUUAUUAUUAUUAUUAUUAUUAUAUUUUAUAAUAUUGAAUAAUUUUAACCGAAUCCCCGCACCCGUAUCCAUACUCGGAUUCGCACCCCCGAAUCUUAAAAUUUAAAUUUUGCCGAAUCCAACUCUCGGAUUCGCAUCCGUCUCGGAUACCCGCACCCGAGUCCGAGCAACUUAGGUUGGACAUACAUGGCACGGGAUUGCACUUUCCUACUAGCUUCAACCCGUAGACAGAUGGAUAGAUGGAGCGAGUCAAUGCCUUCUACUAGCUUCCACAAUAAAGUUGCAAUCAGUAUAGCUCAGAGCCUCAGAAUCAUGUUCAACAUGACUGAACAAAAUAAAAUGAAAUUGAUUGGCACUUCAUCAAAGAGAAAGUUACUAGUCGCACCUUGAGUUUGUUUCAUGUAUCGUCAGAAAACAAAUAGCGUAUGUGCUUACAUAGGGCCUCAGCAAAAGGACUUUUCAUACUUCGGUUUGCAAGUUGGGCAUGUGCAACAUCUUUGCUUUAACUUCAUGGAACAGAUUUCGUUAAUAUUUAGCAUGAUUUUAGGAGACUUCAUUUUUCCUUUUCCUAGCGUAAUUUUUAUAAAAUUAUCUCACAUUUUAUCCCAAAUUUAUUUUCCUCAUCUCUGAUUCCAAAUGACCCCUCAAGAGAUACCCAAUGUGUUUGUCUUUUAUCAUCACUGGUGAAAACAAUAAACAUAAGAAUCAGCAUUGACAAAUAAUUGUCCUAUGUUUGUGGCAUACCUUUGAAGUCAGUUUCAUCUUUUCCAAAGCUGUCAAAAUUGCAGGAACUCUAGAGUUGCAUUCUGGAUGUGAUUCCUGAAAAUUUUUAGUGACUGAAUUCCAAGAAAUAGAUAUUCCCCAAAACAAAGACCUAGUAAAGAGAAUCAACAAAAGAUUUAAGCUAAAUGUUAGGAUGGUGAAGUUUACGCUGUUCUUACCCUAAGGAAAUCAUGCAACAGAAUAUUAACAAAAAUCAGUAGAAAUAAAAGGAGUUGUUCUAUGACAUCCAACUAAGUACUUUGAUUAAGGAUCCUUGCACUGUAGGAACCUGAAAACUCAGAUGUAUAUCAACUACUUUAGCCAGCAAAAUUAAGGGGCAAGGUCAUAGGAGUGAAAAGUUUAAGAUAGAAUGGCGCAUUUCUACCCAAAGAUAUUUUGCAAGUGAAAUCUAGUCUAAACAAAAAUAUUGAGCAACAAACUAUCACACUUAAAUAGAAUCAAAGUAAAUAUAUUCAGAUGAUUCAGGCAGCAUCUCACAGAACAAGAAAUGGCAGUGGCACAGUUUGUCAGUCCAAUGUAACCACACGAUAGACAUGCUAGGAAAAGAGAGAAUGCCUCAGAAAAGGUGCAAAACUACAGUACGAGAAACAUCAAGCAAUAAAGGUAAGAGUUCCUACAGGGACAUCCAAUAGAAUUGGAACAAAAAAGGUAAGAAAAUUGGAGAACAUUUUGUAUUCUCUAAAACAGAAGAUAAAACUAUCAAGCUUUCGACUUCUACAUUCCGGUCUCGUUAUGUUAACUUUAACUAGUUGGUCGUGCAUAGCUGCUCAGCAUUACAAAUAGAGGUACUCAAGUCUCAAGAUAAACAGAAAAACCAAAUCAAACCAAAUUAAAUUUAACACCAAAUUUAACACCCAUAUCCAGGGGAAGAAAACUUAGACAGACAGAUCACAGUGCGCAAUGGGGCAUGACAGACAGAGUUCCUGAAACUAAAAUUCUUGAAGUUAGAUUCUUUGACCAUUGAGCAAUAGAACAUUUCCUCUGACUGCUUACCUAAUGAUAACUAAGAGAGUUGGUUUGCUUGGUGGGGUAUAUGCUCACUAAGUGGCGGUCACGGCCCUUCAGAUUUGGGUCGUGACAUUGGAUUUCACUUAAGUCAUAUAAUUUUGAAUUAAAUCAUUAAUUUGGAACUUAUUGACCGAAAAUGUUGACUUGAUCCAACGUGUCUUGAAUUUAGGAUUUAGCACAAGUAUUGUAUGGACUGAUCCAAUAAGAUUUAGAUGUCUACGAUGUGUUUUGAAAGGGAAAGGCAUAGACAAAUUAAUAAUAAAAACCUGUCAAUCUCCAACCAGCCGAAAAGUGGCACAUGCCCUCAAUUUAAAUAGGUUUCAUGUUGAAGGAGGAAUGAUACCUGGAAAGAGAAGGAUCCUAUUGUAGGACAUUUAACUAAAAUGUCACUGGAAUUGAGAUUCAGAACUUUAGCAUACAUGAGUUCUGGACAUCUGAUAGAGAAUAAAUGGCACCUUGCAAAGAACAAAAAUCUAGGCAUUUCUUACAAGAACUUUGUUAAAUUGCAGAUAAGUGAACCUUGGAAAUAAUAUCUACUUUUCGCACAUGCAGGCGACAGAAUGACGUGCAACUACAUGGAACAGAAUAAGCACAACUUUCUCUUAGGGAACAUAUAUUAACAUUAUCUACCUAAUUCUCAAAAUAAUAUCUAAGUAGGAAAACCAAUAAGACAAUUGUGGGAAAAAGACAAACAGUGAGAAUAUAGAGAAAGAAUAACCGUAAAGGCAGUAAUUUGCUAAUCUUUGCAAUUAAAUGGGUGGAAAAAAAAUAUUGCUACUCCCUUUGGGCAGCCAAAACUGGAUAGGAAGUUCAUAGAGGUUGUAAUGAACUUGAUGACAGCAUAUUUUGAGGUUUAUGACAUAUAACAGUUCUAUGUUUCAGAUUUCACUGCCAUUUAAAUUGAUCAAGACACUUGAAACAAUUCGAACCCCCUGAGGAGAUUCUUCUACAAAAAAAAACGUUAGGCCGUAAAAGAAGAGAAAAUUUCUAGUUGCAACUCUGAUAUUAGAGUUUGGGUAGAUUCCUCCUCAAGUCAUAAGCGGUUGCAAGGUAAACACUUGAUCAAAACCGUAGCACCAUAUAUAGCUUUAGUUUAACUCUCAUGGUGGGCAUCAAAAAAGAGAGAUAAAAGUUUCUCCUCAUGAGCUGGGUCCACAACAGUUUUAGGAGAAGAAUGAAGUAAAUGAUUCCUGGAAUCACAAAGCUAGCUUGACAAUGCAUAUGGUAAGUAGAUUUACUUUACCUGAUUAUGACCCAUUGCAGGAGCAGCAGCAUAUAUCACUUUUGCACCAACUGCGAUAUGAUCAGAAGGCAAGCCAACAUUUCUUUCCUUCUGAUUUGAACAAUAAAUGGUGCCUCGAACACUCGUUGAAGAAUAUCCCUUUUCUGGUCUGAUGUGCUUCAGGAGAUCUCUAUACUUAAUGGUAAUUCCAUUUUUGGAAUACUUCUUAUGAGAGUAAACGUGAUGUCUAACAUAGAACAGCAAGUUACCUGCCAAAAGGAAUUGAAAUAAUUAUGUAUAUCCAUUGAAGAGAACAGCAGUCCAUUUUGAAAGAACAAACAAAACAACUCUGCAACAACAAGAUUUGACAUGAUGAUCUUAUACAGUAGGAGUAUUCCAACAGAAACUGUGCAUUUUCAAUGAGAAAUACUUUCUCACCUACAACCAGGCCUAUCCAAGAAAACAUAAUCAAAUGAUAGUUUUCGAAUCAGAUAAAAGUUUGGUUCAUUAAUUACACUACUUAAAAAACAGUAAAAAGAGACCUAAAAUGGAGACCUCAUGAGGUUUUUUUUCCGGAAAAAGAGACCUAAAAAGCGACCUCAAUAAUAGGUCACUUUCAUGAUUCAAAGUUCACUCAACCUCCAACUUCAUGAAACUAAUGUAACAUACUUGUAAAUACUUGGUGUUUCCAUUAUCUUAAUAAUCAAAUUGUAAACUUGUUCUACUUAAUCUUGAAGCAUUUUGAAAGAAUAUUGGCUUCAAGUUAGAGUUAUCUUUUCACGACUGCAAGCAAAAGUUAUUACAUAAAAUAGUUGUCACAAGCAUUAUGAAAGGCACUCAGCUGACUUACGUUUGCAUGUGCUAAAAAGGACAUUUCAAGUUUGUAUCCUCCUGCUUGUGUGCCUUCUAUGUUGUUGAUGUUGAGUCUGUGGUUGUGGGUAGCAUUAGGAUACUUAAGAAAAGAAGUGGAGGGGCAUAGGGUAGGGUCUAUGGUUUGGGAGAAAAUAGCCUUGCAACUAAGUGAAACAUUUACCUUAAAAAAGACUAGAGCCCAUUUGGAUUGACUUUUUUAAAGUGUUUUUAAGCUUAAAAUAGCUUAAGUAUUUUUGGAGUGUUUGGAUAAGUUAAAAAAGUGCUUACAAGCACUUAGUUUUAAACUAAAAUGCUAAAAAUAGGCCAAAACCCAUAAAUUCUAUAGCUUUUGGCUUAUAAGUCAAAAAUGAAAAAGUCAACCAAACAAGCUCUAAAGCUAAUACCAAAAAAUUUCAAACAAUCAUGCAACCUUCACCUAAUAUUUAAAAUAAAACUUGCAAUUGCUUAAUGAUAAAGCCGAUAGUUAAUAGAAGACCAUCAUAUUUAUAUUGUGGAACAUGGAAUAGAAAUUUGAUCAACAAGACAAUUAAGUUGGCAAGACCAAUUCCAGUGUAAUCAAAGGCGAAAAGCACAAAAAAGCUCUAAGGUCUGUGGGGGCUUUAAGCGCAAAGCGCAAAUAAAGCGUGGGCUUUAAUGAAAAAAGGCGCAACGGGAGAAAAAAAUACAAAUGUAUAUGUUUAGUCCAAGACUAAAAAUUAUAAACAUAAAUGACAAAUAUAUGACCAAAGAAGAUGAAAAAAGAUUAUGAUAAAAUGAAAUAUCAAUUGUUUAGUGUCACUUCUUCAUAAGAGGCUCAUUGGCCAAGAAAAGUUUGUCUCAAAACCUUGAUGACGACACUGAAGCGCACAUAAAGCGAGGCGAAGCGCUCAACACGUUUUGAGCCUCGCUUCAGGGCUUAAGCGCACCUAAAGCGCGCAUUUGAUAACACUGACCAAUUCAUAACAAUUCAUAGGACAGAGUAAGUAAGCAUCAACUUUUAAUUAUAAAUCACCCACACUUAAAAUUUAUAAACUUUUUUCCCAAUGAACAGGUCCAAUAAACAAAAUUUGUAUGACUCAAAGUGAAGAAUCAACAUGCAAGUAAACUAAAUUAGGGGACUACAUCAAAAAAAAAUUGAACUUUGUACAUUUUUCAGAACUUUCCAAUGAGAACAUACACAAUAUUGUGUGAUUGAGUUAAUUACAAAACAAAGUGAACAGUAAAACAAAAUCCUACUUGACCCCUAUAAUGGUGGCACUGCAACUACUAUCAAUUAUCAUAUGCUCAACUGCCUGAUCUCCACACCGAAAUAACAAGAUAGUAAUCAUCGGAACCAUAAAAGAGCAUUCGAUGUUCCCUCAAUACUUUAAUGUUGUUAACAUUCUUUACCCUUUACAAAUGUUCUCGAUUCUUUACAUAAAACUGAUGAUUCCAUUAAGAUCGAAGUAGCCAGUACAACUAGAAACUGAUUGUAGCAGUUCACUCAACUUCUUCCCCCAAUAUAUUCAACUAAAAUCUCAAUACUUAUUUUAACAACAUUACCACAAUGACACGAUUUCUUAAUUAUAACUAAUAUUAUUGCAAAAAUUCAUUAAUUAUUGAACAAGCACGAUUAUUUGAAGUAUCAUUAAAAAUUAGCAGCAAAAGUAGAAAAUAAAAUCAUAAUUAAUGAACCUAAUGAGGAAUUAAUAAAGUGUUUUAGAGCUUAUCAUCAAAAGGUAAAACCUAACAUGGAUUUUUUUUUUAAAUUAAGCGAAUUUUGAAACUUACACUGGAUCAAGGGGGCUGUAGGCCGUGAAGCAGUUGUGGCCGUGAAAUUCGCCAAUGGAGGUGCUGCUGCUGCGGACAUCAUCGCCGGUAGAGAGACUACAGACUUCAUCACCGGUGGAGGAAGACGAAGUGCCGAUAAAUAAUGGGAAAUAAUCUGUGGUUUUUAUUUCAUACAUAUAAUAAAUAUUUUAAAAAAAAUAUAUAUAAAGUGUAAACCUGAGCAAAAAAGAUAAUGGAAGGGAGUAUUAGAAUACUAAAAGAUAUGGAUAAAGGGUAUUUUUAAACGUUUUUCUAUAGUCUAGGGGUAUUUUUAUUUUUUCCUGAAUUUUAUAUUUUAUAAUAGUUUUCUAAUGAGGUCUUUUUUUUUAAUCAAAGUAAUCAACGAAUAUUUUAGAAAUAGAGACCUCGUGAGGUCGUUUUUUAAAUAUAUUUUUUUAAUUUUUUUUUAAAUCUUUGGAGAUCUGAUGAGGUUGCUAUGUUUUCUUUGAAAUUUAAAAUUAACCUCGUAAGGUCAUGGAGAAUCUAAUCAUACACUUAAUUUGCAGGAGCAUUGAAUAUAGUUUCAAGUGCAAUCACAUGAAUAUAAAUACGAACUAUACUAUAUAAAGCUACAGUCUAAAAUCGUACAUGUUACAAUUGUUCGUUCCAACACUUUUUGAAGAAGAAAACUUCAAAGAAUCUUCACGCGAACUUUACUAGAAUUGUAGAAGGAAAAAGGAGAAUAAGCAAAAGAAGUGUCGAUUCUUUUGAAAUUGUAGAGAAUGAAAGAUACGUUAAUUUCUCCUAUGAGAACCUUUUUCUAAUAGUUGUAUUUUCAUUAUAUUUAUUAAUUUAAUAUAUAUAUAUAUAUAUUCUUCUCACAUGGAUUCGAAUUGACCCACAUGAGUGACCCAAUCCAAUUUCCUUCAAGUCGCUAUUAUUAUUUGGCGAAUUUUCUUUUUGAUUUGAAUGACAUCAUGAGGUCUCUUGCUUUAAAAAAAAUAAGUUAAAAAAUGUUUUGUGGAAUAAAGACCUCAUGAGGUCUUUUUUAGGCGAUCUGCUUUUUAGGUCUUUUUUUACUAUUUUUUAAUAGCGACACUCUCGUUUGAGUAUUUAACUUGCUUAAGGGGAUCACGUAGACUGAUAGGUUACCCAAUACUUUGGACUAUUCUUAGACCAGGAAAGAAAAAUAGAUUCGUGAUCAACACCCAAACCAAAAAUUUUAGGAUCCAGCCGCAACAACAACUUUUAUAUGUGAUUGUAUGCCUUCGUCGGGUGUUGGUGUAUGAGUUAUGCCCAAAUAUGUUGCCUAAUGAGGAGCAUAAGAGGUUUGAGAUGUUCUAGAAAAUAGAUCUACUUCAGUUUCACAUUGGACAAGGAGAGAACAGUUAUGACUUUCUUGUGAGUUGUCAUGAGACGUUACAAAAUGUGAUGUUGGUGGAGUCCCACAGAGUGGAUUACACUUUUUUUCACAUGUGUGGCCUAUCUAAGAAGUGGUGGCGGUCUGAUGUCGAUACUAGACUAACAGGUUCAUUCCCUGUAACUUGCAAGAGGAGAAGUGGAGUUAGUUUGAGCACUUGACUUAAGAUGGUAUUUCAGAUCGAUUUUAGGACAAGAUUUCAUGCCUUGUUUCACUAUGCUUUGGUGAUUUUGCCAGAUAAGACCAAGAAUUUGUCAAUGCAUGAGAAGUUUGACUUAUCAUAUCCAUGUAGUAACUUAUUAGACAACCUCGUCUAGAGAUUCUUUUCAAAGAGUAAUCGAGGUGGCCAUGGAGGUUGAGCUUAUUUGCCGCAAGGAAUUUAGGGAUUUGACGGACAAGAGGUCUUGCACUUCUUGUUAUUUUAGUGGUACCUCAUCUCGAGGUAGGGGAUCUUUAAGGAGGGGUUUUCAUCCUCAGUUCAGUGUACAUGUUCAUGCAGCUAUUCAAGCGUCUGAGGGAGAUUAUUCUGGACAAGGCUUCUACAACUCGGGUCAAAACUUAUCAGGAUUGCUGUUAGAGGUUUUCAGGUUAUGAUGACCAUUCAAUAUAUUCGGAUACUUGUCAGUAUAUGUUUGUUCCUAGUCCUACUAUGAGUGUGGUGAGUUAGGUAAAUCAAUAGAGAUUUCUACAGACUUAGAGAGGGAAGCUGACAUCAAUAGUGUUUUGUAAACCGUUGUUUCAUUUCCAAUUUUAUAAAAUUGAAAAGUUCUUUUAAAAAAAAGUUAGUAAAAUUUUCAAAUUCAACUUGAAAAAAAUGAACAAUUUAAAAAACUAAUAUCGUAAAAAAAAUAUGUUCUUUUAAGAAAAGUAAAUACAAUUUAUAUAUCACGAUUUUUAUGAGAAGAUGACAAUGAAAAAAAAGCACUUAUUUCUUUUUGUCACAUUCACAUUAGUUGGUCUUGAUUCAUUCAAAUCUAAUAACCACCCAUUAGCGCGAGGUAUGCCUAUUUUAAGAAGAAAAAAAUUGGAUCAUAAUUCACGAAGUGUUAGUUCCUCUAAAAAAAACACACAAAACUUUUCUUUAAAAAUGGAGAAAGUUAAAGAAGAUAUGGUGUUGGCAGGUUCAGUGCGACAUCAUGGAUUAGAAAAUUGGAAAAUGAUGGCUGUCAAAUUCUCAAAUUUCAUUCCUGAUCGACAUCGAUGUAUUCUUCAAUUUUCGUAUGUAGAAUGUCAGGUCGAGUAUGAAAGUUUAAAAAGGCGUUCUAAGUGUCUAUAUCAGACAUUACUGAAGAAGAAGAUGAUGUGAGUGCAUUCAUAUGUUGAUGACAGAUAAACUUACAAAGACUUAUUGAGAUUAUUGGUUAGAGCAAGUCAAACUAAGGGAUACUCCAUCUUUUUCAUAAAUCCCUCCUUUUUUCCUUUUUAAUUAUUCUUUACUUAUGAUGUUUGAAGCAUUAUGAGUUUUCACUAAUGUUUUGUUUGAUCCACAUUUAUAUGAUGGUUUUUAUAAAAACAAAAUUUCUUAGGAGAUACAAAAUAUAUCCAAAGAUAUAUUAUCUUUUCUAAAGUUUAGGUGUUGGAGCACAAAUAAAGUAUCACUAAUUAGUACAAUAUGCACUAAUUUUUUUAAAUUUUUUUUCAAAUAAACUGUUUUUGAUUCCAUUUUACUAUUACCAGGAAAAAAAAAACCACUACCACUAAAUAUCAAAACUCCAUUGUUAAAAUAUUUAGGGAAAAAUUGUUAAACAAUACCAUUAACUAUAUAUUUUUUAAUAACAAAUUUCCUAGCUAAUUCAUGUUUUUCUUAUAAAAUCACUAAUUGAUUGUUAGCUUUGAUAAUUGGCCCCAAAUAAUUAUUCAUUAAUUUUUGCUACGUUUAUUGUCCACAUUUAGGUUGUAACUCUAUUUUUUUGGUACACUUUAAAAAACCUAAAAAGGAAAAAAUAAAUUUUGAUAAGUCAAAUUGCUUAAUUCUCCCAAGAGAAAAAACUUUAUAUUAUUUUUGGGGGGAAAUGCAUAAGUACCCCCCCNNNNNNNNNNNNNNNNNNNNNNNNNNNNNNNNNNNNNNNNNNNNNNNNNNNNNNNNNNNNNNNNNNNNNNNNNNNNNNNNNNNNNNNNNNNNNNNNNNNNNNNNNNNNNNCCCCGAACUUAUUUUUUAAUUAAUUUUCUACCCCUUUUCGGCCUAUGUGGCACUAUCCUUGAAAAAAUUGUCAACACGCAGCCCACAAGAUAGUGCCACGUAGGCUGAAAAGGGGUAGAAAAUUAUAUAUAAAAUAAGUUCGGGGGGUAAUAGGACCUUAGUAAAGGUUAGGUGUGUCUCAAAGAUUUUGGGCAUAGGCUGGGGAGUACUUAUGCAUUUUCCCUAUUUUUGGUGACUUUCCAAACUAGAAAUUCUUCUUUAUUUUAAAAAAUAAAAUAAAAUUGGAGUUAGAGAAAGAGAAAAUGGAGGAGGGGAUUACAAAGGUAGGGUCAAACCCUCACCAAUAAAUUGAAAAUUCAGCUAGUCAACCAACAUAGCUACUAAGAUUCUCCAACUAGCAAUUCUUUGUAUGUUACGAUCUUUAUUUCUCAGAGUCUGUAAGAUUAUUUAUAAUCUCUCUUCGAAUGCAUAUUUUAUCCUUCAUUUCUAUCAAGUGUUUAUAAUUUUCACUAAUAGCAAUAUGAGAGUGAAAUUAUAUAUCCACAUUGUUUUAUUAUAAAUUGACAGCAAAAAGGUAAUAUGAUUAUUGAUAUCUUUAAUUAUGCUAUGUUUAUGUAGGAAAAAAAUUCUGAUUUUUUUCAAAUAAGAAGCUGAAGAAAGAAUAAAGUUAAAUGAAGAAAAAAGAGAUGAUAAAUCCUAAUGACAAAAUGGAGAAUAUUAAUCAAGAUUUCAUAAAAAUUCUUGAUGUGAUGAGAUCUCAGAAGUAUUAUUGUCUUUUAGAAUCUCAACUUCUCAGAAAGGUAAAUACAUUGCUAAUCUAUAUAUAUGUUGUGGUUUCUUAUACUUAUAUUUGUACUUUAAUUAUAAACUAAAACUUAGACAAUUAAAAAGAAUACUUUCUUUCUUCUAUUUCAUGUGACGUUCUUUCCUCUUUAAUCUAUUAUAAAAAAAAUAGUAUUUUCUUAAUUGAAACAUGAUGAAGUUUGAACCUCAUAUCUUUUUAUCUUUAAAGACAUGUUUACUUUGACUCUACAUGGAACAAAAAAUUCUAAAACUUGUGGUCUUGGAUACGUUGUAAUAAUUGUGUGACUAUAAAACUUCUCACUAAUGAUUAAAUAAAAAAUGUAUAGCUUGAUUAUUUUCAAAUAUAGACAUAUGUCAUAUUUUUUUAAUAGAUUGAUAGUAAAAUGGUGUUACAUAAAAUCGGAAAAAAGGAGUAUCUGACAUGUUUAAUACCAAAGUCUUUUUUUUUUCUUUUUAAACUCAUUAUUGUGAGGUCAAAUUUACAGUAUAAGUAUCAUAAAACAUGGAUUGUAUAUUCGUUAUUAGUGCUAAUAUUUAUAUUUUUUUCAAGAAGAUAUAUAUUAUACUAAACAAAUUAAGCAGCAUAUGGAUUUCUACAUUAUUCAAAACAUGUUAGAACAAGAUAGGUUUUUCGAACUUGGAAAAUGCCAAUUUCUUUAAAGAUAUUUUAUUGAUUUUCAGCAACGUCAUUGUUUAUUACCUGAAUGAAACUCUUCAAUAUUUUGUCGCGCCUGAACUCAGAGCCAUUAUUGUGAGAAACCCUAAUUAUGUCGCGAAAUUAUGUGUGGAUUAUCAGCAGCAGGCAAACCAAUGUUGGCCAAACAAAAAUUGGAGAACAGGGCAUAUUAUGCACAUAACAAAGCUCAAGAAGGUGAGUCGUUGGUGAGGAGGAGUACGAGAGUGAGAAAUAAGGCUUGCGAAUUCAAGAACGAUCAGGAUAAUGAUUGCAAAGGGAAACAAAGAAGAAUAACAAAGAAAAAAUAAGAAUAUUUUGGAAAUAAUGAGUGAAGCUUACUAGAAGGUGGUC
This 96677-nucleotide long non-coding RNA is filed under the name Solanum tuberosum (potato). Its description in RNAcentral is "long non-coding RNA (STUB_LNC001285)". Lineage: Eukaryota; Viridiplantae; Streptophyta; Magnoliopsida; Solanales; Solanaceae. The record is from RNAcentral.